Molecule: long non-coding RNA, 90981 nt
Filed under: Solanum tuberosum (potato)
Lineage: Eukaryota; Viridiplantae; Streptophyta; Magnoliopsida; Solanales; Solanaceae
Description: long non-coding RNA (STUB_LNC005592)
Source: RNAcentral
UCAGCAACAACUUUGACACCUUCCUCCAAAGCUUCUUUAGAAGUAAAAAGCUUAGACACCAAGCCCAAAUCUUUAGCUUCGGAACCUGAAAACCUCCGACCAGUUAAAGCCAACUCCAUAGCAUUUCCAAACCCAACAAUACUGGGAAGCCUCUGAAGUGUCCCGAGAUCAGCCGUAAUAGCUAAAUCCACCUCUUUCACUGAGAAAAAAGCAUCAGAAGAACAAUACCUAAUAUCACAGGCAGUAAUUAUAUCAAUGGCACCACCGAUACAUGCGCCAUGGACAGCGGCAAUCACGGGUUUACGGCAACACUCUAAGGCGGUAAUAGCCUCCUGAAGGAACUUGAUAUGUCGCCGGAGCCUCUCGACUUUACGGCCGCAAUCGACGGAGUCGGAUUCUUUGAAGAUAUCGCCUAGGGUUUGGAGGUCGAUGCCGGAACAGAAGUGCUUGCCGGAGCCAGCUAGGAUGAUGACGGCGACAUUGGGGUUUUGAUCGAGUGAGGAGAUGGCUUUGGGGAAUUCAGUGAAGAAGUCACGUGAGAGAGCGUUGAGAUGUGUGGGUCGGUUGAGAUACAGGUAAUAGACAAGAGAGUUUGGGGAUUUUUGAAUGAUUUUCAGUGAUUUGUAUUCCUCCAUUAUUUGUGCAGUACAGGGAAGAUGCUAUUGAAUUGAUGAGGCUACGACUAUGAAUGCACUAGUUAGGAUGUUUGGUGUUGACCGAGUCAACAUAAACAAAAUUAUAUUUUAUUGAUUUGGUACCGAGUUUAAGAAAAAAAAAUUAUUUUUAUGGUUUUGAAUUUUAAGAAAAAAUUUUAAUUUUUAUGAUUCUAAGUUAAAGUUAUAUUAAAUGUACAAAAAUAUUUUUUAACAUGUCAAGUGGAUAAUGACGGAGCUAGAAAUACCACGAACGAAAUACAAGAAUGAACAAUGUCAUAGGUAAAAAACAAAUAUGCACUAGUGGAUGCAUUAAAAAUUUGAAAAAAAAUAAAACAACCUAACAUUAAUAAUUAACUUUUUAAUUGAUAAAUGUAUAAAAAAAAUUAAAUUGAAACUACAUACUCCCUCCAUUCACUUUUACAUGUCACUUAUUCUUAAAAUAGAUUUUCAUUUUUCCUUGUCACUUUUGGCAUAUCAAGGAAAGACAAUAAAAAAAAAUUCAUGUUUUACCCUCAACAUUAAAUACUUAUUUUUUCAAAUCAUUUUUCAAGACAUCAUUUAAUAGGAGAUAGUUUGGUGAAAUAUCUAUAUCAAUAAUUAUUUUCUUAAUAUGUGUGUCAAGUCAAAGUGUGACAAAUAAAAAUGUACAGAAGGAGUAAUAUUUUAGCUUUAAUGUUCAUGCUUAGUUUAAUAGGAAGUUAAAGAAUUAAAAAAAAAAAUCAAUUCAGAAUAAAUUAUUUAUAUGCUUUAAGCUUUCACCAACCUCUGCUGAUAAUAACAAUAACAACGAGAAUAUGUUAGACUAAGACUGGGCACUGCACCGGAAUGGGACCGCCGGACCGGAACGAACCGGUACCGGACUGGAACGGGACGGUUUGACCGGGUUGUUGACCGGUACCGGGAUGAACCGAAUCGGAACUACCGGGAUGGAGGCUCAGUUCCGUCCCGUCCCACUAUAUACCGGGAUAGAACCAGGACGGACCGAAAUGGACCGGAACGGAACGGGAUGGGAUAAACGGGACGGCACAUAUAGCUAUUUCAAAAAAUAUUAUUAUUUUGAGUUAUUUUGAAUUACGAAAAUAUGAAUAUUUUUUUUCAAGUUAUAUUAGUUUAUAGUAUUUAAGUUUUAAAUUUAUAAUAAUUUUACUUAAGUUUAUUUUAAAGAUAUUUUUUAAAUUUUUUUACGUAUAUAAGUUUGUAAGUUAAGUUUAAUAAAGUUUUUUUUUUUUAAGUUUUUGAGCUUAUGUAGUUAUGUUAUAAGUUUUAAAGAUAGGAAUCUUUUGAAGUUUAUAAGUUAUUAAGUUAUACUUAUAACUUGUAAGUUAAAUAACUUAAAGUUUGUAAUUUUAAAAAAUUAAAUAAACAAAAAAGAAAUGCUAAUAAAAGUAAAUAAUGACAAAAAUAUUAUUUUUUAGUUUAAUUAAAAAUGAUUUACCGAGACCGGACCGGUAUCGGACCGGAUCGGAACGAAACCGGAAUGAACCGGUACCGGUAUACCGGUACCAAAUCAUGAUACCGUUCCGUUCCGUGUACCGGUUCAAUGUAUCCCAUCCCGUCCCGAAUACUACCGGAUCGGAACGAACCAGAACGGUACCAGAACGAACCGGAACGGUACCGGUACAACCCGUUCCGGUGCCUAGCCUUAUGUUAGACUAACUACAUUAGCACAUGAUUGACUUCAACAUAUAUGUUUUGUAUCUCCUUUUUACUGUUAUAAAUUGUAAAACAUGAGAAAGCAAUAGGUAAAUAAUUUGCUCCGCGGGAGCAUUUUUGUAAAAGUCACUUUAGGAAAUGUUCUCAAACUACCCGUAUGGGUUAAACUAAUUAUCUAUAGUCUUUGAAAUGAGUUUUAAUUCAAAAAAUUGGACAACGAGCCAAACUCUAAAGGUUCGUUUGAUAAGAGAGAUAAGAAAUAAUUAAUUUUAAAUUAAUUUUACGAUAAGUUUAUCUCAUGUUUGAUCGUAAUAAAAUUGUAGGAUAACUUAUUCCGAAAUUAUAAUUUAUUUUAAUCCCAAAUUCAAAAUGGGAUAACCAAUCUCAAAAAAAUUAAUUCCGAAAUAAAUUAUUUCCAACCAAACAAGCUCUAAUUAUGUAUAAUGUCAAUUCUCUUCUUGUUCCCUUUGCUCGUUAAUUGCUUCCUUCAAUGAUAUUCAUAUGGUAUGUUUCGUGUACUGAUAAAGUAUCACAAUUCUCUUCUUUUUCUCUUAGCUCAUUUAUUGCUUCCUUUUCUUCAAUAUUUUCCACAUGGUAUAUCUCAUAUAUAUACUGACUAAGUAUCAUAAAUCUCUUCUUUUCCCCUUAGCUCUUUAAUUGCUUCAUUUUCAUUAAUGAUAUUCAUAUGAUAUGUCUCAUUUACUAAUAAAAUUUUCACAAUUCUCUUCUUUUCUCCUUAGCUCAUUAAUUGCUUCAUUUUCUUAAAUGAUAUUCACAUGGUAAGAGAGCAAAUUCAUUCCUUAAAAAAACACAUCAGAUUAUUACACAAAGUAUUUCUCAAAGUGUGUGGUCUUGAUUUAUAUUUUGUCACGCCCCAAACUCAAGGGGUGCAACUGGCACCUAAUGCCAAAACAUAGGCCUGAGCCAACCCUGUUGAACCAUUUGCUAAUAACACAUAGUGAUUACGCUCAAACUACUCUAAAAAUAAAUUCAAAGAGUAAGCGAUCGUUGUCAUAAAAAUACCCAACUAAGAGUUGGGGUCAAAUCCCACAAGGAAUAGUAUAAUGAUCAGAAUUCAACUAAGAAAUCAAGAAUGCAAACUUGUUCAUUGUAGUAGGUUUGGACAAAUGGGUGGAUGAUUCCAUCAAAUUUACUAAAAGUGUUUGUAGUAUCAAAUGUAACAAUUAAACUAAAGCUUCAAAAAUUCAAGUAAUUAACAAGCAAUAUAGGGGUGCGGGGGAUCGAAAAUGGAUGACACAUAGGGGUAAUUUUGUUGCUCACUAGUGCUAAACAUUCAUCGAUAGGCAGGGCCAUCUUCAAUGAUACUAAUCUUCUUUCAAUCUCAAACAUCAGUUCAUAGAAUCUCCUCUCAGUCCCAUCUAUGUGCAUAACUAAACAACACAUUACCUUACGAUAUCUCUCUUUCGAGCAAGUUUAGGACAAAUAGAUCUGAACCAUAAUUCCUCUUUCAAGCAAAUUAUAGACAUCAAACCUAAAUUGCAUGUAUCAAACUAAUUACACAUUGUAGUCGAUCUCUUUCGAGCAUCAAUCAGAGAUUGAAAUUAGGAUUAAGUUUGCAACAUUAACACAUAGGUUAACCUCAUGAUAAUUAGCCUAAAUCCAUGGAUGAUAAGCAAUAAAACAAAGUAAAACACAAUACACACUACAUUAAAUCAACACUUAACCCCAUAACUGCACCCGAGUUUUAGCCACCUAUCACAAAUAGUAAAGAAAUUAUACUUAUCAUACUAGCAGCCAUGGAUGUGAUAAAAUUAAGCAAUUAUAAUCAACACCUAUUUUGAUUUCAACUUCCCAUUGUUAAAUGCAAAAGUAAAAUUUUAAACCCCAAAACUAAAGAUGUUCUUCACAAGGUGAAAUAUCUCAUACAAAGGCUCUCAAAAAUUCACUACUCAGAACUCUAAACUCCACUCUAGAAACUCUACACUAGACACUUUUUUUCUCUCUCCUUUGGGCUAUUAUAGUUUCCCAAAAUUCAUUGCGUAACCAACUCGACGAUGGUGUUGGGCUCACUAAACAUGAUUGGUGAAUCGCCUUUUGUUCUUUAGCUCAUCUUUCAUUUGCUUCAGGCUUCAGGUGUUUGAACCUCAGUUGAUGAUCUCGUUUUAGUAUGUAUUUCACAUUCGAAAGAUCACCGAUUACCACCUUCGUUCACCCUUUAAGCCUUCAGUUUUCAUCCAAGUAUUGUCACCUUCACUGAUGGUCAUCCUGUUCACCCUUCUUAUUUGGUGAGUUUCUAUUUCACUUCAAGUUCGCCAACCUGAUUCCAAUAAAUUAAAUUGUGAGCACUGUCACUUUGAGCGAGGUUGUGCCAAUUGAGCGAUCCACCAUUUUGGUUAGGCGACUUUCAAUAUUUUUGGCCUUUCUUCCAAGUAUUCAUCUUUGCCUUGUCAUUUAGCCUUCAUAGCUGCAAAUCAUCAAAUAUCAUCAUAAUAGGAUAUAAUUAGGCAUUGAGAACACUAAUUGUUGAACAAAAAAAGCCUCAAAUGAGUGUAAAUUUACCACUUAUAAGGAGGGGCUCCAUUUUUUUUUUGUAAUAAUUGAGUCUCACUUCAUCUUUCUUUUUCUUCCACUUGGGUUUCUUUCCCCCUUCCUUUCCACACCCCCAACUUAGGCUUUUGGCCUAAGUUGGCUAUUCAAACAAACCAACGCUUAGAAAAUGAUUCAUGGGGUGAGAAGUUAGGGACAAUUUAUUUCAAGAGAUUCCAACAAGGUUAUCAACAAACGAUUUACGCUCAAACGGUGCCAAAAAUGGUUGCACACCCUCAAAAGAUAGUCACAAAGGGGUAAGAACAUUUGGUUUACCCCUCAAAAUAUGUGCCCAAGAUCAUUUAUUAUAUUCACUAAAGCUAGACAAUUGGACUAACAAGAAAAAUUCUAGGAUUCAACAAGCAUGUUUUCAAGUAAAACCUCACCACAUAAGACACCUCAAACACAAUCAUUUAGCACAACCCUACAAGAUUAAAAUCCUAUGUGCGAUGUUCAUCGCAAUACUUACAUCAAAAUGCACCUAGCCAACACAAGAUUCAAAAUAAUCAUUCAAAAGUAUACACACACCGAUUUCUUCUUGUCUUUAUGAACACGAGGCACAUUUAUCAUCAUAAGUACUACUAAAUACAUCACUAUUCAACAGUUGGCCAAGAUAUACACAAAGAAGAUAUGAAGGUUGCACGAGAUGCCCCUUUCUAUCAUCGAGCAACCCAGUUUAGUUUUAUGUUUUGGGAUAAGUAACACGAGGCGGUGGGAAAUCAACCCAGUUUCAGUACAAACUUUCAUCUGCAAACAAAUGUCUAGUCGGAGAGAAAUAUCCAGGUACUAGAAGAUAUGCUGAGAGCAUGUGCGAUUGACUAUGGAGGUCACUGGGAUCCAUUCUUACACUUGUGUGAGUUUUUUUAUAAUAAUAUUUAUCACUCUAGCAUUGAUAUGACACCGUUUGAGGCACUUGAUGAGAGGGGGUACAUAUCGCCUAAGGGUGGUUUGAAGUCGGAGAUGUAAAACCCUUGGGUAUUGAUUUAGUGAGGGAGGCUCGAGAGAAGGUAAGAAAUAUCCAAACAAGGUUGUUGACAGCCUAGAGUAGAUAGAAGGAGUAUGCAAACUGCAAGGUAAGAGACAUGACAUUUCAGGGUGGGGAACAAGUUUUGUUGAUGGUGUCACCAAUGAAAGGGGUGAUAUGGUUCGGUAAGAAGGGUAAGCUUAACCCUCGUUACAUUGGUUUGUUCUAAAUUCCUUACAAUGUAAGGUCAAUGUCUUACAAGUUAGCAAUGUCACCCAACUUGUUUGCACUUCAUCCAGUUUUUCACAUUUCUAUGCUAAAGAAGUACCAUGGGGAUAGAGAUUAUCAUCAAGUGGGACUGAACAGUACUAGACAAGGAAUUGUAGUAUGAAGAGGAACCAAUGGUGAUUCUUGAUCGUGAUGUUCAGAAGUUGAGGACAAAAGAAAUCAAAUCCGUAAAGGUUUAGAGGAAGAAUCUUCUGAUUGAGGAAGCCACUUGGGAAACUAAUAGGUACAUGUGAGACAAUAUCCUUACUUGUUUGAGGAUGCAAAAUACAACUCACUUUGACUUAGCUCCGUUUUUCUUGUUUGGUCAAUCGAGGAAGAGCGAUGGGUAAAUUAAUAUGUUAUUGUAACGACCCCAUUCAGUUGUUAGGGGUAGGCCAAUUGUGAAAAAAUUGGCUAAAAAACUUUUUGGGUAGUGACUUUAAAAUUCUAGGCUAGGGCAACCUUAGAUGGAAUCUUAGUAAGGAGAGGUCCAGGGAAAUCCGUGAAUUUAUGGGGUGAUAUGUAUGAGCUUGGAUAACGUUUCCUAGUAUCUAGGACAUUAAGGCCUUUCAAAAUCAAAUUCGGAUAAGUAGAACUUCUGUUAUUGGAUUUGGCGUGAAAGAGAUAGUUUAUAACUUCAAUGUACAAAUGUGUGUUGUGAAAUGGGGGCUUGGGGAGGAUUUACGAGGUCUUGUCUCCAUGCAUGCCACUAUAGAGGGAAUAAAUGCCUCAGGUUUAAUUAAUUCCCUCUAUAGCGGGUGGGCCACUAUGAUGACGCCGUUAUAGCGAGUUGGACCACUAUAAUUGGGUUAGUCAGGGUUUUCUACAAAAAAAUUCCAAAACUUGUUAUUUUCUGCAAUUUCAUUCUUGAAACUGAUAAGAGCGAUUUAAGGCAGUAUCCUUCGGGUUUUUUACCGAUCUCUUUGAAAAAGGUCCCAUUUUGUAUUUUGAUUCUUAAUCCUUAGAAUCUAGGUUGUUAAUCUUAGGGAAUGGGUUUUAACUUUAAUUAAUGGUGGAAAAUACCCUUGUUUGAUAGAAUGAUCAUCAUAAUGACCUGGUUAGGAUGUGGUUACAAUCUGGGUAUUAUUAUGCCAUCCUCGAUUGAUUAUUAUAUUUGAUAUUGUUGUUUAGACCAAGAAUAAACCCACAUUUAUAACAAAGGGAAAACUUCAGAUUUUUAGAGAUCUCAAGGCUUAAUUGAAGGUAGGUGAUGGUAGUUGUUUUUCUAUUUAUUCUAUAUGUGCUUGUUAACUAUGUAGUUAGUAGUGCAUGCAUUCUACAUGAUUAGGGAAACUGGAAAGACAUGAUAUACAAUGAAAGAUGUUGUUAAUAAUAUGUUAUGAAUGUGUUACAUGAAUUUCAUGGGUUGUCAUGUAUCAUUAUUGUAUUGUAUGUGAUGAUUGGGAUGGGGUGCCACGCUGACAUAUGUUGUUGUUGAAACGGGUACCACACUAGUACAGUAAUAUCUAGAAUGGGUACCAUGCCGGUACAAUGGAAACGGGUACCACAUCGGUACACUCAUAGUUGUAUGUGUGGGGUUCCAUGAGAGAACCAGACUAGCUUGUUGUGUUGUGAUGAUUCAUGAUGUUUAUGCAUAUAUAUUCAAGGUGAGGAUUGAGAUGUCUAGUCUAUGUUGUACUUGUGUUUGUAAUUGUGUAUUGUCUGCUUACUGAUUAGUGAUUGUCUGUUCAUAUUUCAUUUACUUAAACUAGCCAAUGAUCCUACUAGCCAGUGUGGUUGUGUACUAAUACUACACUUGUUUUUUGUUUGUUGAGUAUAGGGCAUGUUCCAGGGACUCUUUCGGGACCUCAACUAUGAGAAUUCUUUCAUCUGAUUCCAAGGGUAAGCCGCUUCUUCCGGGCUACUAAGGAUUCCUCUUUUCAUUCUUAGUCCAUUAUUUAGAUUUGGACAUUCUAGACUUACACUUUAUUUAUUUUAGUUUGGGUUUGCAUCCCCUAUCCUAGAUUGUUAGAUGUUUUAGUACUAUGACUUUCAGGUCCUAGGGAGUUUAUUCUGCUUAAAUUGGCUGAUUCAGUUUAUGGGAACUCAAUUUUUUAGUUGUUUAUAAAUUGCUUUCUUAGUUUUUUUAUAUAAUUUAUUUGUUCUAACAUGGUUUAAUGGGUUAGCCUUGGGAUGGUAGUUGGUUCUUGCACCGGAGGAUUAGUGUGGGUUCCACUCACGAUGGGUGAGGGUCAUGACACUAUUGGGACAAUCUUGGAUCAAGAAUCAUGUCCUCCAUAGUCGUGUAAAGUAUGCUGCAAUAGAAUUUCACUUUAUUCGCCACCAUGUCAACAUCUAAAGGGUUCGUGUUGUUCAUGCAUUAUGCCGAUCAAAUAGCCAAAACUCUCACCAAGGCAUUGCCUAAAUAUGAAUUUGAGAAUAAUAUGUCCAAGUUAGGCUUAGUGCCUUAUCGCCUUACUUGGGGGGGGGGGGAUAUCAGAGCAUCAUAAGUGAAUUCCGACAUUAGUUAAGAGUUUAGUCGGUGUUAGUAUUUUGGUAGUCCUUGUUUAUAUAGGAUAUUGUAUUUGUUAUUUCAGCAGUUAUUGUUUAUUUAGAUUAUUUUAGUUUAGUUCGUUUAUGAGUGUUAUUAUUUUUUCAGUAUAUUUAAUACAUUUGUGCCUUCAUUAAUAAACAAUUGUCUUCCAACUCAUAUUCAGUCUUUACAACAUGUGAUUUACUUAUGUGAAUGCAGUAGUCUAUUGUCAUAGACAAGUGGUUCAAACUCGUUUCUUCUUAUAGUUGUGGUAUGAUGAUUUACCUAUGUGAAUGAUUGUUGUGUUUUGUUUGUGUACUCUGUUCAAAUAGACAGUAGAUUCUAACUAGAGAUAAUUGAUUAUUGUUAAGUGAUGCCUCCCGAGGGAAAAAGGCUUGGAUGUCAAAGUGUAUAAGUGUACCUCCGGAUACACUUAGCAGCCUUAUAAAUAAUGUAAUUGGGAAAAAUUAAUUUACCGAAAUAGGCACGUCGGUGGAUUAACCAGACUAGAAUCAGGACAUACGUCGCCUUCUAUUCAAGUAGCUCCCGAGGGGAUAAUAGCCCAUUUCAUGAGAGUGUAGUGCUACUAAGAUUAUAUAUUCAAGAUCAAUUUUUGAUGAUCUAAUGUUAUGAUAUCCUCGAAAUGCCAAAUGUUACGGUUAAAUUGUAGUUAGGCUCGCGUAUUUACUGUUAUGCAACAAAAUAGAAGGGUAUUACUACACAUAGUAAUUAUAAAAAGGUCUGAAAUAUAUCCGAACUUUAACCGAAAUUGUUGUAGCAAUCUCAAACUUUGGGAAGAGUCUAUUACCCCUAUGCACUAUUUAAUAGUGUAUUUUGAAAAUAUAAAAGUGUCCAUCUGGACAAGUUACUAUUCAUAAUGAUCAAGUUAGCAAAUUCCAAUAAAUUCACAAAUUUAUCUUGGAUCUAGUGUUUGGGUCAGUUCUUGGAUCUAAUGUUAGGGUUGAGGCGGGGUGGGGUCUCAAGAAGGAUCCAGUGUCAGGAAGGGGUAAGAUCUCGGGUUAAGGGUGAGUCUUAGGUUAGGGUUGCGUCUCGGGUUUAAGGUUGAGGUCAGGUGUCGGGUCUUAGUCAUUGUUGGGUGUCAAGGUCGGCUUUCAGAUCAUGGUCGAGGUCGAGUCUCAAGGGUGCGUGUUGGGUCUUGGGUUAGGUUUUAGGGUUUGGGUCAGUUUUCAGGUCGGGUCUUAGGUCAAGUGUCAGGGUUGAGGUCGGGGUCUGGUUUUGGUCGGGGCUGUGUUUUGUUAUUAGGUCUCGAGUCGGAUAUCGAUCUUGGGCCAAGUGUUAGGGUCGGAUUCAGGGUUAGGUCCCGAGUCGGAGUCGAGGGUCAGGUCGCAAGGUCAACUUCCAAUUCAAAAGUUGGAUCUUGAGUCGAAUAUUAGGGUCAAAAGUCGGGGUUGGGUCACACGCCCGGUCGAGGGUCGAGGUUGGGUUUAGGUUUGGGUGUCGAGAUCAUAUUCCAGUUCAAAUGUCAUAUAUCUAACGGGGUUAGGUCCUGGGUUGGGUCUUGGGAUUGUGUCCUAAUUCGGGUCAUGAUAAGGGUCAUGUUCUAGUUCAAUGUCGGAUCCCGUGUCGAGAGUAGGGGUCAAGUUUUGAAUUAGGUGUCAGAUCGUUUAUUGGGGUUUAUUUUUAGGCCAGAAACUAUAUUUCUAAAAAAUAUUUUAUAUUCUCUAGCCAACAAUAAAAGAUAAUUUCUAAAAAAAAAAAUUCAUUCACCAAUCGUUCACUAGAAAAUAUUUUUCAUUUUCACCAACCAAACAUGAGAAAAUAAGUUAGAAACCAACUUAUUUUAUAAGAAAAUAUUUUAUAGGAAAACGUUUUCUCAUACUAAACACACCCUAAAAGGAAUACUUUUUCCUACAUAAACUUAUAAAGUUAUAAUCAUCCUAUACAGUUCCUGGUUGUCUUAUUUUUUCCCAUGCACUACUAAAAGUGAAUUUGUUUGAGUUGUGUAGCUUUCAUCAUGGUUGUCCCAUUCAUAUGUAUCCUCUACUACUCUAAUUCUGCUGAAAUUAUGAUUGCAAAUAUCAUCUGGUAGCUAUUGGUGCAAUAGGGUACUAUCCCAUCUUCCCUGAUUCAUUAAUUGCUUUACAUCUUUCAAGACCAGAUUUGUAGUCAAUGAUACAUAAAUGUAAUAGUAUAUGGAACCUAAUUGGAUUCAAUAGUCAAAACAAAUACUUGAGCGACCACAUUUAAGGCUCCCACCUUAUCUCUUCAUCCAUGAAGUCCCUAGCCUGUAACAUAUACUUCCAAGUCUGUGAACUCCCUCCGCAUUCUGCCAAUCGAGGUUUAUGUCUUUUACAAUAUUUAUUUCAUAUAAAAUUAGAUCACAUAGAUUUUUGUGUCCUAAAAUUCCACACAAAGAUCUAAAGCCCAAUCCUUUUUCCUUUUUGAGGUAAGCAAACCUCUGCCCAAGACACCUAGUAUUUAUUUCUUUCAUCUUUUUGAAAUUUCAUAUGAUCUAGCAAUAACUCUAUGAAAAUCAUGUAUAACACAUUUUGGAGGGAUGAUGAUUGAUAGUUGAUAAAUAGAUAUGUUUUGCAACACAUUGUUGAUUAGAACAAACUUACCACCAAAUAAAGAAAAGUUUACCCUUCCAAAUGUGCAACUUGUUAUGUACCUUCUCUUUCUUUUCUUUUUUUUUGCUUUUCUUGCAUGCCCUAUCGGAGAAACUAGAUAUGUCAAAGAAACUUGCCUCUAGGACAGCCAGUACACUAUUCAAUUACCUGAAUAUACCAGCUUGAGCAGUCUUGCUACAAACAAGGAAAUCAUUUUUCUCCUUAUUAAUCUUCUGGCCUGAUUGACUCUCAUAAUCACUUGCAAAGGGAACGUAUCAGCAACAACAAAAACAAUAGUUUCAUCAGCAUAGGCAAGGUUCCUUUUGGGAUCCCAAAUUCCUGAAGUCACUUAUCUAUUAGAAAUUUGUUAAAGAAGUCUAAUAGAGAGAAAAUACAAAACAAUAAACAUAGAAGAAAAAAUACAACAUGCAUAUCUUUCUUAAGAUCUUAAUCAUAAAUUUUGAGUUUUUAUGCACACCUACUGUCAUAAUCUUUAAAAAAUCCAAGAAUCUUCUUAUCGAGCCAAAUUAAGACAUGGAUCAAAUAGUACAAUAAUGAAUAAGUGAAAUAGUACAAUAAUGAAAUAGUGUUUCACUACUUAAACUAUAGAAUGAAACGAAUAGCACUGGGGAGGGAUUGCAUGUAACAAAAAGGAGGAAUUUAUAUAGAUUAAAUGGAGGAAUACCAAAAGAUACUUUAAAGUUUUAAGUUAAAUAUUUUGAGGUUAUGAUUAUGAAAAGUAUGAGAGUUAUAAAUAUUAAGAGUAGCCAUUAAAUAGAUAAUUAGAUGUGAGUAGGGGUGUCAAAAAUGAAUCCAACCCACCCAGAAUUUUAAGGGUUGGGCUCAAGAUAAUUUAAAUUGAAUUGGGUUCAAUCUCAAUCCAUUCAAGCCUAACCCAUUUUUAAAAAAUUCUCAAUUGAGCCCAAUUCAAUCUCCAAUUUCAACUCGUUUUAAAACUCUUUACUAAGAUAUGUUCCUAUAUUAAAGGUAUGAAUUAUUACCUAUUUAACAUCUUUUAGGAUUUAUCGAUCAAUUUGUUAUUUUUUUUAAAAAAAUCUUGAGCUGAAAUUCACAUUGUGAUUAUAAAAGUUAAAUAUCACUAAUUUAUUGGGAGUAACAUAAUACUGAGUUAGACUAGGGUCAGUCACUUAUAUAGUCCCAGAACUACGAGCCAUGUAGGUUUUAAGUCCUCUCUCUGGGCAUCAUUUUAGUGAUCACGCUAGCAUGUCUCUACACCUUUGGCUGGGUAUAUUGGGUCCUCUCGAUGGGGCAUAUACAUUAAACUCCACAUUUAGCUCAUGUGGUUUUAUGUCAUUUAUUAGUAGCUCCCACAGUUUAGUCAAAUUCUAUUACAUUGACCAUUUAUCAGUAUAGUUAGUAUUCAGUUUCAAUGAGUUAUGAAGGUAAAUAUUUAAAGCAAAUAGAGGAAAAAAUAAUAAAUAAUUAAAGAAGAGAAAAAGAAUAGUGCAAUUGAAACAUUAUGUAAGAGUUUUAAAGGUAAGGUUACUAAAAGGAAGGGACAAAAAGAAAGGAAUGGCAAUAUAUAAAGGGUCCAAAAGAAUUAGACGGUUACAAAAGCAUUUUAGAUGAUGUGAAAUUCAGUUUCCAUAUAUGGUGAUUUUUUUCAGUUAUAAAUCAAUUGUUUGUUGCAAAUAGAUUUCAAUUUCUAUUACAUGGGCUGAUUAAGCUAAGAAUUACUGCUUGAACUUUAUUGCAAAAGUUAUUUGAUUUCGGCUAGUACUACAUGUAACACCCCGUAUCCGAAAAUAGACCAAAUUGCAGAUUUUUGGUGUUGCAGGUGGCACUCACGGCACCAUCCACGGACCGUAGGAGGACCCACGGUCUAUCCUGCAGGUUCGUGGUUCGUGUCAGCAAACUCCCCCAAAACUCAGCCAGAAAUUCGGCCAAGUUUCGACCCACGGCCGGACCUACGGUCCGUAGGUCAGGUCACAGACCGUGGUUCGUGCCCGUGGAUCGAUGCCCCUAAAGCCCAACUUCAGUCCCGAUUGACGGUUGACCAACACAGAUCGUCAUUCGAUGCACGGUCCGUAGGUCUGACACUAAAUGAGGGUCAGCAGUCAGUUAGAUGAAAAUUGUGAUUGAGUCAACUUCAGAUGGUCAUAACUUUUAGCACAAAAUGAAUUAUGUGUCCCAUGACCUAUGAUAUAAUAGAUAAUCGAAUCUUCUUUCCAACGCCGCCGUUUGCUAAAAUUCGACCUCCGAGUGAAAAGUUAUGCUCGUUUUAGUGAAGACCGACGACCCCAAUCGACGGACCGUAGAUUGAAUGACGGCCCGUCAGUCCCGUCCNNNNNNNNNNNNNNNNNNNNNNNNNNNNNNNNNNNNNNNNNNNNNNNNNNNNNNNNNNNNNNNNNNNNNNNNNNNNNNNNNNNNNNNNNNNNNNNNNNNNNNNNNNNNNNNNNNNNNNNNNNNNNNNNNNNNNNNNNNNNNNNNNNNNNNNNNNNNNNNNNNNNNNNNNNNNNNNNNNNNNNNNNNNNNNNNNNNNNNNNNNNNNNNNNNNNNNNNNNNNNNNNNNNNNNNNNNNNNNNNNNNNNNNNNNNNNNNNNNNNNNNNNNNNNNNNNNNNNNNNNNNNNNNNNNNNNNNNNNNNNNNNNNNNNNNNNNNNNNNNNNNNNNNNNNNNNNNNNNNNNNNNNNNNNNNNNNNNNNNNNNNNNNNNNNNNNNNNNNNNNNNNNNNNNNNNNNNNNNNNNNNNNNNNNNNNNNNNNNNNNNNNNNNNNNNNNNNNNNNNNNNNNNNNNNNNNNNNNNNNNNNNNNNNNNNNNNNNNNNNNNNNNNNNNNNNNNNNNNNNNNNNNNNNNNNNNNNNNNNNNNNNNNNNNNNNNNNNNNNNNNNNNNNNNNNNNNNNNNNNNNNNNNNNNNNNNNNNNNNNNNNNNNNNNNNNNNNNNNNNNNNNNNNNNNNNNNNNNNNNNNNNNNNNNNNNNNNNNNNNNNNNNNNNNNNNNNNNNNNNNNNNNNNNNNNNNNNNNNNNNNNNNNNNNNNNNNNNNNNNNNNNNNNNNNNNNNNNNNNNNNNNNNNNNNNNNNNNNNNNNNNNNNNNNNNNNNNNNNNNNNNNNNNNNNNNNNNNNNNNNNNNNNNNNNNNNNNNNNNNNNNNNNNNNNNNNNNNNNNNNNNNNNNNNNNNNNNNNNNNNNNNNNNNNNNNNNNNNNNNNNNNNNNNNNNNNNNNNNNNNNNNNNNNNNNNNNNNNNNNNNNNNNNNNNNNNNNNNNNNNNNNNNNNNNNNNNNNNNNNNNNNNNNNNNNNNNNNNNAUGUUCAGAUUAUUUCAUUGCUUUAUUGCUUUGUUCAGUUAUAUGUUAUUUCAGCUUGACUCUAUCCUGCAUGCUUAGUACCUCUCAAGUACUGACGUAUACGUGCGCUACAUCUUCUCGUGAUGUAGGUUCAGGUUCUCAGCAUCCAGAUCACGCUUAGAUCGAUUCCCGAUCUUCAGUUCAGCAGCAUCAGUGGUGAGUCCUCAUUCUUCGAGGACUAGUGACAUGUUUAUCUUUAUUGCUUUUAGUCUUUAGUUUCAGUUUUGCUAGACCUAGUUGGGGCAUGUCCCAACAUUUCUAGUCAGUUUAGAGGCUUGUUUCAGACAUAAAUAGAUUCAGCUUAGUAUUGAGUUAAUAUCUUCCUUGUAUUAAACUCAUCAGUUUUCAUUUAUCUUGGUUAUAGUAUAUGGGUAUUCCCCAUCUUUUCAUCUUAUUUAUGAUUUAGCUUCCGCACAGUUUCUAUUAUUCAGAUUAUAUUUAGUAUGCUCAUGAUCAUGCCAGCAGGGCUAGCUUGGGAUCACUUGUGUUCCUAGGUCCCGUGUCCGCGUCUCGGGGGUAGCUCGGGGAGUGACACUACAUUUAUUAUAGGAAAUAGGAUUUGAUGUAAUCCUUAAUUUUGUGAUUUAGAAUAAAUAUACUAUUCUAGUUUUAAGAAUAAUUGCUCGCAAGUCACAAAUGAAAUACAAAAUUCAAUUUAAAAAUUAUUAAGAUUGUUUUAACAUGCAUAUGGCCAUGUGCUUAUAUAACAUUGGUAGUUAUAGUUUUGCUUAAUUCAUGUUCUUAGGAGUUAGGAGAUAAGCAUAAGAAAUUAAUUAGUGAAAUUCAAUACUAUUUUUCUUUGUUAAAAAGUAAAAAAGAGAGAUAAUAAUAUUGUCACUAACUUGAUGUAAAUAUUAUAUAAAACUAAACUUCUUUUUAGAAAACAAAAUAAUAAUCACAAAUGUGAAUAAUGAAAGAAACUGGUGUUAGAUUCUAAUAUUUGAAUUAUGAGUCUAAUAAGCAAAUGAGAAAAAAAAAGAGGCGAAAAAAAUGUUGCAUUAGGGGUUUACAAAAUUCAAAACAAGUCAAAGUUGAGUUAUUUUAUUUAACAAAUAACUAAAAUUAUUCCUUAAGUAUAAUAAAUACAUUUAACUUCUUACCUUACUCAUGCAAGUGUUGUUAUCAUUUAUCGAAAGUCCUAAUCCUUUAUAUGUGGAUAGACAUUGUACAGUUAUUUCAAAAAAAUCCUUUAGGAAAAAUGCAGUUGUUUGGUUCUACAGAUGCAGGACCUACUGUGAGGUAUUCACCUUGUGUUAAAAGAAUCAUUGGGCACUAACACAAGCACAUGAUUCAGGGCACUUGGAUGAGAGGUUUCCAAUGAUUAUGUGCUUGCGUCGGUGCCCAUCGAUUCCUUGACUCGAAAUGAACACCUCACGACAAAACCUGCAUCUAUAGCACCAACCUACUUGCCUCUUUUUGAUGUCUUGGUAAGCCGUUAGGCUUAUUGGUAGUUCCUGCAUUUUUUCAUAAAGGAUUUUUUUGAAGAACUGCAAAAUGUCAAUCAAAAUAUAAAAGAUCAGAACUUCCAGUAAAAUGAUAACAAUGUUUCCACGAGUAAGGUAAGAAGUUAAAUGUAUUUAUUAUGGUUAAGGGGUAAUUCUAGAUAUUUUUGUACAAAAACAACUCAACUCUUACCUCUUUUGAAUUUUGUGAAUCCCAAAUGCAAUAAUUUUUCCACUUCCGCUUCUCUUUUCUCAUUUGCUUAUUAGAGUCACAAAUUUAAAAGUUAGAAUCUUUUGUCAAAUUUCUAGCUUUAUUCACAUUCAUGGUUAUUAUUACUUUUUUAAAAGGAAGUUGAGUUUUAUAUAAUCUAUACAACGAGCUAGUAACCAUAUUAUCGUCUCUCCUUUUCUAUUUUUAAAAGGAAGUAUAGCAUUGGAUUUCCCUAAUUUUUUAUACCUACACUCUAUGAGCAUAAAUUCUAAUGGAACUAUAUAAUAGCCUGUCACUACCUAGCCCAAAGAGUCGCGCGGGAACCUACUCUAACACCUAGAUAGGAGAACCCUUAUACCCAAGUUAAGACAUGAAAUGCGGAAGUGAACAAUUAUAAACUAAUCACCUUAUUGUACAUACAAAAUUACUCUCAAACAUAAUUAAAAUAAAGUACUUUUGUACAGAAAAUACACUGAACCCUCCCCAAGAACUAGUGUAAACAAGUACAAGAGCUUCUACGAGAGUAGAAAAUUAUGAAAAAAAAAUACGACACAAUUCCCACCAUCAGGAAAAAAGAGUAGAAGCUAUCAAAUAUCAUCUUCAUUUUCACGUUAGAAACGUCACUGAUCCUACAACCAGACUAUGCCAAGUGGAAUAGCAAGAGUAGUAUCAGUAUAAACAACAUAUAGUGAUAGACAUCAUCGGUCUAUCAGAAUCCACCAUAUAACAUCAUGCAAAUAAUCAAAGAGACAUGAAACUUGGAGCUCAAAUUAGGUCUCUGAUACACUCAGUCGCCACUCUUACUAGAAGUAGUAUUACCUUGGAUUCAUACACUCUAUCUCAAGUCACCCCACCGCCUUCCUCUGCCAACUCCACCAUCCAGGUCAUUCCACCCUCAUACCAGAUCUGUCAUGCCCCGAGCCUACACCUUGGGCGGAACUGGCACUCGAGAACCAUUGUUGGCCCUAAGCGAACCCUUGGCCUGGCUUACUUACUCAGCGGAGGACUUAAACGCAAGAAAUAGUCUCAAAAGGAUAACUCAUGUAAUGUCUUAAAGAAAUAUCAAACUUAGCCAAAAUGGCUACUCAAGUCUUAAACGUAUACAACUGAAAACGGAAAGACUAAAGAACUAUAGCUACUCAUCUACAAAGCCUCUAAAACAAAGAGGGAUGUCGGGACAAGAUCCCCGAUCAUCCUAACAACGGAAAAACAAGAAAGAAAUGUAAAAAGGAGCCCUCCGGAAAGCAAUGAGGCUCACCAAUAGACUCUGAGUGCUCAACUGGAUCAAUGAGGCGCUGGAUGCUGAUCCUGCUUACCUGUAUCUGCAUCAUAAAACGAUGCAAGCCAAAUGGCAUCAGUACGAGUAUGCGAGGGGAAUACUAAAACAUACUGUAAGCUUGAAAAGAAUCUGAAAGGAACACUUACCUUGGCUUUACUCAACUCAUGAAUAACUUAACUCAAUAUAAAGCAACAACACAUGCAAUAUAUGGAAAGCUUUUAAAACAAUUGAAAGCAACUCAGCUUGUUAAAGAAAUGCGAUAACAACUCAACUUACUCAUAUAAUAAAGUAAUAUAAUACUGUGGGAGAUUCUCUAACUGACAACCACCACUAUGAGUCUAAGUGGUGAUACAACGUCUUGCCCACGCUACCAGAAUUGUCCUAUACUUUGCCAUCAUAAAGAACGCCUUAACUAAGUGGAUCUACUAGUCUAUGCUAAAAAGCACUAAGGAAUCAUCUAAAAAGUAUGAUCCUUUUCUACCCAUGAUGUCUACAUGAUUUAUGAAGACUUGAGUUAUUAUGAACUCGCGUCCCCAUAUCAGUGCUCAAUACUACUCCCAAAUAUACUCAGCUCAUAUGUUUUAAAAUAAAACUCUUUCUUUGGUUUGAGAUAAUUACUCAAAACUUUGCUCAAAAGCUCUUCUGGAAAUCGGUGUUUCCCUUCUUGUUCAAAUGUGAAAACAUUUUUAACUCUUGGGAAUACUUAGUUCCCGUAUAAUCUUUGAAGAAUUGAACUUUACUCUUACUCUUUACUCAACUCAAAGCUUAAGUCUUAAAACAAAGUUAAAACGUUUGUGAAAGACUUUUGGAAAACUUUAUGAAUUUCUCUGAACUUGACUCUUAACUUUCCUUGAAUUGAAUUAUGGAUUCAAGGAUUGUGAUUUGUGAUAGGAAAGAUCUCAUGAUGUUUAGGAGUGCUUUUAGAUAGUUAAACAUGAGAAAAUUAAAGAUCAAGAAAUCACUGUCUGGAAGCAAGUCCGCGACGCGGAGAUGCAUUUAAAUAUUUGGUCGCGAAAUAAAUUUUGAGGUAGAACGGUCCAUGACUAAUCCGCGACACAAAGGAGAUUUCCCCAAAUCUGAGGAACGGCACGGACCUGGUGCCCAGAUUCCCCCAACUUUUCCUUCUUCGUUUUUCCAACCCCAAAUAGCCUAAACUCAACUAUUUUUCUCAAAUUCUCUUUAGAUUCAGAUACCUAGUAAAUGUACCCAAGAACCUAACUCAAAACAACUCCAAAACUCGACGCGAUAGUCUUAAGAACUCCUCAAUUCAAUCCAAUUUAAGAACGAAAAUAAACUCAAGAACACAUAUCAAGAAUAUCAAACUUUCAACCCUUUUUAGGAUGAAUUUCGCUGAACUAAACAUGAUUGGCGUGUGGGUGAACGAACCCAACGCUAUGAAAGUCUCACAUACCUCGUAGGGAUUAACCUUUGGUGUAAUCCACACGCAAUUCUCCAAGAAAUCGAUGAAUCCUUGCUUCUUCUCUUCUUCUUUUCUCUUCUCUCAAAACCCUAACUCUUUUGCAAAAGUGUAAACUGAGCAAGUUCAGUUUAGACCCCAAUUAAUUACCAAAAACGAAAUGAAGUCAUUGGGUAUGGAAAAGACCAAAAUACCCUUCCAAAAUCCGGAUUGGACUUUCCUUAUCCAAACAACCCAACUUACAAUAGGCAUAUCUCAGUCAUACGAACUCGGAAUUGCGCAAACUCGGCGGCAUUGGAAAGAUAAUUCCAACAUAUUUCCUACGGUAUCUGGAAGCACACCUAACUCAUCCUGAUCUAGAAGUUGUGGUUGUUUGAAGUUGACCGAAAAUCCAAACUUUAGCCUAACUUAACAAAUUUCCAAUUUUUUCAUUCUUUCCUAAAAUGACUAAUUUUCAAUUCUAACUCUUUCUAGUUGUUUCAAUUAGCGAGAUGUUACAUGAUCAUUACCUAACCCAUUUAUCACAUAGAGAAUACCCGAAUACAAGACUGCUACAAACUCUUUCAACCAGCCUACUACACUCCCUCAAGGUCUGCAUGUCAAGACCAUGACCCUCGACUAAUUUAGUAAACUACUUGCAAGACUCUUACUAAACCACCUUAGCUAAAAUCCCCACAAUACAGUGUAAGGUAGUGAAUAAGGCCAAUUCCUAGUCAACAUCCUAACUUAACAACGCUUCAAUUAUACGAAAUAGGAACAUGUAACCACAACUUUACAACAACUCAUACAUGAUUCAUCACACUUUUCAAGUAACCCUGACCACCAAGGAUUCUUACGUCAUCAUCCACAGUCUUUAACAUGUAAUCUUGAUCUACACAAGAACCAUUCCAACAUUUAAACACAUAUCUCAGCCACUCAUGGACCAACAUGUUACAAUACAUCAUGAAGAAGUAAACAUAGUUCACUCAUGGAACCCACACACAAAUAGUUAAUGUACUAGGCAUUGUGCCUAAUCCAACCAUAUAAAUAUCCCUAUACUAAGCGUGGUGCUCGAGACAACCAUUAGUAUGUACCAUGUGUGGUAUCCGAGCUAACAAUGGGAUUCCAAUACCAGAUUUGGUACCCGAUCCAACCAUAUGAAUAUCCCCGUAGUAGGAAUGGUACACAAGCCAACUAUUAGUAUGUACCAAGCAUGGUACAAAAGUCGACUAGGGGUUAUUCUGUACCAUGUGUGGUACCCGAGCCAACCAUCAAUCACACAUAGAAAUCACAAUCACAAUAAAUGAUAAUCACCCUUGUACAUACAAGUAAGCACAUUCAUUGCGUACCAUUGACAAUAGUUAACGAUUAUGUUUACAUUUCUUCCAUUUCCCUAGCUAUACAUUAUGCAUGCCGUACUAACGAAACAGUUAACAAAAAUAUAUAACAUAAACAAGAAACAAACAAUCACCACCUACCCGAACAUGUUCCUUCCCGAAAGUUCCCUGCUCAAUAUCUGAUUACCCACAAUCACCUUCCCCUGAUAACAACCAACAACUGUCAUAAGGUCAACAUUAACUAAUCAAGUCUAUUAUCAGCCUACACCACAACUAACCACACAUUCAACCAUCCAGACUCCGAGCCCGAAGGCCAAUAUAUGCAAUCUUCGGACAACUUACAAGAAAUUAUGUGAAUAAAGAUAGGUCUCAGUACUCAGUUAAAAAGCCUAGCCUACCAGGUUGUCAAGUUGCUUCUGCAGAAAUCUGAUGAUAAACUUUUGACUCCUUUUGUGAAACUUUUGCUUGUUCUUGGUCUAAACUAAUAACACAAGUAAAAAAUAAAUCACAAUCGAGGUCAACCUUCCCAGAUUAUAAUGUAAUCCCAAUCCUAGGACAACCUCAUGAUUUUUCCACCCAAUCUAGGAUUUUCCAACAAUUAAUUAACCCUAAACUACCAAUUCCAUGGUUACAUUAGUGAUCAUAGUAAAUAAAUCAAGAUGAUAAACCCAUUUUUCCCACCUUAGGAUGAACCCACACCUUUUCCUAAGGCCACAAUUACUGCCUUUAAGGCCUAGAAAUCAAAGUACCGAAUUGGGGAACAAAUUACUUACCUUUACAAAGGUUCUUGAUGAAAAAUGUCUAAAAAAUCCCCUAUGUCGCCCUUGAUUUUGCUCAAGACGUUCUUGGAAAAUAAUGGGCAGUUUUAGGGGUUUUCUGCAUUUUUACUGCAAUUAACCAUGUUGUAGAGGCCCAAUAGGGGCCCAAAUCCCGCUAUUGCAUCCCGAAUCAGCCCCAUAGCAAGUUUGUUUUUACCGUUAUAGUAGCAUGUCACCCGCUAAAGCGACUUGCAUGAGACUGAACCUCUAAAAUCUUCUCAAAUUAGUCUAUUUUGCGACAAACCUUCAAAUCGUUACGUAGUUACACUGACCCCUUUGCACGAAGUUCAAUAAGAGUUCUACUCACCCGAAUUCUCUUUUUUGAAAAGUCCUAUGGACUCCUUUACUUCUUAGCUAAUAGUUAAACCAGCCAAACCGUAGACAUUUUAUCCAAUCCUUUCCCGGAUUUCCCUAGACCUCACCUUGUUCAGAUUUUGUUUGAGACUAGCUUAGCACAAAAUUUUCAACUCACUACCCCAAAAGUUUUCUCACUCAAAUUCUUUCACAUUUGGUUUACCCAUAACAACCGGAAGGGUCGUUACACAACCAAUGCUAGAUAUGCACAUGACUAAACACUUGCAAAAUCAACGUUAAAAAGUUAUCAUUUGAAUUUUGUACUUCAUUUGUGACUUGUGAGUAGUUAUUUUUAUGAAUGUAAUAAUUAAAAAAAUUGUUAUUCACUUAAAAAUUUGACAUUUAAUUCAGGGCUAUUUUUGAUAAUUUUCCCUAGAUUUUAUAAGAUGAUUUGAUGACUAGGAUUCAAUAGAUCGUAUUGCUUAUUAGUGAAGACUGUCAUUUUCUUUUGGCUUUGUGAAUUCUUCUUAUUAUGUUGACAGUUAGAUUUUUGUAGUAUGAUUGUAGAUUGAAAAUUUGUAUAUUUGGUACAUAAUGUUCCGGAAAGUUAUAUUUGGUUCCUAAACCAUUUCAAUUCCAUUCAUAAUGUUCUGAAUUGAUAAAUCCAAAUCUUUUAAUUAUUAUAUAUUUUUUCAUUUUUCAUUUUUCGGGGCCACCUUAUCUUGGUCUAAAGCUUUAAUGUUUAAUGAUAUUUAUGAAUUUUAAAUAUUACUCUCUCCGUCAAUUUUAUAUGAUGUAGUUUGACUUGACAUGGAAUUUAAGAAAGAAAAAAAGACUUUUGAAACUUGUGAUCUAAAAUGAGUGAUAUAUGUUUGUGUGGCUAUGAAUCAUUUCAUUAAAGGUAAAAAGGACAAUUUAAAGUUAAAUGAGUGAUAGAUGUUUAUAUGUCUAUCAAUUAUUUUAUUAAAGGUAAAAUUGACAAUUUAAAGUUAAAUUAUUACUAAAUAUAGAAAUGUGUCAUUUUUUUUGGAACUAACUAAAAAAGUCAUAUAAAUUGGGAUAGAGGGAAUAUAAAUUAUAUAAUUUUGUUAUUUUUUCAUGAUUGCACAAGGUGCGGUGAAAUUCACUAAUCAUCAUAUUAUUUUAUAUUAUCAUAUAUUACUAAAAGUGGGAAUGAGUUUUUGGUUAAAAUCAUCCCUCAACUAUGACUCAAAUCUAAUGUACAUCCUUAUAUUAUCUAAGUGAGCUAAAAACAUCCUUGUACUAUCUAAAAAAUAAAAAGAAUCAUCUUUCAGCCUAUUUUUGUUAAGAAACUCACGCCACCAAUAAAAAAAAUGUGCCAAGUCGAAUAUGAAUAUAUAAACAGAUGGUUAAGCUAGUGAAGUUGGGUAAUUUUUUUAAUUUUUAUAAAUUGAGGAUUUAAAUCAUAUUCGGACAAAUAUAUUCAAAUUUAAUUUAUUUUUUUUGUAAAAAUGUCACGACCUAGACCGUUGUGAUUGACACCCACACUAACCCUCCGGUGGGAGAACCGAUACUACAACCCAACUAAGCAACUUAACCAAGAACUAUGCAUUUAAAGAUACGGAAGCAAGUUUAAAUGACCUAAGAAAUACGGAGUUCCCAUAAACUCCAAAGGUUUAAAUAACUAACUAACCAAACAAAUGCGGAAGUCUUAACCCUUAGAACCUGAAAGUCAUUGUACCAAAACUCUACUAACGACAAGUCUAAGAACAAGGGGUACAACCUCGAAACUAAAUAAACACCUUAAACAAAUAGUCUGAGUCCGAAAAGAGUGGAGUUAAACAAGAGAGAUCCAUGACAGCCUGAAAGAACUGGCUCACCCUUGAAUUCGGUCACGCUCAAUAGCCACCUAGCUGAGGUCUAUCCAUAGCCGCCUGAAGAUGCCCUGUUCUCAACAAAGAACAAGCAAGUGCAAUAUCAACACGUAACCACAAUGUACUGAUAGGAUCACACAACUAUCCCAAUAAGUGAAACACAUGCAAGUAACCACAACAUUAUAAAACAGGCAUAUACCGAACAUAUACAAUAUUAGUAAUCUUUCCAGGAUCAAUGUACAAUUCAACAUUCUCAACAAUACACAUAUGUAUAACAAGUCAUUGGUCCUCUCAUGGAACCCAAACCCAAACAGUUAGUGUACCGGAUCGUGGCACCCGUUCCAAGUUAGUGUGUCGGAUCGUGACACCCGUUCUAAUAUUUAUGUCAAUACAUGACAUUAGAUCCCAGUUAGUGUGUCAGAAUGUGACACCCGCUCCAUUCAACAUACCACAAUCACAAUCACAAUGUACAUUCUCACAAUCAUACAAUUAAGAGGUGAUUCAUGGUAUAUAGUUAUUCGUUCAUACUCAUUUACGAUUAGUGUGAUCAAUAAAGCAACAUUCACAUACAUGCAAUAUAAUGAAGCAAGUUUAAACAUAUAUCACACAACAUGAAAUCACAAACAUCACCUACCUCGAACAAAUCUUGAAUUCCCUAAGAAACUUGAUUCUUCCCUUUCCGAAUUCUUUCCGCUUGUUCUUGGUCUACAAACAAUCAAUAUAACAUAGGAAUCAAUACGAUGUCUAAUUACCCGGAUUAAAGUUAAUACUAUCAACCCUAGAUCAAACCCAUGAUCUUAAUAUCCAAAUUAGGGUUUUUUCCACCAUAAAUUCCAGAUCAAAACCCUCCCCCAUCGAUAAUUACCCAUUAGUUACGUUCUACAGACCGAAACUUGGAUUCGGGGAGUGAAAACCUUACCUUUAGCCUCAUGAAUGGUGGAAAACUAUCAAGAAAACACAUGGGGUAGUUCCUUAGCUCUCAAAGUCAAAAGGUGCAGAAUAAUGACGUUUUGGAGUUUAUUUCCGAUUUAAGUCGCGUCUGUCCCGCCAUAGCGGUCCUCACCCCACUACAACGGCCUCGCCCUGGCGGCACAAAUCCCGCCAUAGCGGCUUGCAUGGAAACAGAGAGCUAAUUUAAGAGUUUCAAAGCCCCAUUUCACAACACACCUUCAUCCCACGACACUCAGAAAAUACCCGUUCAUGCUAAGAUCAAUUUCGGGAGUUCUGCUCGCCCGAAUUCAAUUUCGUAAAGUCGUACGGGUUCCUUAACCCCUUAGCUAUCUACUCUUAUGAUCAAAUUCAUAAUUAUAUCUCCCAUCUCUCACCAGAUUUCCCUAGACCUCAGUGACUCCGAUUUCGUCCAAAACUAGAUUAGGUUGGGAAAUUUCAAGAUACUACCAAAAAGUUUUUCGGUCCAAAUUUUUUCCCCGUUGCCUUUUUCCUAAUGACGGAAUCAGGUAGUUACAAAAAAGUAUGGCCAAAUAUAACCCAAACUACAAAAUAUUCAAAUAAAGUAAUUUUUUUAUUUUCAAAGUAAACGGCUACGUAAUUUCACUAAAUUUCCAACAUUUCUGUACAUUGUUUAAAAUGUGAAUUGCAUUUUAAAAUGAAUUUCUUGCAUAAUCUUUCUAAUCAUCGGAACCUACUGUAUAAAUAUUUCAAGACUUGUGUAUUGUUGCAAGUCAAUUUACUUGAUGAUGCAAAAAAUUAUAAAUUAACAACACACAAAAUUUAAAUUCUUGAGAAUGAAAGACUCAUUUUCUAUCCAUAUGUUUAUUCUUUUUAGGUAACUUUAAUCUUCUUGUUGUGGCUAAAACUUGAUGAACAAAUUAAAAAAUAUUUUGUUUAUUGCCUCAAUCAGUUUCUUAACAAAAAUCGACUGAAGGACGGUUCUUGUUAUUUUUUGAAUAGUAUAAGGAUGUUUUUUGCUCGCUUAAAUAAUAUAAGGAUGUACAUUAGAUUUGAGUCAUACUUGAGGGAUGAUUUUAGCCAAAAACUCAAGUGCGAAGCUCCAAAGAUGAAAAGUUAGAUUACCAUUUUACCCCUAGGUUAAAUUGAACAUCUAAUUAAUUAAAUAUUAAAAGAUAAUAUUUUAAUUAUUAUAAAUUGUUAGUUAUUUAUUAUAAAGACUAUGAAAGAAUCAUUAUAUUUAUUUUAAUAGUAUUUGACCUUUCAAUUUUCCAUGUGACUUUUCACGUUUCCGUAAUUUUUCGGAAGCUCCAAAGAUGAAAAGUUAGAUUACCAUUUACCCCUAGGUUAAAUUGAACAUCUAAUUAAUUAAAUAUUAAAUAACAAUAUUUUAAUUAUUAUUUGAAUUGUUAGUUAUUUAUUAUAAAGACAAUGAAAGAAUUAUUAUAUUUAUUUUACUCCUACGCUAAAUUAAACAUUCUAAUUAAUUAAAUAUUAAAUAACAAUAUUUUAAUUAUUAUUUGAAUUGUUAGUUAUUUAUUAUAAAGAUAAUGAAAUAAUCAUUAUAUUUAUUUUAAUAGUAUUUGACCUUUGAAUUUUCCAUGUGACUUUUCAUGUUUCCGUAAUUUUUCGAAAGCUCCAAAAAUGAAAAGUUAGAUUCAUUUUACCCCUAGGCUAAAUUAAAUAUUCUAAUUAACUUUAUUAUAUAAUAAUAUUUUAAUUAUUAUUUGAAUUGUUAGUUAUUUAUUAGUAAGACAAUGAAAGAAUUAUUAUAUUUAUUUUACCCCUAGGCUAAAUUAAACAUUCUAAUUAAUUAAAUAUUAAAUAAUAUUAUUUAAAUUAUUCUUUGAAUUUUUAGUUAUUUAUUAUAAAGAUAAUGAAAGAAUCAUUAUAAUUAUUUUAAUAGUAUUUGACCUUUCAAUUUUCCAUGUGACUUUUCAUGUUUCCGUAAUUUUUGUUCUAUAAAUUCAACUUUUCCAAGAAAGACUUUUAUUUACUACUCCGACAUUUCUUGUGUGUAGGAGCUCUAAACAGGUGAAAUAAUGUCACAAUUUGUGGUGAAAGUUGUGAGAUCCCCUUAUACAGUCAUGAUAAUAGACAAGAAUUCAACUAUUGAAGCAUCGAAGCUUGGUGUGUUGGUUUUAUAUUUAUUUGUAGUAAUUAGAAUUAUAAUAAUACUUUUCUAUCCCUCUUCAUAUAGUUGAAUUGUUGUUUUGUUAGCAACUUGAUUUAAUUGCAGAUUUUUAUUUUGUAUGCUCAAAUAUUCAGUUUUCGUUAUAGAGACAAAAGCAAAAAAAAAGAAGAAGCCUAAUUGUCUUGCUCAUGUGCAUCUUUUUUUUUUUGUUCUUUGUACUUAUAAUUUUACAUAUACAUUAACUUUCAUCUUUAAGAAUGAAUGUGAUAAAAUGUUUACUCUUUUUUAUUAUUGGAAAAAAGAAGAAGAAGGUGAAACAUAUAACAUUAGAUUAAUGAUGGAUAAGUUAUGUAUGAAGAGAAAAUUAAAUUCUAUAUAAAAAUAGUAGUUAUGUUCAUAAAUAUCCUGAUUUUUAAAAUAUAAAUAAUAAGAACUUUUACACCUUAGUUUUAAAUAUUUAUAAUUAACUAAUUAGUUUAAAGUGCUUGUGGAUAAAAAAUUAAUAUAAUAUUUUGAACACAUUCAUUAUAAUUAUUAGGAGAUUCAAAAGACAAAGUAAAAAAGUUGAAAGGUUUUUGUUUUCCUUUCACUCAAAGUUAAUCUUACACCAUUUUUGGUACAAAAAAAUAAAUAAUCUCCUCUCAAGCUUUUAAUUGAAGAAACAUUAAUAUUGCACUAUGAUUUGCAGAUGAUUACUCUCAUGCAAUCUUUUGAUCUUCUAACAUUAUUCUACCAACAAAAAGAAACUUUUAACACUAUCGAGAAAUUUAAUUUAGAUAGUUGUUAUCUUUUCCUUUUUUGCUUUACAAGCUUAUUUUUUGACUUAUAAAUAGAGUUUAUUUUAUUAACUUCUUAUAUUAUUAUCUCAGUACAUUCACUUGGAGGUCAUGAAAUUGGUGUGUCACAAUUAGUAGUAAGACAAAGUAAGAAACUUCAUUAGACAUAUUUUAUAAAAAAGAACUCAAAUCAUAUUUUUUAAUAGUAUUUAUUUUUUAAAGAAAUAAUAUACUCAUUAAUACGGGUUACACGGGCAAAGCGCGUUCCCUGAAACUAGUAUUAUUAAAAAUGGGAAGCUUCAAAUUGCAAAGAUGGAUUACUAUUUUACCCUUAUACUAAAUAAGAAAGUUACAAAACAUCUAAUUAACUCAAUAUUAAAUAGUAAUCAUAUCAUAUCAUUAUAAUAUUAUAUUUUCACGACCCGAAAAGUUAACUUAUGGUGACACCUACAAUAACCCACCAGUAGGUAAGACAACUCAUAUCCAAGAACGACAAGUAAUAUGCAUAUUAAGUAGAAACAACAAACCAUAAGGAAUAAAGAGAAGUUCAAAAGAUAUACAUCAGAAAAAGAUAACAACAACAAUAUAUACAAACCAUAAAAUAGAUCUAGUUCCAUGACUUGGUAGGGCCAAGUACAAAGCUACAAAAAGAGAGUACAAGUCCCAAAAGUAUAACAAAAGUAUAGACUUGUAUCGUAUGCAAUAGUACCCAGAAACUACAUCUAGAGGGAGAUAAGUUGAGCUUGAAUGUCACCAACUCACCCUCAACAUCAAAGAUCUCCGCAGCUGGACCGAAUCAACUCUGGUUGCUGGCACUAGGAUCUGCAUCACGAGACAGAUGUAGAGUGUAGUAUGAGUACCAAAAAAAGGGCACCCAGUAGGCAUCAUAGACCGACUGAGCUCGGAAAGUAAAGACAAUAUGAAAAUUGAGAAACAAAAGAAACUAUAAGUCACAAGAUGAACCGAUAACAAAAAACUUCACUGUAUGGCACACGAGACUAGGAAAGGACAAACGGUAAAGUAACCAGCUAACUAUUACCUAACUGGACCCUAUAUGUCUAGAAGGUACACUCAUGUGCAAUUGAAAGUAAAUUACCCAAAUAGACCCCUAUAAGCCUGAAGAGUGCACAUAAGAGCUAAGAAAUCUGCUAGCUGAGUUAAGAAAUAUUUCAGAACAUAAACGAAUCACCAAGUGAGGAAUUGAACCGGACUCACAGAAGUGACGCUCAGACUUUAACAAUGUCUAGUAGGGAUACACAUGGCCCUCAAAUCCUGGAUGAUAGGAAUGCACACAGACCUUGAAUUGAAGGUAGUAAUCAUCAACAUAAAUCUCAAACCGUGGAUAAAGAACUCCAAAUGUUUCAAAAUAUCUCGCUUGUCCUCAUACAGAACCACAACAUAGAGCAAAACCAUCUUGGAAGCCACCAAGGAUGAACUCCAGCUCCCAACCUAAGACUCAAUUUAACAGACUUCAUGGCUCGAAAUCGCCAAUGAACACACCCGGGUCAAAUCAUAAGGGAAAAUAUGGAUGUACAGUCAUACGAGUUGAGUUCUCACCUAGCUAAGGAUCAUACUGUGAAACUCAAGCCUGCUAUAUCAGUCUACAUGGAGCUAAGUUGUCCAAAGCAAUGUCAGAGAAUCUCUAAGACCUAUCAACUCCAAAAUGCAAGUCUAAGAUAAUCACUAGCCUACGCCUAGACUAAGUCCCAGAAAAAAUCUAGAAAUAACAAUAUAAUGACAACAUGGAAACCACAGGGAAAUGUAUAGUCAACUCAACCAAAAUAGGCAUGCUUGAUUCCUUAGGAAACCUGAAAAUAAGGCUAACAAAUGAAUCUCUACUAUUAAAAAUGAUACGAUCUACAACCCAACCCAAACCUAGAUAAUCAUUAUGAAUUUAGUGUUACAAGCUCAAUAUAAAGACCCAUAAGUUGUAGCCUAACUUUAAGUUGGUCGUGCACUCCAAAAUCACAAUUAUGGAGUUUUCCCCUUCUCAAUGGCCUCCGGUCACUAACACACUAUCAAAUAAAUGAUCACAAAAAUCAAUACGAAUGUUUUGAUACCAAAAUCGAAAUAAUUGAAGAUAGACCCAAAAAUGAGUCAAAAACUCAAUUAUGGGAGCCGCAAUGGGAAUUCCAAAAUUAACUCUGACAAUUGGUUGUUAUUUUUUCAAGGAACUUGUUCCUUGAAAACGGGUACUAUACAAGCCUUAAAAUAUCACCACAUAACACAUGCAUCAAAAUUAACAUGAAAUCCACCAUUAAUGUCUACCAAGGGAGGUUCAGGAUGAUGAUUUACCUUCUAGACGAGUCCCCCCACACUCUCCCGAUGAUCUGAAAUGUUGCCUCAACAAAUUUCUAGCAAUUAGCAACUUAAAUAUCUCAAUUUGGAACUCCCUAGAUCGAGAAUCAAGUUCUCCAUAAGUGAAACUAAGCUGAAAAUGAGACACAUCUUCAUUAAAACACUAAUCAAAUAACCAUCGCAAACUCAGGACCUUGUCCUUAAUCGCAAGAGGUCCAACCCCCAAAGCUUCACGAAUGUGACGCCGAGCCCUUAAUGCGAAGGGUCAACCUCUUGACCUUCACAAAUGCUGCUUAAGGUCCACAAACACGAUGACCAAUCCUAUUAGUCUCCACAAAAGAGACACUUGUCUCGUGAAUGCGGAGGCUUUCAGACUGAUUUUGAGAAACCUUAUGGCUUAUGGCUAACAUAGAGUUUGGGUGUAGGACACACUUUUUAUAGAGACGACCUUUAUUGGAAGUUUUUUCAGUUCUGUUGAGUACAAAAUGUCAUUUCUUAUUGAGUAGAAUUUUAGGUUUGCGUUGAUGGGAUCUAAAUCUAAUUUAGAAAGUUCGAUGGAGAUUUGGGAUUUUAGUCCCAAAUGUUGAUGAACCAUUUGUUGGUGUAGUUGCUCCUGUGGAGUCUAGCUCGCACUUAAGACCUCGCUUAUGUGGAGCCAAAGGCCUCUCCAGGGGGUUGGCUGCAUAAGAAAGUCUUUUCUUAUGAGGAGAGGCCAUCACACCUAUGGGAUUGUGCCUUAUGAGAUGAUUUGUCGGUGACCCUCACACCGGUGGCCAAUUUUUUGCUUCGACGGCAUCACGCAUGUGUCAUUGGGGUCAUCAAAGAGGCACAUAUAGUGAUUAAAUGAUAGUUCUUCCUUCAUUAUUUAAUUUAUCAUUUAUUAGAACUGAGAUCUCCUCUUGAGUAAUUUUUUUGCUUUAGGUUGAGAAUAUCUUGGGGACGUCAUCUCAGUCGUCAUUCUCGCUUCUAAAUUGUAAGUCCUCAUUAAUUCUCUUAAUAUUUCUCGAAUUGGUUCUUGUAAGCUAACUUAUGUUAGCUUAUUUUGUGGCAUUUAAGGGUCAAACUGUAGCCAUUUUAGGGGAAUAAGUUUCUUGAGGUAGUUGGGUCCUAUUAGGUGAGUCAAUUUUGUGAUUCCUUGCACAUGUCCUCACCGUUUUGACCCAAUUUUGAACCCAAGUGUAAUUAUUACAAUAUGUGUAUUGUCAUACUCAUUGUGAAACGUAGUUAGUAUCAUGGAAUUCAAAGGACAUGAAGAAGAGUUGACCAGCUUGUGGUCGGUUCAAGAUUUAUAGUUCGGCUUCUCGGUAGGCUAUGGUUUACUUUCUUUUAGAUUAUACUCCAUGAUAUAUUAAUUAUUAUGAAUUGCAUGUGGGUUAGGGAUGUAUAUGGAGGUUUAGUUUUACUUCAUUAUUCUUAUUUUCUUGGUUUCCAAAGGAGCCUCAGGCUAGGUUAGUCUUACAAGAUCCUUAGCUUAGACUAGUAUCCCCUACUUACAACUUAGUUUAGUGUUGUCCUCUUCAGAGAUGAUGUUCAACAACUUAGAAUAUUUAGUGAACUGAGUGCCUUAGAGAGAGCGUUUAGUGAUUCCUUAGCUAUUAUUGUUGCUAUGUGUAGUAAUUACAAUAGAUUGGAACCCUCUACUAGUGCGUUGACGGAGGGCUUGGUUUGGUGUUGUAAGGAUUCACCUCAAAUACACCCUUAGACUUGGUAGUAAUCUCUAUCACAUGUUAGGUUAUGGAACCUUAGUUUAUUGGUUGUUCUUAGUGUUCACUUGAGUAGUACCUUUGGGUAGAGGUUGAGACCCUUGGGUUACUUGUCCAAUUGCUUGAUUUUUCACAGUUUCCUUUGUUUCCUGAGUUUUGGUGAUUAUUAUUAGAUAUUAUUAUUGAGUAUGUUGGAAUGUUAUUUCACUCGAGGCCCUGGUGUAGAACCAACUGGAUUCCAAGUUAUUUUCCCAUGCUCUAGAAUCACAGUGUUCCAUUUACGUACAUUUUAUUGUUUAGAUGUUUAUUGUUUCUACACAGGUGAUGGCAUGUUUUGCAUGGAUACUCAUUUUCAUAUGUUUUCUGGUACGAUCCGAGUAAAUCAUUGAUUUUAAGUUCCAUUUUAGAAGGCAUGGUUUUUCACUUUUCCCCUUAAAACUAGUUUUGAUGGGAGUCAUAACACUUUUACUACUUUAAUAAAUUGAGUUUUAAGUUAAAGAGGCAACAAGGAUGCGCUCACUACUUACUUCAUUGGUCGAUUAGAUUAUAGACUCUUUCUUACAUUUUUACUUAAUGGUCGAGGAGAUUGUCGUCCCUUUCCUACCAUCUAUUUGAUCGAUUGAGCAGAUUUCCGACCCUUUCUAUAUUGAUGUGGUUUUCAUAUGUAUCGCCAAUACUUUGAUAGAGUAUAUCUGGUACUCUGAUAGAUAGUCUCCGAAAGUCUUGCAUCGGAACAAAGUAGUAUAUAAGGACUUCCUGAAUCCCCUACCAGUCCUUCCGUCUAUGUGACACAUUGAACAAGAGAAGUAGUGUCUGCAUGGGUCCUAACUAGCAUGCCAGGGGCAGGAGGUUUGUAUAUAUACUGUUACGUGGAUCUUGGUAUUGAUGGCACUACCUGUUUUCUUUGCAUACUUUCAUUCAUAUGCUAGCUUGUUACCAGUACAAUAAAUUGUUGUUUACACCUGCUGGUCUUAUGGGGGCGGUUGGGUUAUGUUUGUUGUUGUGUACCUCCUAGUCUUCUGGGGUUUGGUUAGGUUAUUGUUUGAUUGUAAUUUUUUAUUUUGUGUUAGUCGAUAGUUUUAAAAUAAUAUUGGCCUAGAUUUUUUCCCUUCAAUUUCCUCUAUAUUAGUACUUCCAAAUAUCAUUGAUAAACACAAUCACAAAUAUGUCAAGAUAUUAGUUGAAGACCCUAGUCAUCAAAUCCAUGAAGGCCGUCGGGGAAUUAGUCAAACCAAAAGAUAUCACAAAAAACUUAUAAUGUCCAUUUCGAGUUCAAAAAGCCAACUUUGGAAUGUCAUUGUCCUUCACCCUAAAUUUGUUAUAACCCGACCGAAGGUUAAUCUUAGAGAAGUAACUCUCUCCUUGGAGUUGAUAAAAAAAGUCACAUGUCCUUGGAAUAGGAUACUUAUUCUAUAGUAUGACCUUAUUCAAUUGUCGUUAGUCAGGGCACAUUCAGAGAGAACCAUCCUUUUCCAAACAAACAAUACUGGAGAACCCCAUGGUGAGAUACUCGGUCUAAUGAAACUCUUAUCUAAAAAAUCCUUCAAUUGAUCCUUUAACUCCUUAAGUUUUGCUGGGGUAAUAUGAUAAAGAUGAAUAAAAAUAGGCUGCCUAUAUGGUAGAAGGUCAAUACCGAAGUCUAUUUCCCUUUCAGGAGGAAUACGAGGAAGAUCAUCAGCAUUAACUAACAAAAACUCAUUUACAAUCAAAACUGACUCAAGAGUAGGGGUUUCAGAGUUUGUAUCCCUAACCCUAACAAGCUGAUAAAUGCAAUCCUUAGAAAUCAUUUUCAUAGAUUUUAGGCAAGAUAUAAACUAACCCUUAAGACCAUGAUUUCCCCUUCCCAUGACAUGACAUGAUAGGUUCGUUGGGAAAAUGUGACCAAUCGGGUCCUACAAUCUAUGGAAGCGUAACAUGCAUGAAGCUUAUCCAUCCCAAGAAUAAUAUCAAAAUCUAACAUAUCAAGCUCUCAAUAUCAACAUGAGUGACUCUAUGAGAAACAAAAACAUGACAAUUUCUAUAAACUGUUUUAGUGAAUAACAGAAUCACCAAUGGGAGUAGAGACAUAAAAAGGAUUAGAAAUUAUUUUGGGACCAACAUCAAAUCUCAUAGGCACAUAAGGAGUAACAAAUAAUAACGUAGUACCAAAAUCAAGCAAAGCAUACAUACCAAAAUGAAAGACUUUCAACAUACCAGUCACCACAUCUAGAGAUCUUUCAUGAUCCUGUCGGGUCUGAAGAACAUAAAAUAUAUUCUAAUGAGGAGCACCCAAACCCGAACCACUAUCUAGGCUGAGCUCGUACCAUCCUUACCAUUUCUACCUUGUAAUGGACAAUGCUUCACUUUGUGACCACUCUUUCCAUAACCAAAGAAACCAUCCGUACCGGCUAAAGAUUUUCCCGAGUGAGUCUUACCACACCUUUGUAAAAUGGGAACAAAAUAUCAAUUACCACCACCCCCUUGAAUCUUAGGGUUAGACACCCUAUAUUUAUUGAACUUAAAGGUUGGAGCAUUGGAAGAACCUUGACCUGAAAACUUUUGCUAGAAUUGAGGACGCCCAUGUCCACCAGACCUUGAAUGAGGAAAGUCACCAUCACUAGUCCUUUCCCUCUUGGAAUCUCUUGUCCUUUCCUUGAUUAUUUCCUCUUCAAUUUUUUGGGAAUGUGUCAUCAAACGGGAUAUAUUCAUCUCCUUAAUCAACAAGGCGGUUCAACAUUCUUUAACAACCAAAUCAGAAACACCUGACACAAACUUAUUCAUUCUUGUCUAGAGUCGACAACCAUUGUUGGAGUAUACUUAGACAAUUGAGUGAAUUUCAAUGAAUACUCCUUCACACUCAUAUUUCUUUGACAAAGAUUAAUGAAUUCAAGCACCUUUGCUUCUCUCAUCUCAAGAGGAAAAAAUCAAUCAAGAAAAGCCCCUUUAAAUUUGCCUCAAUCAAAAGUACCCGUAUCAACCGCCCUUUCUUCCUUUCAUCGGUUAAACCAAACUUGUGCAACACCUUUGAAUUGGUAAGCAGCAAAUUUUGCCUUUCUACCCUUGACACUCCCAUAAUUCCCACUAUCUUAUAGGCCUCAUCAAUGAAUUUUUUUAGGAUCCUUAUCAACCUUGGAACCAUGGAACUCUGGAGGAUUCAUCCUACUGAAGUCCCUUAUCCUUGUUGCCAUCGUACCCAUAUUUGGGUUCACGGGAGCAAUGACUUCUAUAUUCGCUUGGGUCAUCAUAUUUUGAGCCAACACUUGAAAAACAGUUUGAAAUUUGGCAUGAGUAACUUGCUCGGCCAAAGGGUCAAUUGGGGCUUGACGAACCUUGGGCUCCACAAUAUUAGCCACGUUUAUUCUCACAUAAGCUCUUCGAGGGGCCAUACCCUGAAAAAGCAUCAGACAAUAAUUAGGAAAAGGACAUUGAUAUAAAUCCAUGGCACGAGUUUAGAGUAGUUAAAGAAGUGCAGUUUCCUAAAUGCUUUGUAGCCUCCUAUUCAUAAAUGUGGCGCGCUUCAUACUCAUGAAUACGACUCUAUUUAACACGGCUUAUCAGACAUUCUAUGUACUUUUUCUUAAACCUUGUGCUCUGAAUACCAAGUUUUUCACAACCCAAAGUACACCCUAGACGGGACAUGGCGUAUAAGACCCUAAGAGGACCUAAACAAGCCCUUUGACAUACAUCCACCAUAAUAUAAUAGACAAAAACAAAAAUUCUCAUAUUAUUUAAGAGUUUGAUAUAAAAGAGGAAGUCUAACAUAGUCUCAAUAAGUCAAUCUAAUACAUCAAAAUAAGUGGUCGGGAUGUAACCCGUACACCAUGUAAAAUGUCUGAAACUAAAACAUAAGAAUAGUAAGUAAAGGUGACAUGGUACUCGAAACAUGAGGACUCACCAAAUCUUCAAAUGUAGAGAAUCCAAAUCUAAACACGAGUGGGAGGAGAUGAAGCGUCACACCCUACAUUAUUGGAAAAUGUAGGCAUAAGUAUGAGUUAUUACAUUGAAUAUACUAAAUAUGAGGUAUAUUCAUAAACAUGAAAACAUGAUUAUAAGGGGACAUAAUAGGAAAAUAUGAUAUGCAUGACCAAGCUAAACAUAGUAAAAACUUUAUGGAAGGAUCAUAAAAUAUGAACAUGGUCAAUGCAUCUUAGAAUCAUAUGCAAGCUUCAUAAAACCUUAGAAAUUAACUUAGUUCAUUUUGUGGGAUAUUAGCUUUAACCUCAAAUAGACCAUGUGAGUUAUACCAUGUAAUCUAAUGUAACUCCCACAUCGAGAAUGAAGAGUCUACUUGUCAAGGUAGAACUUAGCAUCAUAUCAUAUUCUAUUUAUUGAUCUACUAGCUAGGUCAUUUAAGAAAAUUAUAUGGGGCACGUAGUUUGGAACUAGAGGUUGCUACUAGAGACAACCCUAUUUGAGCCUCCACCUCAAAGUUCUCUCGGUGCUAAGCUAAAUCUCAAAAGAAUAGUCAAUUUCAUAAAGAGAAUCAUCAUAUAUGGAUAAACACAGUUUACUUACUAAUCCAAGCUUAAAUCAUUAUAUAGGAGCUCCUUAAACCAUGUGUGAAAAAACCUUUCACCAUUCAUGAUUUCUUAAUGUGAGAAAACUUUUCACAAUUUCAUUGAUGUUUCUCUUGAAAUCAACCUUUAGAUCAUAAAAAUAUUUUCAUCAAUCAUGCAUAAACAUUAAUAAAUCCUCAUUCACAAAUCCAUAACUUUCUUCAUAAACUCAUAUCUUCAUAAAUUCACGGUCAAAAUCCUGAAUAAUGCAUGUGUCUUAAAGAAAUCAAUAGAAAAUCGUGUAGUUUAAUAAAGACUUGCAUAGGAAUAUUGAAAUUCAACAAUUAAAUGAACAUCAAUUAAGACCCAUGAAGAUCAGAUGAAACCCUAAGCAAUUUAGGAUAAAUUGAAUUGGAAACUUAGAAAUCCUUUAGGACCCAUUGGAUAAAUGAAAUCCAAUGGUAAAAUUCCAUAUACCUUGAAUAAUCCUAGCUUUAGAAUUGAAAGAGGAGACUUGGAGCUUGAAAGUCCCUUGAAUCUGUUGAAUCCUUGGGAGAAAACUUGGAGAAAUUUUGGUGUUUUGAGUGAAUGAGAGGGAAUGGGUGGAUUAGGGUAUUUAGAAAUAAUUUAUACUAAUUUAGAAUAGGUAAAAAAUGACAUAAUGUAGGGUAAACAGUGUUGGAAAAUACCCAAAUAGCCCUGACUUAAAACUGUCGAAACACUCUCUACGGAAGCCUUUCACUGACCCUCAAUCACUUUAGUGUUCGUCAACCUUUCCGUACACCCUUGCCUUAGAUUAUUUUCUCCAAGGUUCACGUCCAAGGAUGGGUUUACUGAUGGUGGACCCUUUCCCCAUCCAUGAACCCAUCCGUAGACCACUGCCUUAGAAUAUUAUUCACUAGGUUCAUGUUCAAGGAUGGGUUCACUAACUGUGGACCCUUUAAACUUCCCUAAAACCAUCUGUAGACCAUUUACUUAGGAUAAUUUUCACAAGGUUUGGGUUCGAGGUUGCGUUCACUCACUUUGGAUAUUUUUCACAAGGUUUAGGUUCAAGGUUCGGUUCACUGACUGUGGACCCUUUCACCUUCCUUGAACCCAUCUAUAAACCAUUGCCUUACAAUAUUUUUCAAAUGAUUCGGGUUCAAGGUUGGGUUCAAUGAUCAUGAACCGUUUCACCUUCCUUGAACCCGUCCAUAGUCCAUUGCCUUAGAAUAUUUAUCACAUGGUUCGGGUUCAAAGUUGGGUUCACUGACUGCGGACCCUUUCACUUGCCCUUACAAGUCCACUUUUCACAGAUUUCCAACUGGCUUUUCUCAUUCAAACUUCCAAUUGAAUUUUAAUACUUUCGAGGAGUUACAACUGUCGUUUUUCAGAAAAUUUGAGAUUUGAGCAUGUUCUACAUUUCAAUCAGGACUACUCCUAGUCGAUGUCAUCCUUUGUUUUGCUUGGGUAUUACAUAUGUCCCACGAUGGUUGUGUUGAUAGUUCACGAGGUCAUAUUUUUUAUUUGAGUUAGGUGUAAUGGCAUUCGGUGAUGGCCUCUAAACUUCAUCCUUUAUUUAGGGAUGGAAAUAUGCUUAGAAGGUUCAUCCAAAGGAUGCGAGAUUAGCUUUUGAUAUUGUGAUUAAUUUACCUUGUUCGUUGUUGGGAGUGCAUUUCAUUUGGGUAACUAUUAACAAGUUUACUAUGCUUAAGCACUACCUACCGACUUAGUUUCCUUUAGAUUAGAGUGGUUGGCUCAUACUUGCACUCGAGGGGUAGUUAGUGGACACUUGACAUAAACUUUUAUUACCUUGGGUAGAGAUUUUCAUUUUAGCAUGACCUUUCUAAGAGUUCCUUUGGUAGAGGGAAUACAUUGAAGUUGGGUUAAAUAUUGUUUCACUCAUGGAAUGGUCGUCCUAUUGAGUAACUUGUUCAAUUUUGAGAGGCUACAUUUCAAGCUUCUGUUGUUGAUUUCGGGAGUCAUUGAGACUAGAUUUUGGACUUGUGCCCUAGGAUGAGUUGCUUAUAUUAUGCUUUUCCACUCUUGGAUGUCCUGGUGGGCAUGUCAUUUUUUUUAUGUUUGCAAUAGUGUGGUUAUGCGGGAAAGACUCAGAUGAUGCUGGGAGAACCAUUAUAGCUCAAAACAGGUAGGAUACUCUUGAUGACUAGAACAUAUUUGGCUUGGAGCAUGAAGUGAAUAAUCUAAUUUGUGAGUUGUCUUGCAUCUUCCCAUAUCAUUUUUUUCCAGUUAUGUGGUAUCUAUGUGGUAUUGAUGCAUCUCAAAUGAGUAUGGCGCUUUAGUCGAGUUCGGUUUGGUUGGAUGAAAGUUUUCAUCAAAUGAAGGAGUUAGUAGUUGGUUUUGUGUUUUUGCGCGAAAGAAGUGAAUUUGAGACUAUUCUCCAAGCCUAAAUUUUGGGAUAGUGUUUUUUGAUCUAAGAGGGUGUUUGGAAGUUUGGCAGAACAUGCAGACUUAGUGCCCUCAUCUUUUCGAGCAUUCAUUAUUCUUCUUGUGUUUCUUAAUUCUUGCAAAUAAAAGUCCUUUUAGUAAUGAAUGUUGUAAUAACCCUUUAUCUCAUUUAUUUUAAUUUUCCUAUAUUGUUGGAAUUUAUAGCUUUCUUAUAAAGACCCCAAGUCAUUUAUGGCUUGCUGAGACUGCCACUUUGGUAACUUAGUUACUCGUUUGUUUUUAUGCAAGUUUUCUUAUUUUGGAAGUUCACAAGUCUGAGUGGUUGAAUUUGUUCAAAACUUCAGGCAAACGACCACAUAAUACAAUUUUUAUGGUUCUGUUUGCUCUGGAACGUCAAGUUUGGUCUAGAAAGACCUUAUAUUAAGGACCUAAGGCUUCCAAACUCAUUUUGAGUAACCUUAUGGCUUAUUGCUAAAAUGGAUGGGUUUGGGACCCACUCUUUGUUAAACGACCUAUGUUAAAAGUUAUAACAAUUUCAUUGUGUUCAGAAUGCCAUUUCUAAUUUGGUAGUAUAUUCGGUUUGCAUUGGUGGGACCCCAAUCUAAUUCAGAAGGUCCGGUGGAGAUUUAGGAUCUUCGUCCCAAAUGUUGAUUUAACAUUUGCUAGUGCAGCUAUGUUUGUGGAGCUUAGGCUCGCACCUACGACCUUGCUCUUUUGGAGCCAAGUUUGCUUGUGCGGGCUGUCUUUGUCAGCAAGUCUUCCCUCGUGCAGAAAGGUUUUCGCUUCUAUGAGAUCGCACCUCCGGAGAUGGGUCCUCUCCUAUAGAUAUGAUUGGCCCGCAAAACCUUGCACCAAUGAUCUUUUACACUUUUGUGACAUCACACAUGCAACGUCGGUGUCGCCAGAGUGAAAUUGCAGUGAUUAAAUCAAUGUUCUUUCUUUGUUAUUUCAUUUUUCCAUUUAUGAGAAUUGAAAUCCCUUCAUGUGAUUUUUUUUGAAGAUUUCUUUACGUUGGGAUGGAAUAGCUUGGGAUGUUGUGCGGGUCUGCAUCCUCUCUUUUAUAUCGUAAGUCCUCGUUAAUUUCUCUGAUUAUUUCUUAAAAUGGUUCUUGUAAGUUACUUUAUGUUAGGCCUAUUUUAUUGCAUUUAAGCUUGGAUUGUGCCAAUUUUGGGGAACAAUUUCUUUGAGCUAGUUGGAAGCUAUUAGUUGAGUCAAUUUUGUGAUUCCUGGUCUGGGUUCUCAUUCACCAUUUUUUACCCAAUUUUGGACCCAAGUAUAAUUAUUGCAACAUUGGUAUUGUUUUACUCAUAAUGACAUAUAAUUUAUGAUAUUGAUAGUUGAUAAGUCUGAGAUUUUAACUUAUUUGAGGCCUUUUUAGUUCAAAAAUUAGUGUCCUCCAUGACUUUUUAUGUCCAUAUCUAAUGAUUUAUUGCAUUUGUAGCAAUGAAGAGGCAAGUAUGAAAUCACACAAAAGAGGCUAAAAACAUGGAAAAAGAGUAAAACUAUAACAUGGAUACUCGUUAAAAGGCACUUAGCGACUCACUGAGUGUACCAGACCUCGCCAAAAAUUACAGGGUCUUCAACUAAAAUGAUCAAGGCAGGUCGGCGAGAUGAUGGGUAAAUGUAGAUUUACCAAACUAAAUCGACGGGAUGAAAAAUAAUCACUGAAAGUGACAUAACAAUUUGUUUAAAUUGGAGGCCAAGGAUGUGAGAUUGGAUGAUAUCGGUGACUCACCGAAUGUGAAUGGACAACUCCAUCGAGCUCUCCAAUUGCGGUUUAACCACUUGAAGCCUAAAGCCAAGGAAAGGCGAGAAGAAGAGAAAUUCGGUGACUCACCGAAUGAGUCGGCGAGCCUGACUAACAUUGCCAACUGGGUCAUUUAAUGAUGUUUUGGCUUAUUUUUCGGGGAAAUAUAAAUAGUCGAAAAGCGAGAGAAAAAUACAUCUUUGAUCAUAUAAUUUGGAUAUGAGACUCUCUGAUUUUUAGAAUAUUAUAGAACUUUCUAUUUUCUAGAGUGAAAAAACAAGUGUGUAACCCUUCUUUUGGGGGAAUUCGGAAGUGGGUCUCUUAAAUUGAAGUUGCAAAUCAAUAAUCUGAUGGUCGAGAAUGUUUUUCGAUAUCUUUUCUUUUACUUUUCACAUGAUUGGAUUAAACUCAUAUUCUAGAGGUGUACAAAUGGAGUUGGAUUUUGAUUAAAUUGGUGGAGUAGUAAGUAUUGCUCUGUUUUACUUUGAUUUCCAUGGAUUCAAAUUGAUUAUCAUGUGUUCAUUUUUAAUUGAGGUUGCAAACUUAGUUCUACUUUAGAUAUUCAUAUAUUGCUUGAGAAAGAGUAUUUGAAGUGGGUAAUUGAUUUGAUGCUUGCAUAUUAGUUUAUAAUUCGUUAUUUGCUUGAGAAAGGAAUUUGGGGUUUCAUCUCUAAUUGUAAGUCUUGAGAGAUAAGAUUUAUGUUUAAGUAUUGGGUUGUUUAGUAGAUUACACACGGGAAUGUCUAAGAGGAAUUCUUGUGAUAAGCAUAUUGUGAUUGAUAAAUACGAUGGGUGUUGGAGAUUGAGUCAACCUAUCUAUGUGUAAUAAGGUUAUUAGAUACCAAUUUGGAUUGCAAUAUACCAAUUGAAAUCAAGUUAUAGAAGGAAGAAGGAAGAAAUAAGAGAAUUUUCCUUAGGUCAAAAUACCAAUUGGAAUCAAGUUCUAGAACGAAGAUGGAAGAAAGAAGAUAAUUUUCCUAAGGUCAUAUAGCCUCCUAAAGAAAACUACAGACUUCUUCUUACCGUUUUGAAAGACUAUACAAGACUUUUUUCGGUACGAUGAGAUUAAAGAACCUAGGACUUUGAUACCAACUUUUCAUGACCCUAAACUGCCAUGAGUGGCAGUGACACUAACCCCCAAUGGGAGAACCAACUAUCUACUCAAAUAGAAAGUGUAAAAGACAAUCAAACGUAAUCAGUUUCAAAGAUUUUAAAACAAUAUUUCAGUAAAUAAAAGCAAGUUGCAAUAAAGAGAAAAAUCAUCAAACAAUGUGGAAGUAAGCCCCCAUAGAAACUGAAAGUCGUAGUACCAAAACUCUAAUUGUCUAAAAUAUAGGGGAUACAACCCCAAAACUUAAGAAUCAUAAUUCUAAACAGUAUAAGUCCGAAGAUAUGGACUAAAAAGACCAUAGGAAUCCAUAGACGCUUGGAAGAUGUAUCUCACCCUUGGAUUCAAAUAUCACACGUCUCACAGUUGAGGUCUUGAAGCAAGCGCCUAAAUAUGCCCUCUACUCAACAAAGAAAGAGCAAGUGCAGUAUCAGUACACAAUCACAAUGAACUAGUAGGAUCAUCGACUAGUUCCAGAAUAAGAAAUAUGAAUUAAGCAACUACAACUUAGUAAAAUGGACGAUAUACAAUUUCAACAGAAGUACAACAUAGUCUGGACUCCUAGUCCUUACUCUGAAAUGUUCUGCAUAAUAAACAUGAACAAUCACAACAUAACAAGCCAAUUCGGUUUUCUCAUGAAACCCACACACAAACUGUUAGUGUACCUACGUGGUACCUGAUCCACUUGUUAGUAUGUACUAGUGUGGCACCUAUUCCACUCAUUAGUAUGUACUAGUGUGGUACCCGAUCCAAUCAUUAGUAUGUACCACCGUGGUAUCAAAUCCAAUCAUUAGUAUGUACGAGCGUGGUACCCAAUCCAAUCAUCAACCACACAUCCCAAUUACAGCCACAAUUAAUAGCAACCACACUUGUAAACCCAAGUAAACAUAGUCAUUUCAUGCGACGGACAAUAUUCAACAUUUCAAAUCAUUACUUUUCCUUUUUCCUGAUCAUAUAUCAUCAUGCAAUACUAACGAAGCACUUGACAAGAAUAUAUAACAUAUAUGGAAAACAAACAACCAUCACCUACCUCUAAUCUAGCCUUGGAUACUCUACGUAACCUGUGCUUUCCCUUGUUAUCAAUUCUGGCUUGUUCUUGGUCUAAAAAAAAUAACAAAAUAACACAAUCAAUGAAUAAUGGCCUAACAAUACACGAAUUAUCACCAAAUCCUAAACCCCAGAGAAUUCACAUGAUUAUCCUACCAAAACCAGGGGUUUUCUACCAUUAUUUAAAGUCUAAAUCAUCCCCUAUGAUAACAAAAAAUGAUUAUAAGGUUAAAGAAUCAAAUGACUAGAUUACGAGAAUAAUUAACUUACCUUUAUCGAAGAACAUGAUGGAAUGCCAAAAUUCCUUAUUUUGCAACACACCUUCAAAUCUUGAUGUUCUAAACUAGCCUGUUCACGCCAAAUCAGAUAUCGGGAUUUCUACUUACCCGAAUUCACUUCCAAAAAGCCCUAUGGAUUCCUUAAUGUCUUAGCUAAUAAAAAACCUAAUCCAAGAAUAGAAAUUUUACCCAAUUCAUUAUCAGAUUUAUCUAGACCGCACCUUCCUAAGAUUUCAUCUGAGAGUAGCCUAGCCCAAAAUUUUAAAGUCCCUCUUCCAAGAGUUUACUUAUCCGAUUUCUUUCACCAAAGGUUUACACACAAUGACUACAAGGGGACGUUACAAUAUUAUAGAAGCAUUCCAUGUGAGUAGCGUAAGAACUCCGACAAAAAUCUCUAUCGAAGUAUUCGAGUAUUUCAAUGGCUAAUAAAAAAAAGUAUGAAAGAUGAUGGCAUAACCAAUUGUGAAUGGUUGGGAAGAAUUUUUCAAAACCUCUCUCAGUGAAAUGUGUCUCUCUUCCUCGAUUACCUCCCAAAAUAUUUUUAAAAUAAAAUUGAAGAGAAAUUGCCACUAAGAUAAGUCAUUUGCAUUCACUGAAAAACUUGGUGAUGAGAGCUUAGUUAUACAUUAUAUAUGCCACUUAACGUGUAAUUUAUGUCAGAAAAUUAUCUCAUAUCUUAUUGGUUGCAUAGGAUAGAAAGUUGGCUAGUUCAUAGAAGCGGAAGACAUGUACUGAUGAGAGAGGGAAGGGCAUUUGUGUUUGAUAUGCACUGGUGUUGAUAUGGUAGUGUGUGUUUGUCAUCAUCAAAAAGAGGGAAAAUGCUAUUUUUAUUUUUGAUGAUUAGACAAACAAAGGGAUCUUGUAAGGGGACCUGAUCCUUUGUGCCAAUACGUGAAGAAAUGAUAGUUGGAAAAAGUACAGAAGUUGGUGAGGUUGGUGCACGGCUCCCAAGUGUGCCAUAAUCCUCAGCCAAUAGCUGGACUCUAAGGUUGUGUCUAUCUUUAUAAGGAAAUCCAAAAUAGACACAACCUCAAUUUUUGCAUUCCUGAAAUACUCAAGAAGCCAAGAAAAAACUAUUCCAUCAAGAAACAUUUUCCUCAAGAGCAACAGGACCUGAUAGAGCUGUAUGUGUCUUACUUGUCUAAAGUUUAUACUUUCAUGCUUAUCUUGUAAAUCUAUUCCUGUGCUAUAAAGGAAUUAGAUAUUUGUUCUGUUCAAUCAAAAGUCUAAGUCAGUUAAGGUUAACUGGUUUAGUGGGCAACAUUGUUGCUACUUAAUUGAAUUCUAAAUCAUCUAGAGUUAGGUGGUUUAGCGGGCAACAUUGUUGUUGCUUAGUUGAAGUCUAAGUUAUCUAGAGUUAGGUGGCUUAGUGGAAAAAAUAGUGUUAUUGCUUAGUUGCUUUCUUUGUAGUAGAGUUGCUACAUUGAAGGGGAAGGGAUUUAGAGGUAAAUUCCUAGGUUGCAAGCAGUUGUAAUAUGAAUCGUUGCUCCGUUUGAGUGAAAUAAAGUUGGAUUGAAAUCCUGUGAGGACAGGUUGUGGUUUUCACCGCCCUUGAGCAAAGGGGAUUUCCACGUAAACAACUUAUGUUGUUUACUUUACUGCUUGUGCUUGUUUUACUGUUCUUGCUGUGUCAAGGGACCUGGUUCAUUGACUGAUAGUGGAUGCAUAAAUCUUAACAAUUGGUAUCAGAGUAGGUGCUCUCUAUCUGGUUAACACCAAGAGAGAUUCAUGUGCAAAAAUGGCUACUCCACUGAAUCUAAAAGAAGGACUAUCGUCAACAAGACCACCUCAUUUCAAUGGUCAGUUCUAUAGUUAGUGGAAGACAAUGAUGCACGACUUCUUAAUGGCUGAGGACAACGAGUUUUGGGAUUUAGUGCUCGACGGACUGUUUAUUACUACAAUGGAAGUGAAGGAUGGAGAAGUCACAAUAGUCAUUCCUAAGACUCGUCAACAGUAUGAUGAAGUUGAUCGGAAGAAGAUCGAGAAAAGUUAUAAGGCUAAGAAACUGUUGGUGUAUGGUAUAGGUGCUGAAAAGUGCAAUCACAUCUCUGCUUGCGAAUCAGCAAAUAAAAUUUGGGAUUGCCUCAAGACUGCUCAUGAGGGAACGGAGCAAGUGAAUGAGUCAAAGGUACACAUGUUGACUACCCAGUAUGAGAACUUCACUAUGAAAGAAGGAGAAACUAUUCAUGACAUGAAUACAAGAUUCUCCUCUAUCACUAAUGAGCUACGUUGUUUGGGAGAACCUAAUCACCCAAGUAAACAGGUUAGGAAGAUCCUUUGAAUCCUUUCUAAGUCUUAGGCAAGCAAGGCCAAUGCUAUUACCGAAGCCAACGACCUGAAGGUGCUGACGAUGGGUGCCCUGAUUGGAAACCUUCAAACACAUGAAAUGAAUAGAAAUCAAGAAACAUCAAAGAAGGAGGUGAAGAAAGACAAGUCUUUAGCUCUUAAGGUGAUACCUCUGGUGAAGAGGAGGACAUGUCCUACCUCACUAGGAGAUUUCAAAAAAUAGUGAGGAAACAUAGAGGUUUUCGAAAAGGAGGGAACUCUAGCAGUGCUGCAAAUAUAAGUGACCUGUGUCACAAUUGUGGAAAGCCAAGGCACUUCAUCCUGCCCCAUGCUUAAGGUUGUAAACAAAUAAUAUCAAAGGCCUGGAGGAAAUAAAGACAGGAGAAGGGACCCGAUCCCUGAUAAGAGAGGAAAAAGAGUUGAAGCAGACAAUGUUGUGAAGAAAGUAUUUGCUGUCUGGGGGAUUCCUCAAGUGACUCAGAAGAGUCGGGAAAUCAUAAAGAUGCAUCCAUGCUUGCAGUUAAAGAUAAGAAAGAUGUGUUCGAUACUAUGUUUGCCUUCAUGGAGAAAUAUGACGAAGAAGAAGCUGAGGAUGAGGUAACUCUUUUCGACCUUGAACAAAACUUGAAUGUUUACUCUGUUAGAAAGUUGAGGAAUCUAGCUGUUAUUUUGAUUGACUCUAUUACGGAGUUAACAACUGAAAAGGACUUGAUGAACAAUAGUUUAGAUAUUUUCCAUGAAGAAAAUUUAGCUUUGGUUGAUCAUAUGUUUGUUAUUAAGGAACAAUUGACAGUUCUGGAGACUGAAAAUCUAAAACUCAAGGAGAAACUAAAUAUGCUGAGUGAGAAAUUUGGCAGAGGAAAGGGAGAGGCUAGCAACUUGAAAAUAGAGCUAGAAACUAGUUUGAACACUGCUAGAACCAGACUUGCAUUAGCCUUGGAGAGAAAUGAUCAGAUGGAAAGGGACCUGGUCGGUCUCACAGAAGAACUGAAAAAGUCUCUGAGAUAGACUAACUCCUCUAAACUACUUUCAAACAUUACUAGUCAAGGUCACAAUAACAGAAAGGGUUUAGGAAGCUUAAACAACAGUCCUCCAUAUAAUCCCCAUAGCAAGUAUGUGUCUGUGUCCGAUAAUCUCUUAUGUCUUCACUGUGGUCGCAAUAGUCAUUUGAAAAAAGGAUUGUCCAGCCUGGAAAGCCUCUCAAGAAAUUUUUUUAGUCUACUCUAGAUAAAAAGUUACACAGGACAAGGGACCUGCUCAUAUUCCUAGGUCUUCUAACAUGAGAAAGACUAUUUUGCCUCAUUGGACAAGAAGUCCUCUCAUUAUGCCUCUAUAUGCUUACUGGGAACCCACACUGAAAUGGGUUCCUAAGUCUAACAAGUAAUCUUUGGUGUAGGGGAGUGGAGAAGGUAACAUUUAGUGCUGGUUCAUGGACAGUGGAUGCUCAAAACAUAUGACUGGAAGGACUGAAAACUUCAUCUCUCUCUCAAGGCACUUCAAGGUGGAGGUGUCUCAUUUGGUAAUGGAAAAAUGGGUAUAUUAUUGGUGUUGGAAGAAUUAGAACAUCGGUUGAACACUCAAUCGAGAAGGUGUACUAUAUGAGUGGACUAAAAUACAGUCUUCUCAGUGUGUUUCAAAUUUGUGAUAAAGGCAAUUGAGUUAGAUUUCUAUCAGAAAAGUGCAUUGUUAGUAACCUGUCAACAAAUGAGGUGAUCUUAACGGCUAGAAGGCGCAAGAAAAUGUAUGUGGAUGACCUGGACACUGCUCAAUGCUCAAGGAGAUGAUCUAACUUGUCUGAGUGCCCAAAGUGACAAUGCUAACUUAUGGAACAGAAGACUUGGUCAUGUGAGCUCCUCUUUGCUAAACAAACUUGUCUCCAGGGACUUGGUUCGUGGGUUACCUAAACUCAAAUUCAGUAAUGACAAUGUGUGUGAAGCAUGUGUCAAAGAGAAAGAGACCAGAUCAUCAUUCAAAUCAGAAAAGCUAGUGAGUUCUUGAAGGCCUCUCGAGCUAAUUCACAUGGAUCUGUGUGGGCCUGUGAAAAUUCAAAGUAGAGGUGGAAAUAAAUAUAUUAUGGUGGUUGUGGAUGACUAUUCAAGAUUCACUUGGACUAUGUUUCUCAAGUCCAAAGAUGAAACAUUUGAUGUGUUGAUGACUCUUGUCAAAAUGAUUCAAACAAAGCUGAACUGCAAGAUUGCGGGGAGCAGGUCUGAUCAUGGAACAGAGUUUGAAAAUGCAAAGUUUGACAAUUUUUGUGCGAAAAGUGGAAUCCAUCAUAACUUCUCAGCUCCUAGAAUACCUCAGCAAAAUGGCGUGGUUAAAAGGAAGAACAGAACUCUGGUUGAUAUUGCCAGAACCAUGCUCAUAGACUCAAGUCUUCCAAAGAACUUCUGGGCUGAAGCAAUUAACACUGCUUGUUAUGUGACUAACAGAUGCUUGAUCAGGUCUCUACUAGACAAAGUCUUUAUGAUCUACUCAACAACAGAAAGCCCAAACUGAAUUAUUUAAAGGCUUUUGGGUGCAAAUUCUUUAUGCUGAACAAUGGGAAAGAUGAUCUAGGAAAAUUUGAUCCUAGAAUUGAUGAAGGAGUGUUUGUAGGUUAUUCCUCUUCAAGUAAAGCCUACAAAGUAUACAAUAAGAGAACACUAUGCAGUGAAGAAAGUGUUCAUGUGAUCUUUGAUGAAGCUGGUGAUCUCACAGAUCUAAAGAACAAGGGUGGCGAUGAGAUGGAAUAACUUUUUCAGAUUCAGAAAGAUGGGGUAAAUGAGUCACAAGCUGAAGGAAGUCAAAAUACUAACAACAUUGAACCUAGUCAGAUUGAAGAAGCCUAUGAUGAUGAUAAGCAUGACGAGGGACCUGGUGUAUCUGACAAUGCUAAAACUGAGGAUUUACCUCAACCUGAAAAUGAUGAUUCCAAAGAUGAAGAUGAGCAAGCUGAUCAACCUCAACUCCCGAAUGCUAUGUCAAGGUGGAAAUAUCAAUCAUCUCAUCCUCUUGAUAAUCUCAUUUCUCCAUUGAAUUCUGGAAUGCAAACCAUAUCCAAAACUAGAAAUCUAGUUGCAUUCUCAGCAUUCAUAUACAAUGUUGAGCCCAAAAAUAUCAAGGAGGCUCUGAAAGAUGUUGAUUGGGUAAAUUCCAUGCAAGAAGAGCUUCAUCAAUUUGAGCGGAGCAAAGUAUGGUACCUGGUACCUAGACCUGCUGACAAUACUAUCAUAGGGACCAAGUGGGUGUUCAGAAAUAAGCUUGAUGAAAAUGGUGUCAUCACAAGGAACAAAUCAAGGCUGGUGGUUUAGGGUUAUAAUCAAGAAGAAGGAAUUGACUAUUAUGAAACAAUUGCUUCUGUUGCUAGAAUGGAGGCUAUCAGAAUUCUAUCAAGAUUUCUUAUGCAAAAUGAAUUCAAAAGGGGAAAGAUAGACAACACUUUAUUCCUGAAGACAAGAGGCAAAUAGUUACUCAUCAUUCAGGUGUAUGUGGACGAUAUUAUUUUUAGAGCAACUUUUGAGGUCCUAUGUGAAGAGCCACACUAAUGUGGGAUGAAUUUGAAAUGAGUAUGAUGGGAGAGCUGAAAUUUGUUCUUAGGGCUGCAGAUCAAGCAAACCUCAAGUGGCACCUCCAUUUGCCAAGAGAAAUACAUAAAGGAGCUGCUAAAGAAAUUUCAUAUGAUGGAUUCCAAGCCUUUUGACACUCUUAUGGGUACAAACUCAAAAUUGGGAUUCUGAUGCCUUGGUGAAUCAAACUAUGUACAGAGGAAUUAUUGGAUCAUCGAUGUAUCUAACAGAAAGCAAACCUGACACCGUAUUCAAUGUAGGCAUGUGCGCAAGAUUUCAAGCUUGUCCCAGGGAGUCACAUUUGAAGGCAGCCAAGCAAAUUUUGAAGUAUCUAAAGAAGAUAAAGGACCUGGUCCUAUUCUAUCCAGCAGGAGAUUCCUUUGAACUGGUGGAGUAUGCAGAUGCAGACUUUGCAGGUUACCCGAUGGAUAGGAAGAGGACUUCAGGAAUGACUCACUUUCUGGGAUCCUCACUCAUCUCCUGGGGAACCAAGAAACAAAAUUUAGUGGCUCUCUUCAUAGCUGAGGUAGAAUUUGUAGCAGCUACAUUUUGUUGUGCACAACUACUAUGGAUAAAGCAGCAACUUGAGGAUUUUGGAGUGCUCACUCAUACCAUUCCACUCAUGUGUGAUAAUACAAGUGAUGUCAAUAAGGGGAAAAAUCCAAAUCAGCACAAGAGAACAAAACAUAUUGUUGUGAGACAUCACUUCUUAAGAGACAAUAUUGAAAAGGGGAACAUUUGCAUGCAAUACUGAAUAUCAAAUCGCUGACAUAUUCACUAAAGCUCUAAGCAAAGAUCAGUUCGAGAGCAACAAAUUGAAGUUGGGAAUGAUGAAGAUGGACUGAGCUGAUUUUAUCCAAAGGCAUUCAACCCUCAUUGACUAUGAUCAGAAGGGCAGGUAUCCUCAUUACUUGUAAUGUUUUGCGUUGCUAAGAUUAAUGAUGUACCUUUUACAGGUAUACACUCAUGGGGAAGCGCAGGAGUGAAUAAAAGUCAUAACUAUUUAGGGAUCAACCUUCUCAAUUUGCAAAUAGGGACUUGAUCAUGUUUAAAGGUUAACAUUCUCUACAUUAUGUUUUGAACUGAUUAUGAGAACCGUUGAGACCUCCAUGUGUCAGUCAUCGGUCAUUCUGACCAUUGUCCUAUCGCUUUAAGGCCAAGCGACGUGUCUGAUCAGGGACCUGGCAUAUCCUUUUAAUUUCUUUUUAUUUUCCUUCCCUCCAUUCCUUUUCUCACACUCUUGAAACUCUCUCUUGAAACUAUGUUCUCUAAAGCUUUAUGAAAAUCCUAAUCCGUUUUUCUUCCGGUCUUCUCUCAUUUCCGUUCUGAAAUAUGUCUCAAUUACCUUCUCCUUCUAAGAAAAUGCUGGACUCUCUGAAUGAAAUAGAUCUCAUAGCCUUCUACACCUCUUCGUGUGCUCCAUCUCCAACAAAAAUGGUGUCCAUUUUUCUAGUCAACAUUACAGAAACCAGUCAUCCUACUCCAUAAUCUCCUAUAGAUUUAAAUAAUCCAGCGCCCUCAUUUCAACCUGGUCCUCAUUUGUCUAUGCUAUCUGACUGCUUGUUUGAGGGACAUCUUCCGCAAAGUAGGUACUCUGAAUCCAACAUUUUCGCUGCAAGUAAGAAUAUAGUUGUGGAAAGUCUGACAAAGAUGAGAGAAGGAGUGAUAAAUGAUGAAGGAAGUAGUUUUGCAUAGGAUCUUCUUGGAGAUACAGAACCAGUGUUUGACAGAACCCCUGAUGUUGGAAUACCCCCCUCUAGUGAUUCAGACGAUGAUGAAGAGGACAAUACUCCUCUACGCUGGGCCUUACAGAGAACAAUGGUCUCUGUCACCAGCAAAGUAAAUGAGAAAGUCAUAGAGGAGACUCCAACAAGGAAACCUUCUACCAGGGGAGCCGCUCACAAACUUAUGAGUAAUGCUAUGAAGGGAAAUAAGGACAGUACCACUGAAAUUAGGAGAAUAAGAGAGACUGGUGAAGAGAAGUUUGUAGUUCCUGCUGAGGGGGUUGCAGAUGUUUCUAAUGAACAAUCAGAAAGUGAUACGGUGUCAAAAGAUAUCCCUCUGGCCUCCGAAGAAAGAAAGAAGGAGGAAAAAGGAAAGAAGAAGAGCAAACCAAAAUCUAGGAAACCUUCUAUCAAAAGGGUUGGUGCUACAACAAAGGGGAAGGGCAAGGAGCCGGAAAAGAAGAAAGGAAAUGAUAGAUCCAAAUAGGAAAGGGAAGUGUCACCCGAUUCUGCGAGACCUAUCAAAGACUCUGCACUCAAGUCUGAGAGGGGACCAGGUACCAAGUACCAAGAGGAAGAAAGUCAAUAAGGAUGAAACCAAAAGGGACAUUGUGACAAUCUGUGAAUGCAGAAAGUCCUAGGUUGAAGAGUUUUUUAUCCUGAGAUAAUCAGGAAGCCUGGUAUGAGCACCUUGGUGAAUAUAGUUGAGAUUCAAUAAUGGACCCACUUGUUCAUGACACAAUCGCCUGUGUUGCAUGAGGAACAAGUAAAGGACUUUCAUUAUAAUGUUGAGUUUACAGAGGAUGGCAGCCUCAACAUGAUAGUUAGAAAUAGAAGUUUUCAUUUGAAUGAAGAAAGAUUGGGAGAAAUCUUGGGUGUGCCCAGAGAAGGGAUCAGAUCCAUUGUAGGAAAAGCCUGCAGCAAAAGCUUUGCAAAUGAGUGUGCCAAACUCCCAAAGAUGAACUGUGCAGGAAUUCAAAAAGAAGCUCAUGAAGGGAGACUACCAAGUACCAACUGUUGUUUGAGUUUGUUAACAAAGUGGUUCUUCCAAGGUCUGGGAAAAGAACAGUUGCCUCCGCUGCUGAUCUGUUUCUGAUGGAGGCUCUUUGCAAGUUUGAUCUUUUGAAUCUUCCAACCCUCAUGUUAGAGCAUAUGCACAAAACAAUGGUGGAACAAAAGGGUAAACAUAGCAUGUGAUAUGGGUAUUUUCUCACCAAGGUGUCCAAACAAUUGGAUGUUCAUGUGGGAGAUGGUACUGUUGGAACAGUUAAAUAGUCUUUUUCUCUAAACACUUUGGUUGAGUGUGAAUGCAAAGAAGGAAGAACAGGGUAACUGAGCAUAGUGUCUCAGCUAGUGGUGGAACAGAGUCAACUUAAGCAUGAAUUGGAGGAGAUGAUCGUGCUUGUGGGCAAAAAGGAUGCUGACAUAGCCUUAUUGAAGGCUUAGUUGGCCAAAGCAUAAACAAAGGGACCUGGUACAUCAAAAGUCAAUGAAUUAAGGAUGAAGAAUGCAAAUCUCUUGGCUCAGAAUGCUGAUCUUCAAGAGAAGCUGAUCAAGGCUCAUGAUAUUGCCAAUGAUCGACUUACUCUUGUCAUCAAAUCCCUCACUCGUCAACCUCCAUCCACAUAGUCCCUUUCUUGUCCUCCAUUUUGUUUUUGUGUGGGCAGUGUCCCGGGGUUCUCUUUAGCAGUCUAGUUUUAAUGUAUUGAAUGCUUUCUCUUAUGCAAUGUAAUGGAUUCCUGUUUUGUUUUGAUUAAUCCUAUCUCUCUGCUUUUCUACUGUGAUGUGUUGUCAUAGGCUAUGAUCUUACUUUGAAGGCUUACAUUUAAUCCUGGUUUAGUGCUUCUCUUUUUUAAGAUUUCAAAAGGGGGAAAAUAUUGGUUGCAUAGGAUAGAAAGUUGGCUAGUUCACAGAAGCAAAAGACAUGUACUGAUUCACAGAAGCGGAAGACAUGUACUGAUGAGAGGGGGAAGGGAAUCUGUGUUUGAUAUACACUGGUGUUGAUAUGGCAGUGUCUAUUUGUCAUCAGAAAAAAGAGGGAAAUGCUACUUUUAGUUUUGAUGAUUAGACAAACAAAGGGAUCUUGUAAGGGGACCUGAUCCUUUGUGCCAAUACGUGAACAAAUAACAGUUGGAAAAAGUACAGAAGUUGGUGAGGUUGGUGCACGACUCCCAAGCGUGCCAAAAUUCUCAGCCAAUAGCUGGCCUCUAAGGUUGUGUCUAUCUUUAUAAGGUAAUCUAAAAUAGACACAACCUCAAUUUUUGCAUUCCUGAAAUACUCAAGAACUCAAGCAAAAACCACUCCAUCGAGAAGUAUCUUCCUCAAGAGCAACAUGGACCUGAUAGAGUUGCAUGUGUCUUAGUUGUCUUAGGUUUAUACUUUCGUGCUUAUCUUGUAAAUCUAUUCCUGUGCUAUAAAGGAAUUAGAUAUUUGUUUUGUUCAAUCAAAAGUCUAAGUCAGUUAAGAUUAACUGGUUUAGUGGGCAACAUUGUUGUUGCUUAGUUGAAUUCUAAAUCAUCUAGGGUUAGGUGGUUUAGUGGGCAACAUUGUUAUUGCUUAGUUGAAGUCUAAGUUAUCUAGAGUUAGGUGGCUUAGUGGGUAAUAAUGUUAUUGCUUAGUUGAAGUCUAAGUUAUCUAGAGUUAGGUGGCUUAGUGGGUAAUACUGUUAUUGCUUAGUUGCUUUCUUUGUAGUUAGAGUUGCUACAUUGAGGGGGACGGGGAUUUUAGAGGUAAAUUCCUAGGUUGCAAGCAGUUGUAAUCUGAAUCAUUGCUCUGUUUGAGUGAAAUGGAGUUAGGUUGAAAUCCUGUGAGGACAGGUCGUAGUUUUCACCGCCCUUGAGCAAGGGGGUUUCCAUGUAAACAACUUAUGUUGUUUACUUUAUUGCUUGUGCUUGUUUUACUAUUCUUGUUGUGUCAAGGGACCUGGUCCAUUGACUGAUAGUGGACGCAUACAUCUUAACAAUCUCAAAAAGAAUUAUCAUUUCUUAAUAGCUAUAAUUAAUAUUACAAAUAUUGAUUUUUAAUUUUUUGAAUUGUCUUAUGACAAUAUGAUGAUUAAAUCAUUAUUUGUUCCCCUAUUAAUGUUAAGUACCUUGUUGAUUAGUAGCAAGUAUUACUCUUUUUUAUUAAUAUUAAUCCUUAAACCUUUUACUGACAUUAGUCUUCUUCCAUAACUAAGAAACAAUUUCUUCUAUGCAUAUACUAGAUGGCUCGUGCGUGUGCAUAACACGGACAAUUAACCAAACAUUAGUAUUGUUUGUCUUGUGUGUUCAACUACUACAUUAAAAAAAGGUUCAAACACCAAAAAAACUAAUUUAUACUUGUUUUCAACAUUUAUCAAGACUAAAUGUUAACAUAUUAAUGCUCCAUGAUAUGUGCUCGUAUUGAGGAACAAAAUGUUACAAAAUAGCAAGAAAUAUUAUAUGCUUGCAAGUUGCCACAUUGGACAUUUUUCUGGUUGCUACCCACAUGUCACGAUCCAAAAAUGGACGUGAUGCCACUUGUCUAUUCCCACCAAGACAAGUAAGCCUCAACCAAACGAAACAAAAAAAGUGAAAAGAUAAAGCAAGAACAAGAUAAGAGCGAAAAGACUUAUUCUUUUGAUUAACACCCCAAACCUAGUUGUCACGUGUACAAGAAUCUAGUGCAAACAGUGCGGAAUUAAGAAAUAAGUACAAGUCUCAAGUCUUUGUUUCUCAAAUAGAACAAAGAAUACAGAAAAGGAAAAAGAGGGCCCGCCGGAAUUACAAGAAGCUAUUUCUCAAUAGUCCUUUGACAAGCCACGAAAAGUGAGAAGAAGAGCAAUCAUGCUAUACCGGGCUCGAAACCUACACUAGUGUAGAAGCAAGGAGUUAGUACCAACAACACGGUACCCAAAAAGCAACCUAAUGAACAAGGCAUAUAUCUAGAAAUUGAAUACUCCUUUCAUCCAACAGUAACUCCUCAAACUACAACCUGCAUAGAAAUCAGCCCAACCUAGCAGCUCUACAAUACACAAUUUACAAGGCUCAAUAUUUACAGUCCAAAACACAUAAGUUUACAACCAACACAUAUCAAGUAAGUCAAUCUCAAUGUCAAGUAGACCAAUCACACGUAACAAGUACAUCGAUCACAAUUAACAAGUCAAACAUAAGCAUCAAAAUGUAUCAAAUCACAAUAAUCAGUUUCUCGCCGGAACCAUUUCCCAUCGGCACAAUAUCACUAGCUGAAACCAUUUCCCAUAAACUUUAUAUCAUUUCACUAACCCGGAACCAUUUCCAUCGGCUUUAUAUCAAGUCACUAGCCAAAAAUGACCUCGGCAUCACAACACUCGUUGGAAAUGACAUCGACAUCAUAACACUUGUCAUAAAUGACCUUUGCAUCAUAACACUUGUUAGAAAUGACCUCGGCAUCAUAACCCUCACAUGUCUUAUCACAUUUUUCAACAAUCAAUGCACACAAGCAAUGACACACCACAAGGGAGAGACGACAAUUCAAGUCCACAUUCAUGCUAUCAAGUAUUUCAUCAAACAAACAAAUAGGGGCCAUCACAAGGCAAUUUAUAAUCAUUAUGAUCAACACAUAAUCUUUUAUUUAACCCCUUUAUAUUCAUUAUGCUUAAUAAAGUGGAACAAUGAAUCCCUCACCUCAUUCCCAUUACUCCCAACGCACAAACAAUGGAGGAAAUACACGAAUUCUACUACAUUAUAAUGUUUAGGAGAUCACUUUCCUUAAAUCAAUAAAUUAAUUACCCCAAGAGUUGAGUCUUUCCCUUCCGACCAAUGUCCAAAGCCACACAAUCUAUAACAAUCAAGUAUUAACAAUAAAUUUCUUGAAACAACAAUGCCCACAUCAAUUUCUUUGAUAAUUGGGCCAAUCAACUCAAAACCCGAUUCAAAAAAGAAGGUUUGAAUCCGAAAAUCAACCCUUAAAAACAUUACUCAAGGCCUUAGGAACUCAUUGGUAAAAACCAUUUGGCAAAAGGACUCAAUUCAGUUCACAAUCUCCAUUUUAGUUUAGAACUUGAGUUCUUGAAAAACCUUGCCAUUUACCAAUCAAAAUCCCAAAUUUUGAUGUUAAAAUCCACAAAUAAUCAAAGAGAAAUGAAGUUUUAGGAUCACAAAAUCUUACCCAAAUGAUUUAACACAAGAAAGCAUUUCAAAAAUAGCCACCAAGGAUUUUCCAAGCUCAAAAAUGGAAAGUGGGGCUUGAACCCCGAAAUUUCAUGUCUAAAACCUCCCUCUGAUGUCGCAAAAGCGACACAUGUUUGCAAAAGUGAACCCCGCAAAAAUGGUGCCUCUCGCACAAGUGAAGCCCACUUUGCUUUUGCGAAGCUCGCUUAAGCAAAGUGAUCCUCGCUUUUGAGAAGGUCGCUUAAGCGACUGGCCAUCGCAAAAGCGAGGCGUGAAGACACCAGCAAACACAUCCAAACAUAAUACAUCGAAAGGACUAUGGGAUUCGUUCAGAACCCCGCACACACAAACCGAAUAUACAAAAAGAUUAUACUCGAUAUUUCGGACUCAAUGGAACCGUUGAAAUAUGAAUUUGUGGUCUCCUUGCCAAGACAUCUAUGAAAAUAACAAGAACGUACCUCAAUGCCUAAAAAUUCUAAAACAAGCUCGGGACCUCUCAAAAUUAACCAAGACUUCACCUAGGUCUAAUUUCAUCUCCCAAAUCCAAUGGAACUCUCGGAAUUCUGAUCCAAGCAUCCGAACCCCGAAUGUUGACCAAAAUUAAUCCAAAGGCUAACUUUCCACAAUUUCACAACUUAGGACCUCAAAUCCUCAAAAAGAAUUCGAAUCUAAAACUGGCAAUUCUCACAGACCAUAUUCCACAUUCUGGGACUAAUGGAAAUGACGAAAUUUCAUUCCGACCCUCGAAACUCUAAAAUACACCGGAAACCACUUUCUUAACAAUAUUAGCCUUCCAAACUCAAAACUUACAAAAUUCUCAUCUUUAAACUCAAAGUUCAAAAUCAAAUUUCAAAACUUAAUCAUAAAAGACUCAGGGUCGAUAUCAGGAGGGGAAAGAUUGUAAAUUUAUGAAGCUUUUCAAAAAUGACCGACCAGAUCAUUACACCACAUAUUUACAUACUAGCAGAAUGAAGAUGCAUUCCUUUUGAAAGUCUAUCAUUUUACAACUUUCUUUUGUUGUAGUAUAGGACAAAAAUAGUAGAACCAGCCGCUACAAAACUUAAACAACAACAAAUAGAGAUAAGUGUCAAAAACACACCUAAACUAUUGAGAGUGUGAGUUUCAUACCUAAACUAUCAGUUAUUAGUUUGAGAAACAUACCUCUCUCUUUUAUUACACUCUCAUCAUGGAGUGUGUAAUACACUCUCAAAUAAGGAGGAGAAAAUAAGGAAAAAAAAUAGGCAAAAAGCAUACUUUUCAAGAUCAACCAUUAGAACCUUGUACAAUUUUAUUUUUUUUGAUAAAUUGCACGCCAUAUAAAAAAAAAACUACAUAAACAGAUGUCUUCCAAAUGCUAGCUUCCGCAUUCAGCCCAUAAAAGAGGAGCUAACAUCGAUUGUUUCAUUCAUAAGUUUAGGUGUUAAAAGCUCUUGUUAUAGGGAACGAUAACCGUAAUCACCUAGGACUAAUUAGGUCAAAAUUAAAAUAUCACCUAUUGUUUUAUUCAUAAUCUUUCUACUUGAAUCAACCUCCAAUAUGGACAUUAAAAUUACUUUCAACUUGUCAAAAAUUAAGAAUUCAUCAGCUAAGAAUAUAUUUUUAUAUAUAAAAAAAAACUUUAAUAUAUAUUGUUCAUAACAAAAAAUAAAAGGUGGAUAAAGCAUUCCACAAAUGAGCCGAAGUGCUUGAUUCUUACAAUGGUAAGUUUAUUUUCGCAUUAUAGUAAUACUUCAGCAUCUUUACUUAAUCAUAUAAUCUCUUAGUUAAUCUACUUCACAAAUUGAACAUUUGGAACAUCAAAAAAGAUUUAGAAUUUAGAUUAUCUAAGUUACGCAAUAUACUCAUCCCUUGUAGGCAAUUGUUAAGGAACCUAUCUUUUUCCUUUUACUUCUCUCAUGAUUGUCACGACUCGAAAUCGGUUCGUAAUGGCGCCUACCAUAAACCUCCCAGUAGGCAAGCCAAAAUCCAAAACUUGCGGAAGACAAUAAUUUUAUAGAAAAGAAUAAACAAAGGCAGAAAUAAAGAUAUAUAAUGGAGACCAUAGUAUAGAUAUGUAAAUAUAAUACAAAAUAUACAAAACGGGCCCAAAAAUGACCAAGAAUGACAAAUUAUACACAAGAACCAAUCCCAGACCUGGUGUCACUAGUACAGGAGCAUCUAAAUACAAAAAAGGCUAUAUACAUCAAUUCUGUCUAACCAAAAUACAAAUACAAAAUACAUAUAAAAAGUACCAAAGAAGGAAAAACAACAAGUCUCUGGACACCAAGAGCUCACCACAAUCUGAGUCUGCGAUGGCCACGGGAGAUCCAACGCUCAUUGAGGGUGACUCGUACUGCAGUUGCAUAAAAAAAGGAUGCAGAAAUGUUGUAUGAGUAUCAAAACACGGGAUACUCAAUAGGCAUCAUAGUGUAUAUAUAUAUAUAAAGUUCUGUUGAACAGAUUUAUAAGAAUGUUUAUCAUGGAAGAAGAAGAAGAAAUAUUAAAUUUGAAAAGACCCUCCGUGAGGUAACCUUUUCCAACAAAUAUUUUGUUCUUACUUAUUACACCAUUGUCAUAUACAAACAUUGUUUAAAGUCAACACCUUUUCGGAUAUCCUUUUCAGAAAGACCUUUCCAUAACCUUCAAAUUUGGUUAAUACAGAAUUACCCAUGAACAUAGUCUCAUCAGGUCCAAUAAGAGCAUAUGUCUCAAAUGCUUCUUUUACAACACAAACAUGACAUAUGACUUUUCACCAAUAUUCAUGGAUAUACAAAAUAGUUUUAUAGACUCAUCUUUUUAUGAAAAAGUUUUAAUAUUUUAAGUGACUUUCUUCCAUAAAAGAAUACAACUCUUUUAAACAAGUAGAUAAAUCAAUUAAAGGUUGCAUACUAGAAAUAUCAUAUACUAGAGAAACUAAAUGACCACAAUACCAAUUAACCCACACAAUAUAAAUAUUGUUUUCAUAAUUAUUUGUAAAGUACUUUUAUUCAUUGUGAGAUCGUAUUUACUUCAUAUUAGACCGGUAUAAAUCGUCAUGAAAAUAUAGUCUGACUUGUAUAGGCAACCAAAUGGCAUGUUGUUUGUGUAAUGAUGCAACCAUAAUUGAUAAAUGGUGAAGCACAAUUUUGUAAGAAGCAGUCAUUCUCUGUCAUUAAUUGACACAUGGUUUCGCAUAAAAAAAAUACUAACAAUAAAGACUUUAUUUUUAUUUACACUUUUUCUAAUUAAGGAUGAAAUUUUUCUUACUAAAAUACUCAAAACAAUAUUUUGCAGAACUUUGUAAUUAGAUACAACAAAGUUUAAAGUAUAUUUUAUAAACUAGAAAGUUAAAACUAGUAAAGAAAAUAUAAUCCGCAACAAAUAGAAACAAUAUUUAAAAGAAGAAAAUCGAGCCCUCUUAAUGCACAAUAUGUCAUUAAAAAAAGUAUUGUCAUCAAGUAUCUGAGGUUAAUGAAAUAUAGCCUCCCAUGAUAGAACGAUCUUAAUCACUACUGCAUAGGUAGUGACACAUGGUUUAGUAUAAACAAAUACUAACAAUAAAGACUUUAUCUUUAUUUACACUUUUUCUAAUUAAUGGUGAAGUUUUUCUUACUAAGAUAUACUCAAAACAAUAUUUUGCAGAACUUCGUAAUUAGAAACAGAAAAGUUUAAAGCAUAUUUUAUAAACUAGAAAGUUAAAACCAGUAAAGAAAAGAUAAUCUGCAACAAAAUAGAAAUAAUACUGAAAAGAAGAGAAUCGAGGCCUCUUAAUGCACAGUGUGUCCUUAAAGAAAGUAUUGCCCUCAAGUACCGAGGUUAAUAGAAUAUAUUCUUCCAUGAUAGAAUGAUCUACUGUAUAGGUACCUAAAGCCACGAUGUCAAUGAACCACUCAAAGGUAGUAAAGUACACUAGAAUUUGUUUGUGAAGAAUAGGAAAAUGACAUAAAUUCAUUGUAAAAAAUGAGAGGAAACCCUUUAUUUAUGGACAACAAAGGGUAGUAUGAAUAGGGGUGCUUAGUGUUCCUUAUUGGAAAAAUCACAACCCUUUGGAAAAGUCACAACCCUUCGGAAAAGUCACUAUCUUUCCGAAAAGACACAACCCUUCAGAAAUGUCACAACCUUUCGCAAAAAUCGCAACUUUUCAGAAAAAAUACAACUAUUCAUAAAAGUCACAACUUUUCAUUUUCCAUAUAAACCUUUUAAAACCCAACAUUCCCAUUGUCAUUAUUCUAUAAACCCACUCUAUUAAUCAAGAGACCUUCAUUCAAUUUUCUUAUUACUUGUUCUAAUAUAUAGCCAUGGAAGUAAACAAAGUAGAAGAAAAUCUUGCCUCUCUUAAUAUUCCAUCAUCACAAAACCUUCAUUUAACUGAAGAAAAUAUAAGAAAUCAGUUGACAAAUGAUGAUGAUGAUCACAAGCAAGGGAGGAUAUUAGUGGAGGAAUUAGAGAAAAUAAUUAGAUACAAAUUCAAGAAUCCCAACUUGUUGCAUGAAGCUUUUACUCACUCUUCCUUCCAAGAAAACAGUAAAUCAUAUGAGAGAUUGGAGUUGUUAGGUAAUUAGAAGUGGAUCUAGGGCAAGUUAACCAUCUACUGACUCUCUAGUCCAACUUAUCUCGUUACUUUUCUUUUGACUUAUUUUAUAUCACAAGCUUCAAAGUCUUUCUUUUUCUCUUAAACUCUGUGCUCACUCAAACAAAUCUUAUGCAGGUGACUCGAUUCUAAAUAUGUUAGUAACAAAAAAACAAUUUUUUGAUUACCCUGAUCUGCCUCCCGGAAAGCUAACAACGUUGAGAUCAGCCAAUGUAGAUAAUGAGAAACUUGCUAGAGUCGCCAUCAAAUACAAUUUACAUAACUAUUUACGUCACAAGAUGACUUUAUUUGAAGGACAAGUAAGCACAUUACAAUAGACUCAUCAAUUCAUUUGUACAUUCUUUAUUUGUUUCUAUAUAUAUUCAACUAAAUUUGAAAAAAAAAAAUAGUAUAUGAAUGGAAUUAAUAUUCAGUGGUUUGUAUAUAGAAAUUUCUUCUAGUUUGGAUCAUCGAUCGUCUGUAACGGAGAGUAAGCUAAUGAAUGAGGUGAAAGAAAAAGACGACUAACAAAUUUCAAAUAAAAAUGUGUAUAAUAAUUAUAAUACCUAUAAGAACCAAAAGAUUUAAGAAAGUGCAGAGCCUAAUAUGUAAAAAUAAAACAUAAAUUUACGUUUUAUGCAUGCUUUUGAGUUGUGAAAAGAGAUAGUAGAAGGUGGUAACCUACACCAGUACAAUUUACAAAAAGUACUUAGAAUGUAUGUGUCAAUUUAAGUGAGAAAUUUUUCUUUUAGUUUGUCCGAAAAAAAUAAUUAUCUAUAUACGUACGUUAGAAAUUUCAAUUUUUUAUUUUAUCAUUAAUGAAAUAACUUUUUUGCAUGCAAAUUUAUUUCUUUAUUUGGACGAUAAACUUUAAAAUAAAUUCUUUUAUAAAGUUGGUUCUUAUAAGUCAAAGCGCAUUACAUAAAUAAAAAUGGAGGAAGUAUUAGAUUUUUUUUUAAAAAAAAAGCUGGUUAUUUUUGACAGGUAAAAGAAUUCAAAGAGGCUAUAUUGGAGUACCCAUUGCAUUCAGUAGGUCUCAUUGAUCCCCCAAAGACUCUUGCAGAUAUUGUUGAAUCUUUGAUUGGUGCCGUCUCUAUUGACUCCGAUUGUAUGAAUACAACUUGGCAGGUAUGGUUUAAUUUUUUAAUUUAUAUAAUAAUUGUUUAUUAUUGGAGAUAUCUAAAUAAUACAUUGUAUAUUUUUAUGACAGGUGGUUAAUUUUUUGUUGGAACCUCUAACUACUCCAGAAAAACUCGAGCGUAAUCCAAUUACAAAAAUGUACGAGUUAUGUCAGAAGAAUGGAUUGAAGACAGAAUUUGUUGAUAAAUGGGAUGAAAAUGGAGAGUUUGAAGUUUUCGUUGAUGAAAUAUUUGUGGGGAAGGGAAAAUCAAGUGGGAAAAAAAUAACUGCAAAAAAUAGGGCUGCGCACAAUGCAUAUUACCAAGUUCUCCGAAUUUUGAGUGAGAAAGCCACUAUUGAUAAUGAUCAACAUUGUGAUGGAAAGCAAAGCUGAAAAUACUAUCACAAAACUGCUAGUAUUUUAUAUGAAAUUUGCAUAAUUUGACUCGAUGUUAACGUUUUCGAUGAAUUUCAUCUUAAUAUUUUACCAACGACUCAAACUUUGAUGAGAUGUCCAUUCAAAAUCUGCAAUAGACGAUCAAAUAUUGUAACAAUUAUCAAAAUUAGAUUAAAUUUUAUUGUUUACAAAGUCUACGUGUCUAUAAUUUAUCUUACAUUGUCAUCAUCGAUAUAUCAUUUACGAUCACUGUAAAUCUUGGUGAUUUGAGGUUGGUUUUACAUUAUAUAUGUCACCACUGAAAUUGCUGCGUGCGAAAGAAAGAAAUGAAUAUCCUAUAUGACAUGUUAUUAAUUUCAUCGAGGUAUGAAAGUAGUACAUUUUGUAAUUAGCAUGACAAUUUAUAUUAAGCACAAUAAUUCAUGUGAAUUUGAAAUACUAUCCUUUCCUUCCAUUAACAAUUCAUUAAAAUUUAAUUUCAUUGGAAAUAAAUUCGAAUAAUUAUAAUAUGAGUAUUGAAUUUACUAUUUUCUCCACUUCUCAAUUUUUACCCCAGAGGGCAGACAAAUGCUAACAUAGUUAAACAAAAGGGACAUUUAUGUGUAAAAUACUCGCUAAAAAGUAAAAUUUCUCGCUCCACUUAAAGCAUGAACCCUUCUUUUGAUCCUUGCGCUCCAACAACCCUGUGCAAUUAAUAGUCGUUAUUCUUGUGUUUUUCCACUAUCUUUUAAGUUUACGAGACACCUAAGAAUACAAGCAAUUCAAAGAUUAUUUGCAUCUUUUCUAGCUAGAUUAUUAAUAGUACUUGAUACGACAUAAUCAACCCAUUCCCACUCGAGAGAAUACGUUCUUUUUGGAGAACCUGCAGCCUUCAACAUAUUUUGAUCGAUAUCCUAUUGGUGUUGAAGAAAACACAAGGAUUACGACAUUAAAAUUACUUUCAACUUGUCAUAAAUGAAGAAUUUAUCAGCUAAGAAUAUCUUUCAAUAAAAAAAGCUGUUCAUAACAAAAAAAUAAAAGGUGGAAAUAGUAGAUAAAACAUUCCACAAAUGAGUCGAAGUGUUUGAUUCUUACAAUAUUAUGUUUCUUUUAGCAUUAUAGUAAUACUUUAGCAUCUUUACUUUAUCAUGUAAUCUCUUAAUUAAUCGACUUCAGAUAUUGAAUGUUUGGAACAUCAAAAAAGUUUUAGUUUAAGUUACGCAAUAUACUCAUCCCUUGUACGAAAUUGUUAAGGAACCUAUAUUUCUCCUUUUACUUCUCUCCCGGAAAAUGUCACGAUCCGAAAUCGGUCAAUGAUGGCGCCUACCAUAAACCUCCCAGUAGGAAAGCCAAAACCCAAAACACGCGGAAGACAAUAAUUUUAUAGGAAAUAAUAAACAAAAGCAGAAAUAAAGAUACAAAAUGGGGAUCAUAGAAUAGAUAUAUAAAUACGUUACAAAAUAUACAAAACGGGCACGAAAGUGAUUGAGAAAAAAAAACUAUAUAGACAAACAAAUCCCUUGACCUUGUGUCACUGGUACAAGAGAAUUUAAGUAUAAAAAGGCUAUAUACAUCAUGUUUGUAUAACCAAAAUAAAAAAUACAAAGAAAGAAAAUCCACAAGUCUCCGGAAGCAAAAAGCUCACCACAAUCUGAGUUUUUUACGGCCACGGGAGAUCCAACGCUCAUUGAGGGGGGUUCAUACUGGGAGCUGCAUCAGAAAAAGAUGCAAAAGUGUGGUACGAGUACAAAAAUAUGGGUUAGUCAAUAGACAUGAUAGUGCUAACAAUAAGAUUGGUAGGUAAUUGUAAGUAAACAACACAACCGGCGGAGAGAAAGGCAAACAUGCACCAAAACCAUACAAGUCAAUGAAUCACAGACACAUACCACACAAGAAGAUGCGAUGCACGUGUAACCAAUGAAUGAAUAAAGUAUAAAGUUUAAUUGGAAUUAUAUUGCUGGCUGUCCCAUAGAUCCCCAACGACAACUAUGGUGUCACACUUCAAGCCUACACUUUGGACGUGGCCGGCAAUCGAGAGCCAUUGAUGGUCCCAAAGUGAACCCUUGACUAACUCAAACAUACACAAGCAUCAAAACUAAAAAAAAAAAAAAAGUAGUUUAUAAGAUCUCAAAACUAUCUGAAUAUACAAGUAUUAAAUAUUAUUUUUUAAAUAAAACAUCUGAAAUUGAAUACUACAAACAUACCACGACUGUCUAUCUAUAAAAACUCUACUGUAUAAGGAUAGUUGUCAGGACAAGACCCGUGACACCUCGAAAUGUUACAACUAACAAAUCACAAAAUUAGAGUCCUCCGAAACAAAGGAGGUCUCACCAAAAGCUGAUGAACAACUGAUGUGAUCUCAAUGAAAUUCAUGUUGAUGAUUCUAAGUACCUAAAUUUGCAUCAUGAAAUGAUGCAGAUCGAAUGACAUCAGUAGAUUGAAUGUACGAGUAUGUAAUAGGGAUAAAUAAAACAUAUAACUUAACUGAAAGAUGGAAAGUAACUCAAUUAAAAUAUAGUAUAAAUCAUGAUGGAAAUCAUUUAAGAUCUCACUAUAAGAAUGCAAUAAUAGUAAAUACUUAACUAAUAUAUAUAUAUAUAUAUAUAUAUAUAGAGAGAGAGAGAGAGAGAUUUUACUUUACUUUACUUGAGAGUUUCUCUAACAGAUAACCAUCACUAUGAUUCUCGUGAUGAUACAAUGUCUUACCUAUGUUGCUAGAGCCAUCCUAUACCAUGGCAGAAUAUAAAACGCAACUGAAUUGGUGGACUCACUAAAAAACUUUCUUGAGGUAGGUGGAGAGUCGCACAUCUUGUGGUAUGAUCCUAUCUAUGUUGGAUAUGUAGUUUUGGGGGCUAUGAGUUAUCUGAACACUCCCUCAAAUCGGUGCUCAAUACUACUUCAAAAAAAUAUUAUUGUAUGCUCAUGUAAAAUAAUCACUGGGUUGAGAUAAUUACUAAAAAAGGCCAAUUUAAGAGGUAACUGAACCGUACUCAAUUUUUGUAAAAUACUCUGAAAGAUCUUUAUACUUUUUGGAAAAUAGUACUCUCUUUUCAAUGUGAAAAAAAUAAUACUUUCCUUAAGGUUAACUGAACUUCUCUUUAUCUAGCUGAAAUGUUUUUGAAAACUAUUUAAGAUCUUCUUAAAACUUUUCUCAAUGUGAAAAUAGUACUUUUGGACCCAUUUGUAUUCCCUUAAGCUCUUCUCCAAGAUACAUUAAGAUACUUUUGAACUCACUUUAAAAUUCCAAAAUCAAUGUAAGGAAAGUUACCGACUUGAAAUAAUUUUAGUAAAACUCAACAUAUAGGGUUCAGGUGGAACUAUGUGCAUGAAUAAUAAUUCAAGAAUUUAAAUGCAUAAAGUAUCACAAUCUCACAAUAUAGGAAUUUUAUAAAGCUGAGGGCAGAACCCUAGAUUCAACUUGCUACUGACUGAAUUGAGAUGUAGGGUGCGAUGACGAACUAGUCCAACACAACGAAUAACCUUACAUACUUGGAAGAACAAAGUUCUUGAAGGAGUUUGAAGAAGAACAUGAUAGGAAGACUUUGAAACCCUAGCUUGCACUACUAAAAAACUGCCAAAAAAUGAUGGCCAAAUUAAAAGUGACGGAUUGCGUCACUUUUUUUGUCAAAAUCGAUGGAAAAGCGUUGCAGUCACUUCCGUUGCGUUUUAGCUCGACGCUUUUCAAAAAGCGACUGACUGCGUCACUUUUUGACUCUCUCUUUUAGAAUUUUUUUUAACAAAAGCGACGAACUCCGUCGCUCUAUUUUAAUUUCCAAAUGGCGACGCCAUCCGUCGCUUUUGUGGAAAUUUUAUUUUUGAAAAUUCCAGAAAAGCGACGGACAAAAGGACUCUGUCCAUUGCUUUUCUGGAUAUUAUUAUUUUGGAAAAUCCAAAAAAGCGACGGACAAAAUCACACUGUCCGUCGCUUUUUCUGCAAAAAAUUUUACAACAGGAACUGGCUGUUUCUGUUGCCCACCUGCAAAUUCAAUUCAAUUCAAUUCAAUUAUACACUAUUCAGCCCAAUCAAACACACAUAAUUAUAAACAAUCUACACAACAUAAAACAACAAACUUAAAAUAACAUUCAAAAGUAUCUAAAUCACAAUUUAUAGACUUAUAAAGUCUUUCAAAAUUCGUUUCAAAAUUUCAUAAAUGUCCAGAGAUUUAAACUAGGGAGUCAGAUCUACAUAAUCAUCCUCAUCAUCACUGUCACCGUCGAUGUUCUCGUGAGCCGAAGUAGUAGGUCGACGAGCGAGGUUCAUCACUUGUUCUUUGAUUUGCUGAACGGUCUCGCUCAUGCUUCAUUGUUCAGUUACUCUUCUCUGCUCCGACUUUGCCAGUGACGAUGUAAGUUGUGCUCUUUGAGCCGACAUAGCAGCAAUCUGAACACUGUCAAGUGCCUUGGCUUGACGUGACGAUCCAAUACCUUCUAAGCCUGACUGGAGUCGUCUUACAUCGUUUUGAGAGCCUAGACCAUAGCAUCUACCCUUGUGUGUCCCCCCUACCACUUUUUCUUUCCAAAUCUGGGUGGACAGUUCAGGUGUCAUUUCGACCGAACUAUCUAGAUUCUUAGCGACGUACUGAUGAAACUCAUUCUACAUAUUAAAUAUAAAAAUUGACAUCAAUAUAUAUACAUAUCAUAAAUAUAUUCACUAUUAAUAUAUAUUAUCCAUAUUAAAUAACUUACAAAAGUUUGUUUGGCCCUUUCCUCCACUCACACAUCCGGAUUCGACUCAUUUUCUUUCUUCCUGACAUGAGUCUUCUUGAAAAUCCAGUUCAAUGGGAAUGUGUCCCAAUUAUUUUUCCUAUUAAUAAAAACUGAAAUUUAUAACGAAAUAUAUGAAUCAACUAAUUAUUUAUUUAAAAGUUUGAAUUAGAACUUACCAUCUCUCUUGUAAUUGUUCCAAUGGUCUUUGCACCUUUGGUGUGCAACGAGCCACCCUUAAGACUGCCUCUAGCCUUUUAGGCUUAUUCUGAUAUUGCCUUAAACUUGUCUGUGUUCCAAUACAGUGGUCUUUGCACCUUUGGUGUGCAACGAGCCACCCUUAAGACUGCCUCUAGCCUUUUAGGCUUAUUCUGAUAUUGCCUUAAACUUGUCUGUGUUCCAAUACAGACCCAAUUCAUAAAAAACAUGAGGCAACAUCCAAUCCGGACGUUCAACACUAUCACGAACUUUCUUUAGCCAGCUAGACAGUCUUGCGGAUGCCCUCCUCUCAAAUGUGGUCGUAAUGACCAAAUUGCACCUCGGCUCCCAAGUACACAUUGUCUGGAAAAAAAUUGAAUAACGUUAAUUAGAUCGAUAGUAAAGAAAAGUAAAGUAUACUAAGCUUAACUAAAAAAUAUAUACCUUAAAUUCAUUAAACAUCGUCUAGCGUAUACUGUUUGGAAUCUCGCUCCAAGAGUGAUAAGAUUGUGUAUAAAGUCUUCUAACACAGUCUUUUAAUGCCCAGGCAGCCACCUGCAAAACACAUAAUAAAUAUGUUAGUUCAUGAAUAAUAUAUUAAAGUGUAAGAAAUAAAUAAAAUAAACUAACAAAUAGAUAACAAAACAAACUUAUGAUGAUCCAUCCGGCUCAAUCAUGACUCUACCAAGUCUGUCCUUCUGGCCAGGAGCUAGAGCAGGCAUCUCAUCAUCUGGUGUAGCACUAGGUCUAGUUGUAGAUGAGGGUAAUACAUCAGGAUGCACAAAACGUUGAGUCAAUGGAGGCGUACCAGCCAAAGAAUCUGACUGCUCACUACUAGAAUCUCCAAUCCUCAUGGCAGAUAACUGAGGAUAUGUACCUGUGGGAGAUGGAGUACCUACCGAUAAGGGUCGUGGUUGAUGAAUAGCGUGUAAAGGUAGGUCCUUGUAGCGUCGUAAAACCAAUGCCUGUGAAGUAGAGGAAGCACCGACUGGUCGACAGUAAUUAGGAUAAUAUUGCCGAGGAUCCGCCGUACCAAACGAAACAACAAAUAAAUGAUUAUCAUGGCUGAUGCGCUUUGGCGCAAAAGAAAUAGAUCCUGCAAUAUCCUCAGGAUCUAUAGGUCUCCUAGACUUCUUCUUUUUAGCAUGUUUAGUCUGGCUAACUCCAAGAUACUUGCGAUGACUAUCAUUGUCACCGCCUGAUGACAUAUGUAUGCAAAUUUACAUGUAUAAUAUAUAUAAAAAUCAAAAAUUAAAUAAAAUUAGCAAAAUACACUAACUUACACACACACACACACACACACAUAUAUAUAUAUAUAUAUAUAUACUAGCUAGCUUUUGAUUCUACACUAUUCCUCCUCGCUUGUUUCAAUUCCAUCAUCCAUUAUCGUCCCAUUCUUCAUCAUCAAAUGAUUCAUUUUCCUCAUUCUUGGAUAUUUCUUCCUCAACAUUUAGUAUCUCAUCAUCAGAUACUUCUUCUAAUAUGUGUUGAGGAUGUUGUAGUGUGGUUUCCAAUUCAACAUCAGCUUGUUGUUCAACAAUUGCAACAUCAUUUUGAUACGCCACAUCUAAGACAUUGUCAAUUUCAAUUCUUCCCACAUGCUUACUUUUUAUAACAACCCACCAAUCAGAUUUGUCUUUACACAAUGGAUAUGGAGCGUAAUACACUUGUUUAGCAUUUUGUGCAAUGAUAAAAGGAUCAUAACUUCUGUAUUUCCUGGUGUGCUUAACUUCAAUUAUAUUAUGUUGAUGGUCCAUCUUUGUGCCUCUAUGUGAUGGGUCAAACCACUCACACCGAAACAAUACAAUCUUCUUCUUAGGUCAAUCUGAAUACCUCACUUCAAUAAUGCAGCCAUUAACACAACAAUGAAUUCUAUCAUACGUCAAUCCUAACUUGGAAACCAAACGUUUUGCCUAAUAGAAGUUCUUAGGUAUGUUAAACUCCGGAUUAGCUAGUUCACCCAAAAGAUCAACCAUUGAGUCCAUAGCCGCAUUAGGAACAUUCCAAUCUGAUUUAAUAUUCAUUAAUCUAACCGCAACUGACAAGGCAGAAUGUGGACUCCCUUCACAUAGUGGACGACUAGACUCUUCUAAUUGAUCAUAGAAACGUCUUGCUUCUUCAUUAGGAGCUUCAUCAAAAAAUUGUUCCGGUUCCAUCCCACCUUGAACCCCAAAAGCAUCAUUGAUCAUUUCAUGAACCCUAUCAUGUUCAAUCAUAUCCUGUUCAACCUUAAUUUGACCAUGUAGUGCAACCAUAUUAUAUUCAUCCACAUGCUGAGAAUUAUAAAACAUACCAUCCAAUCCAUCUUUUUCUCCAUGAUCAAUCCAUACAAAAUAUCUAGGCUUAAAUCCAUUACGGUACAAAUGAACCAUAACUGUAUCUGGUUUAAAAUUUUUAAGUACUUACAUGCACUACAAGGACACCUAACCAAUCCAUUAUUCUUGAAAAUGUCAAGUGUCAUUGUAUGUUCAAUAAAUUCUCUAACACCGUCAAUAAACUCAGGUUUCAAACCAGCACCAGUUUCAUAAUGCAUAUUAUACAUCCACUAACGAUGAUCCAUCUACAAAAACAUAGAUAUUCAAAUAUAUUAUAAAUUAAAUUUAAUAAUAAUUUUACUACAUUAAUUCAUUGUUAAUAAAUAUUUAUAAUAAUUACUUAAUAAUUCUAAUUAAGUUCAAUUACUACAUUAAUUCAGUUUCUAAAGUAUAUUCAAGUUCAAUUUCUAAAUUCAAGUUCAUAUCAUAAAAGUUAUUAGUUAUAUAUAAAGUGAAAAUUCAAUAAUUAGUUAUAUAUUCAAAUUCUAAUUAAGUUCAAUUAGUUCAAGAUCUACAAAGUUAAAGCUUAAUUAAUUAAUCAAUACUAAUUAAUUAAGUUCAAAUUAAGUUCAAGUUCUAGUUAAGUUGAUCAAAAUUAAGUUUAUAUCAAUUCCUAAUUAAGUUUUCAAGUUAUUAUAAAUUAAUUAAGUUCUAAUUAAUUAAGGUCAACAAGAUUUCAAGUUNNNNNNNNNNNNNNNNNNNNNNNNNNNNNNNNNNNNNNNNNNNNNNNNNNNNNNNNNNNNNNNNNNNNNNNNNNNNNNNNNNNNNNNNNNNNNNNNNNNNNNNNNNNNNNNNNNNNNNNNNNNNNNNNNNNNNNNNNNNNNNNNNNNNNNNNNNNNNNNNNNNNNNNNNNNNNNNNNNNNNNNNNNNNNNNNNNNNNNNNNNNNNNNNNNNNNNNNNNNNNNNNNNNNNNNNNNNNNNNNNNNNNNNNNNNNNNNNNNNNNNNNNNNNNNNNNNNNNNNNNNNNNNNNNNNNNNNNNNNNNNNNNNNNNNNNNNNNNNNNNNNNNNNNNNNNNNNNNNNNNNNNNNNNNNNNNNNNNNNNNNNNNNNNNNNUAUUAGUAGUCCUAAAAUCUCAAAUAUAAUUCAAACAAGUCCUAAAUUUCAAAUUCAAACUAGUCUUAAAAACACAAAUUCAAACUAGUCCUAGAAUCUUCAAACUAGCUAGUGCUAAAAUCCCAAAUUCAAAAUAUUAGUAGUCCUAAAAUCUCAAAUAUAAUUCAAGCUAGUCCUAAUUAAUUCCAAAUUCAAACUAGUCUUAAAAUCACAAAUUCAAAGUACUGCUAAGAAUUUAAAAAUCAAACUAGUGCUAAAAUCCCAAAUUCAAACUAUUAGUAGUCCUAAUGCAUAAUAAGUGUAAGGGUAUGGGGGUGAGUGAUCUGGCAACAAUACCACAAUUACACAAUAGUCGUAGGAUCUCUACUAUCUAAGUGAAUCAUAAGCUCUUACAUAAUUCUCAUCAACAUGUACAAACCCACAUAAGUUGCCCUUUCAAGGCUUAUGAGUAAAACUCAUCCCUAACUUCUAUAAUCUCAAAUAUAAUUCAAACUAGUCCUAAAUUCCAAAUUCAAACUAGUCUUAAAAUCACAAAUUCAAAAUACUCCUAGAAUUUAAAAAAUCAAACUAGUGCUAAAAUCCCAAAUUCAAACUAUUAGUAGUCCUAAAAUCUCAAAUAUAAUUCAUACUAGUUUUAAAAUCACAAAUUCAAUUAGUUAUAUAUAACCUUCAAGUUCUAAGUUCAAUUAGUUCAAGUUCUAAAUUCAAGUUAAUUAAUAUCUAAUUUCUAAACUUAAUUAUAUAUAAACUUCUAAUCCAUGAAUUGGUUAUAUUCAAGUUCAAGUUCAUGUGAAAGUUCUAAAAUUAAACCCUCAUAUAUUCAUUCAUGACAUUCAAACAUUCAACAUAUAUAUUCAUGAUAUUCAAACUUCAUCAAUACUAACUUCUAACUUCAAAUUAACAAUUUACUAACUAACAAUCAUCAAAUUUACAAAAAUCUCAAUUCACAAUCAAAUUAAAGAAUUUCAUAUUCAAACUAGUACUUAAAUAAAAAAAAACCCUAAUUCAUUUGCUAACAGACACAAUCAAUCAUUCAAUAAAACACAAACUCAAUAACUAAUUAACAAAAUCAAACAAUAUACCACAAAUUGAAAAAAAUUAAAAACUAAUUUGAUGAAACCCUAACCUUAAAUUAAAGGAGAAAGAGACAAUGGAGAGGGAGGGAAACAACAGCAACAGCGGCGUCGGCGGCGGCGGAAGCAGCAUCGGCGACUUGGGCGAUUUUAGAGAGAAUUUAGAGAGAAGGAAGAGAGGAAAAAUGGGGAAAAUCGCGUCUGGUAUGCAUAUAUUUUAAAGAAAGUGACGGACAACGUCUUUAUGUCUGUAGCUUUUUAAAAAAAAAUGUUUGACCAACAUUUUGACCAAAAAGCGAUGGACUAAGAGACACUGUCCAUCGCUUUCUUAAAAUAUUUGACCAGAUAUUUUGACCAAGAAGCGACGGACAUAAAGCUGUCGUCCGUCGCUUAUUUAAAAAUAAUUAAACAAUUAAAAUUAAUAAAAAGUGACGGACGGUGUGACUUUUUUUUAAUUUAUAAACAAUUGUUUUUAAUAUAAAGCGACGGCAAUUAUUGAUUAUAUAUAUAUUUGGCGCAAAAGUCAGCGAAAAAAAGCGACGGACUAAGAGAUGCCGUCCGUCGCUUUUUGUAAAAUAAUUUUAAAAAUAUUUUUUUAAUUUAAAAGCGACGGACGGUGUGGCAAUUGGUGUCGCUUUAUGGAGCCACGUCGUCCGUCGCUUUUUGGCAGUUUUUUAGUAGUGUUGAAGGAAAAUGAACAAGAAAACCAUUUUCGAGAUUUUUGAAUUAGUUUCUUGAAAAUCCUAUGGUCAAGAAUUGAGAUUUCUAUUAAAUAUUCAUGCAUAUAUGAAGAAAUUUGAGUUCGAAAGAAUGAAAUUCUUGGAUAAGGACUUGCGUUGAAAAAGAAUCUUGAAAAAAGAUUUGAAAUAAUCUUGCAUGGAAAUCUUAUGCUUUGAUUUUGUUCCUUAGGGUUAAUGACCGGUAGAUUUGCACUCAUUUGAGGCCGAUUUAGCUAAACAAUUGGCUUCCUAAAUGCCUAAUUAUGUCCUAUUCUAAUGAUAUUUUAAUGAUUUGAAGCUAUGAAGGCUAAAGGACAAGGCAAGGAUGAAUGUUUGAAAGAAUGACCAAAAGUGAAAAAAUAAGUGUAAAAUUCACACUGUUGAUCCCAAACAAGAAAGGAAGAUCGCCUAACGGGUAUGACCUUGCCCAAAUUGGCAGUGCACAACACUUGCAAUAAAUUAGGCAGGUCAACAAACUUCAAAUGGAAAGGCGACUCACCGAAUAAGAAAGGUGAGCAGGUUGACCAUCGCCAAAAAUGAUAGCAUAAGGAGAAAAAUUGAAGGCUUGAAAGGCGAACAAGGUGGUACUUGGUAAUACGCUGAAUGUGAAAGGCAGACUCGAACGAGUUCACAAACUGGGUUCAAACACUUGAAGUCUAGAGCAAGAAAAAGGCGAGUUGUAGAGCAAUUGACAAUCCAUCAAUUGUGAUUGGUGAGCCUGACUAAUGUCACCAAAUGAGUAGCAUAUUGAGUUUUGGGAUAAAUUUUGGGAAACUAUAAAUAGACCAAAGAAGAGAGAAAAGGUAGUUCGUGUAGGUGAGAAAAAGUUGUAAGAUUGUGAGAAAAGUUCUGAAUAUUUUUAGAGACAAAUAGUGUAUCUUGUGAGAUCACUUUCUAGUUUUUGGGGUUUUCAACUUUGUUAUUAAAAUUGAUAAAUUGAAGUUCAAUCCAAAGUGGGAUGACUUAUGAUUACUUAAUUUCAUGUUACCCAUGGCUGCUUUCAUGAAAUGUAUAUUUUUUUUGCUUUUUGUGAUGGGUGGUUAAAACCUAAGAUAUAAAGGGUGCAAUUAUGGGGUUGGGUGUUGGUUUAAUGUAGUGGGUUUCGUGUUAUGUUCUGUUUUUCUGUUGCUCAUACAUGAAUUUGGGCUAAUUAGCAUGGGUUUAACUUAUGGAUUAAGGUUGCAAACUUAAUUCAUACUUCCAAUCUCCCAUCGAUGCUCGAAAGAGAUUGAUUGGGGUGGGCAAUUAGUCCGAUACUAUCAAUUUAGUUAGUUUGAUGUCUAUAACUUGCUUGAAAAUAGAGGUAAUGAGUCGGAUCUAUUUGCCCUAUUUAUGCAUGAAAGAGAGAAUAAAACAAGGUAUAAGGUUGUUUAGUAUAGUACAUAGAUGAGAUUUAAAGGAGAUUCUAUGAAAUGAUGCUAUGAGAUCGAAAAAAUAUUAGUGUCAUUGAAGAUGACCCAGCCUAUUCAUCAAAGUUUAUCACUUUAGAGCAACACAAUUACCCUUACGUUACAUUAAUUUCCAAUCCCCGCACCCCUAGAUUACUUGUUACUUCUUGAAUUUUACAAAAUGUUAGUUUAAUUGAGACCAUUUAUAACCAAAUCUUUUUUAUUAAAUUGGUUGAAUCAUCCACCCACUUGUUUUGACUACUACAAAUGAAUGAUUUUACAAUAAGAGUUUCCUGAUAGAAUUCUCUAUGAUAUACAAUUCUCUAUGGAAUUCGACCCCGACUCUUAGUUUGGUAUGUUUAUUAACAAUGACUGUUGUCUCUUUUAAUUGGUUUUAGACAGUAUAUUUGAGCGAUAAAAAAAAUGGCGCCACUGUCGGGGAAUGGUGGUUGAGAAUUCUAUUUGAGAAAUUAGUUUGUAAAUUUAUUUAGUUGUAGAAGAUUAAUGCUUUGUAAUGUUGUUGGAUGAUUUGUAGGUCUAGUACAAUGAGUUUCCAUGGUAGUGAGAACGAUAGUCACUAUGAUCAAAAUGACAACAUGGGUGAUUUGAAUUAUAUACAUGUAUAUAUCAUUCAAACCACGGGAGCCAUCCAGAUACCUCCCAAAUUCGGGAGGGUGGUAUUUCAUGUAAUCGGAACAAUGCUACAUUUGCACCAAUUACGAGGAAUGUUUGGGGGCUUAGCACAUGAGGAUGCCCAUGAACACCUUCAAAAUUUUGUGAAGGUGUGUGGGUCGUUUUUGUUCAAAAAUACCUCACAAGAGUCCGUGAGGUUGAGGUUAUUCCCGUUCUCUUUGAUAGGUGAAGCUACAAGAUGGUUGGAGGAAUUGCCAAAUGACUCUAUCACUUCUUGGGAAAAGUUGAAUGAAGCUUUAUUGGAGAGAUUAUUCCCCCUCCCCCCCUCAAAGAUGGUAAAAUUUCGAAGCCAAAUCCAAAAUUUUAAGCAAAUUGGAGGUGAACCUCUACAUGAGACUUGGUUGCGGUUCAAGAAACUAAUUUUGCAAUGUCCACCACAUGGUAUUCCAGACAAUGUUCCAUUGCAAUACUUCUAUUUUAGCCUUGAUUCAGUCAAUAAAGGUGUGGAUGAUUAGCUAGUCAUAAAGAGGAAUAAUAAGGCAGCUAAUGAAUUAGCAACCCUGUUGCUAAUGACAUGAUCAAAGUUAACCAAGCAUGACAUACUAGGAAAGACCAAGUUUAUACUCUACUACUAAGCUUGAGCAAAGAACAAAUCGAUAAGGACAAUGAACGAGAUGAAAACAUAGCCAAAAUAAUGACCCAACUUGAUUUGUUGUCCAAACAUGUCAUGGGAGGUGGACUUAAAUCGGUGAAUGCAGUUGGAACUAAUAGUGGGAAGUGCCUGGAUGAUGCCAUUUUUGAGGCAUUAUACAAUGAAAAAGUUCAAUAUUUGGGAAACCAAAUGGGUGGUUCUCACCUAAAUUACCAAUGAUAAUUUGGGAACCAAGGUUGGAAUAAGGAGAGAGAGAAUGUUUGGAAAGAUAGGUGAGGUUGAAAUUAGAGAGAUAGGGAGGCUGACAAAGAUAGAUAUGCUCCAUCCCAUGAUCGUCAUCGACCAAAUGACCCAGCUGGGCUAGAAGGAAACUGAACCAAGGAAAUGCUCACAAGGAUCUUUAACAAGGUUAAUGAGUCCGACAAAAUAUUGAAGGAAUUGAAAAAUGACUUCUCCACUUUAUCUCAAAUGAUAACCUUUCAUUCGGUAUCUAUCAAGCAGCUGGAGACCGAAUUGUGCCAGAUCUCCACCCAUCUCAAUCAGAGGCAAAAGAGAAUAUUGCCUAAUGAGAGCGUCCCUAAUUCCAAAAAUGAAUGUUGAUGAAAUGAGAACUAUGUACUGCCAUGACAUUAAAUAAGACACUUCUUGGAAGGCAACCCAAGUCUUUACUUUUGUAGUAUUACUUUCAAUAAAGUUUAUUGUGAGUGUAGGUUGAAAAGAAGUUAAAGUGUUAUGAGGGGAACAUUAGGCGAUGCCAAAACCAUCACGAUGAUCUGCCAAAGGCGUUGGAUGGACUCAUUCUUGUCCGCCUUCUGAACUAGGAAAUAUGGAAAAGUUUACUUUUAAUUUAGGUGAUUUGAGAUCCAAAAGGCGAUCCGCCUAAGUACACUAUGUCAACUCCAUCGUGUCUGUUGAAUCAACCUUCAGACUUGGUGUUUUUUCAGGCCUUUUCAGCGAGCUUCAACUCCAGCUGGCGAUCCACCGAAUUGCACUUUGCGACAUUAUUCGUGACUGCCGAGUGUCCCUGGUAUAAUAAGUCCAAGGGUCUUUUUCAAAUUCAAGAAGAAAACCAUUUGCCAUUUUUGAGACCUUUUCUUCCAUUUUGUUUGCAAUACCAUAUUUGAGUGUGUGAGCAUCCUUUGUGUGUGACUAUUGAGUACGUGGAGUACAUUUUCUUGCUCGAUCCGUUAACCCAGCCCUAAUCUCCCUUUUUUCUAGUUUUACUUCUUAUCGAGGCUGGUUUUCUAUUUUCAUUCAUAUUUUGAGACUUAAGUUGAGUUUAAUGUAUGGGCAUUAGGACAGGUGAUGCAUGUUAUUAUUAGAUUUCAAUGGGUAGUGCGAUAAUGACUGUAUUGAAUUGUGCCCAUGAAUUGAUUGCUAUUUUUCUUGCCUAAAACUUGAUAAACUUGCUUGUGUUGGUUGAAUGUUUAUAUUUUGUGGGUCUUGGUUGAAUUUGAUAUGGGUGAAGUCUGAGUAACCCAAUAUUGACCCGAUUGAAUGAUUUUUCCCAAUGAUAGAUAUAGUGACGUGUUUCUUAAGGGCAAAUCAUCAAUUUGAGCAAUACUUUGUGAUAUCUAGGGGAUGUUUGAUCGAGUACCCAUGGGUUGAUAAGCAUAUGGGUGGACUAUAAUGUUGUGGGAAACUUGACUGUGUUGCGUAUGUUGGGUUUGUCUGUGAAAUUAGGCACUAGGCUGAGAACCACCUGUUCGGCAGGCUUGUCUUAGCUCGCCAAGGCGGUUAGGCGAAUCGCCGAGUAAGCCCGAGCUCACCUUCUUGAGUGAAUUGGUGACCUUGGCUAAUGUUCCAUUCGGUGAAGUUGUCUUAGUUCGCCGAACCCACUCGGCGUAUCCCCGAGUGGGAGUGGACAUCAUUCUUGAUGCCUAUUUCUUUUCAUUUUGCGCUAUUAGUUUCAGCGAACUUGUCUUGGCUUGCUGAAACCAACUCGGCGAUUUACUGAGUUGGAAUUGACUCCGCCCAUUGUACCUUAAUUCUUUGAUAAUUGCUUCUGUCCAAUUCGGUGAGCUCGCCGGAGCUCUCCCAUCCUAUUAUGUAGACCGCCUUCUCAUUGAGCGUGCCUUAGGACAUUUUUGAACUAUGCUUAAAGUCGAGUUUGAUUUAACCUAACCUUUAGUGAUUCUAACCUGGGUCAGUAACCCUACCCUCAUUUGAACACCCUCUAGCAUACCUAUUGCACUACCCUGAGAGAGGUUCUUUCACACACCUAGCAUCCUCAACAAUAGUAAAUCACUUGCCGGAACCAUUUCCCAUCGGUAAAAUAUCUCUAGCCGGAACCAUUUCGCAUAUACUUUAUAUGAAAUCACUAGUAGGAACUAUUUCCCAUUGACUUAUUAUCAAUUCACUAGCCGAAACCAUUUCCCAUCGGCUUUAUAUCACUAGCCACAACCAUUUUCCAUCAGCUUUAUUUCACUAGCCAGAACCAUUUCCCAUCAGCUUUAUAUACCUCACUGGCAAUGACCUCGUCAUCAUAAAACUUACCAAAAAUGACUUUGACAUCAACUAUCACAUGUCCCAUCAUGACGUUUAAUAAUCAAUGCACACAAGUAAUAUCACACCACACGAAAGAGACAACAAUUCAUGCAAUUCAAGUCCACAAAUAAUGCUAUCAAGCAUUGCAUCAAUAAAUCAUUAAAGGUUACAACAAGGCAAUUCACAUCACCAUGUUUAUCACAUAGCAUUUGCAAUGUCAACCCCUUUUUAUUCGUUAAAACUUAUCAAGUGAACAAUUAACCGUUCACCUCAUUCUGAUUACUCCCAACACAUAAGCAACGAAGAGAAUACACGAAUUCUACUAGAAUACAAGGUUUAGGAAAUCACUUGCCUUAAAUAAAUCAAUAAUCACUCUAAGAGUUGAGUCUUCCCCUUCCAAAUCAUUUUCAAAGCCACAUAAUCUAUAUACAAUCAAGUAUUCACCAUCACAUUCUGGAAAAUUAAUACCCACAUCAAUUAAUUAGAUAAAUGGAACAAUCAACUCAAAACCAAAUUUCAAAAAGAAGGUUUGAAUCUGAAACAUAGUACUUGAAAACAUUACUCAAGUUUUGAGGAACUCAUAGGGAAAAAUCAUCUCAAAAAAGGACUCGAAAACACCUCACGAUCUCCAUUUUAUCUAAGAUCUUGAGUUCUUGAAAAACCUCACCACUUACCAAUAAAAAUCUCAUAUUUUAAUGUUAAAACCCAUAAAUAAUCAAACAGAAAUGACGGUUUGGGAUCAUGAAACCUUACCCAAAUUAUUUAGCACAAGAAAACCUUCCAAAAUCCCCACCAAGGGUUCCGCAAACUCAAAAAUGGAAAAUGGGGCUCAAGCCCAAAAAUGGCAGUUCAAAACCCCCUCUUAGAUGUCGCUAAAGCGACCAGUGGUUUGCAAAAGUGUACCCCACUAAAAGCUUGGGCAUCGCAAAAGUGAAGCCUCCUUCGCUACGAAGGUCGAUUAAGCGACAAGGUCUUCUAUUAAGCGGAGGUCGCUUAAGAUACAUAACCUUCGCAAAAGCAAGGCCUACAACACUAGAAAAUAGAAACAACUUUCAAAUAUUGAAAGGUCCCUUCUGUAUUUGAUCAGAACCUAGUACACAAACCCACAUAUUCAAAUCAAUUGUACUCGAUGUUCUGAACUAAAUGGGACUGUCAAAAAAUGAAUGUGAGAUCUCCUUGACCAGACAUCCAUGAAAACCACAAGAAAUUAAGUCAACACCUAAAAAGGAUAAAACAAGCUUGUGACCUCUCAAAAAUAGAUCAAGACCUCACCUAGGCCUAAAAUCAUCCGACGAAUACAAUGGAACUCUCGGAGUUCUGAUUCAAGUAUCUGGUACUAAAGUCAACGCAAAGGAUAAAAUUCCACAAAUUCAAAACUUAGGAUCUCAAAUCCUCAAAAAGGCUCCAAAUCAUAAACCUACAACUCCCACAAAUUAAAUUUCACCUUUUGGGACUUAUGGAAUCGACAGAAAUCCAUUUUGACACUUGAAACUUCAAAAGACACCGUAAACCACUUUCUUAACAACUUAGCCUUUCAAACUCAAAACUUACAAUAUUCUCAACUUGGAACUCAUAGUUUGAAACUAACAUCCAAAACUCAAACAUAAAAGACUUGGGUUCGAUAGCGGGAUUACAAAACCAGGUCAGUACAAACCAAGUAAUAGAUGUCGUAUCUUUCACUUCUUGUUCCUUAUGUGAGGAGUGCCAUUUUGUCUAUGUGGACUGGAAAAUAUUAGGAUGUAUGGGCCUUUUUCCUCAUCUAGGCAAUCCUCUAUUAGUUAAGAUGACUCAAUUUUCAUGUUUUCAUCCAAGCCUAAUGUAAAAAAAUGUUUCGAAUGAGGUCCAAUAUGCCUAAACUCUAAAGCAACAUUAUUAACAAUAUUCUCACUUUUGUGCUCCUUCUCAAAAUCGACGCUAAGGAAUAAAGUAUAACUGAAUGGUUGGCAUACCUCUUUUUGCUCCACUUGUUGCUCAAAUAAAUCCAUAAUGUAAGCCUAAUUCUCCACUUCAUCCCUCCUACCAACAUCACAAAUAGCAUAAGAGUUAUAAUAAAUGUUUAGGGGAGUGGCAUAAGAGUUAGGUAAACCAUUUUCAACGCCAUCUUGACCACCGCAUUUAAGAAAUAUAAGACACUUGAUAUCCAAGAGGGGUCCAUCACAAUACUUACAAAGAUAACUAUCACCCAACAACCACUUAUCCCAAUCAUCCAUAUCAAUAAGAGUAUCAACAUAUUCAAGGAAAAAAUAAUUUGCACGAAAAAUAAAAAAUAAAAACAUAAAUAGAUAAAAAAAAAUUAUAACCUCAAAAAAUAUUUAAUUUCUAUGGCCCUGGCUACACCGCCAAAAACAUGUUGCGUCCAAACGCGCACGCAAGUGUACGCGGUAGUGCAAGUUAUAUAGUGGCUCUAGAAGAGUUGGACCAUCGAACCAAAAGAACUUGUCGAUUAACUAUUUUACUAAAUUACACUAAUAAUAACUAUUUAUUCAAGCGUACCAAAGGAGUUUGACUUCUAAGAACACAAGAAUGAAAUACCUGCACUAAUGAUUGGUAAAAUUCAAGGGUUGCAACCUACUUAUAAUUCAUGCAUAAUAUCUUCUUAUGAGGACUUCAAUUGGAUAUCAAAUCAGUGAUUUACAAGGUUGAAUGUAUGAUCAUGCUCUCCUGACCUCUAAUCACAUGCCACAACUGGCAGUCUAACUACAUCAUUGAGCGGGGAUAAACUAAAUCAUGUGCGGAGCAAUGAGUUUUCAUCUUGUUUAGUAACAAAGAAAGAUCUCUAGGUAUAUCCAUGUCCUAUAUACAAAUCAACCCUAGUUUCUAGAGAAGAUCGUGCUCCUUUUGUCCCACGUUCUAUCCACCUAUUCUUCUCUCGAGUUUAAUUUGGACAGUGAGUUUAUUUCAAUGGUAGUCAAUCAUAAAAUUCUAAAUGAAGAACAAAAGAGCAAUUUAUGUGAUAACCAACUUCAAUCCAUAAAAUACAAUAUUAAACAAUCAUUCAUAGCCACCACCCCAGAACAAGGGUCUUUAACUACUAAUGUCUAUGAAAAAAAAGGAAGGACACAACCUUGAAAAGUGUGAGAGCACUCCACUACAAAAUAUAUCCUAAUAAUUAUUCAGAUGGAAUAUUUAUAGAUGUAGGGAACCCUAAAUAAAAAAAUUGAGUAAAAAUAAUAAUUGGGAAACCCAAAACAAAAAGAAUUUGAUUCUGCGUGAAACAAUAGUCGGUUCAUAUAUUUCCCCCGCUUCAACUUGAAAGUGUCUCCAGAAUUUGACACGUGGAAGAUUAGUGCAUAUAGUAAUUCAACUUUUCCUUCAACUGAUCUUAUAUAAUAUAUAUUAUUAUAUUAAAUUAAAUCCAUUAACUUGUAUGCUUGAUUUCCUUCUAUAAUCUUUCAUCUUUAGUUCGUUUUAGCUCCAAACUUAUUCAUCUUCACACCAAUUUAAUCCUAAAAAUAAAAUAUACUAUUAAGGAAAACUCACAAAAUCCAUACUUAAAAAGAAAAAAUAAAAAUACUAAAUGUGAGGAAAAUAAUGAUUAAAAAUAUGUAUUUUUGGACUCACAUCACUUCUCAUACUCAUGUUCCAACAAUGGAAUAUCUAUUUUGAUUGACAUUGUCGAUUCACAUUUUUUGAGCCUUGCACAUCCGCUCAACAUUUUUAUAAUUGGAAAUUAACUAACUUCCACUAAUAUAUAUUCUAAAAUCACUUAUUAAACAUAGAUGCCCUCUGAUGGCGAUCUCUCUCUCAACCAAAUUUUUGUUCUUGUGAUUUCUAGGGUUAUCACUCUAAAGUUCGCAGCAGAGAAUCUUCUCUCAAGAUAGGUGGAAAAAGAUACUCUUAAUAUGCAUCAACUGUACAAUAUACAGAAUUACAAAGAUAUUGGAAGGUAUUUACAAUCCCAAAAAAUAUGCUACUACAAUCCCAAAUGAUAUGCUAUACAAUCCACAAUAUAUUCUAAUUGAUCUACAUUAAAUAGGAACAAAUCUACCCAUUAACUACUUUUCUUAACUCAUGCUAACACUCUACCUCAAGAUGGAUCAUAGAAAUCAUGUAUGCCCAUCUUUAUAAGUCAGAAGAUCAACCAGCUGUAGUUAAAACUUUAGUUAGAACAUCAAACGCUUUUGUGGAUACAAAUUUAGUUAGAACAUCAACCAGCUGCUCUAAGGUCUUCAGAUAUGUAACAUCAAUUGUCUUAUCCUCAAACUUCUUAUAGAUGAAAUUACUAUCAAUCUCCAAAUGGUUAGUACAAUCAUGUUUAAUUGGGUUUUCUGUAAUUUUAAUAGCAGACUGGUUGUCGCAAAAUAAGUUCAUAGGUUUUUCGAGUGUAAAGCCAAACUCCCCCUUAAGCCAUUUCAACCAUAGUAAUUCUUGGAUACCUUUAACCAUUGCUUUGUAUUCAGCUUCUGCACUAGACAAUAAGACAACUUUUUGUGCUUUACUUUCCUAGUAACCAAGUUACCUCCAACUAAAGUGAAAUACCCUGUUGUUGAGCGUCAUCGUUCUCCUUUUGCACCUCAAUAUGAAUCACAAUAAACCAUAAUUUUUGUAUGGUAAUUCUUAGAGACCACGAGUCAUCUUCCAGGUGCUAAAUAUAAGUAUCACAAGACCUUAAUGUCUACAUUCAUAUGAACUUCACUUGUAUUACGCGUAAAGCGACUUACCACACUAACCACAUAAGCAAUAUGCGGUUGGGUAUGUGAUAAGUAUAUCAAGCAUCCUACUAAUCUUGAUAUCUCACUUUGUUAGUAGAAACUUGAUCAGAAAGUUCCUCUAAGCUAUGAUUUUGUUCAUUCAGUGUAUCAAUAGGUUGACAACCUAUUAUACCCAUCUCCUUUAACAAAUCAAGAAUAUAUUUGCAUUGAGACAAAAGUAUUUGUUGUUUAGACCUAAUAACUUCUAUACUCAAGAAAUACUUUAAUCCUCCUAAAUCUUACAUAUCAAAUUCAAAGGACAAGUAAGUCUUCCAUUUACUCAUCUCAUCAACAUCAUUACCAGUAACAAUCAUAUCAUCAACAUAAAUGAUAAGAACAAUCAUCUUACCAUUUUGUCUCUUCAAAAACAAGGAAUGGUGUGCAUUGCUCUGAGUAUAGCCAUAUUACUUCAUUGCUAGUCGGAACAUUCCAAACCAUGCUCUAGGCGAUUAUUUCAGAUCAUACAAUGCCUUUUUUUAGCUUGCACACUAAAUUUGUAUUUCUAGAGGUAUUGUAACCAAGGGGUAUAUAUGCUCAUAUAUAUUUCUUCAGAUAAUUCUCUGUGCAAAAAGCAUUCUUCACAUCAUAUUAUCGUAGAGGCCAAUCAAGAUAAACAUAUAUUCAUAAUACAACACUAACAGUACUUAGGUUUACCAUAGGCGCAAAAAUCUCCUAAUAAUCAACACCCAUAGGUUUGUGUAAACCCACAAGCAACUAUCUUGCUUUGAAUCGAUCAAUUGAACAAUCUGGCUGGUGUUUCACACAAAAAAAAAAAACUGCAUCUAACAUGUUUCUUCCCUUUUUUGUAACGACACAAUAUCCCAUGUAUGGCUUUCCUCUAGAGCUUGCAUCUCCUCAUUCAUGGAUUCUGCCCAUUUAGGAUCAUCCAAUGUUUCUUCAAAUAUUGUAGGGAUAUUAACCGGUGACAUCUGAUUCACAAAGCCUUGGAUAGAGAUUGGUAAGUGUCCACUGGAAACAUAAUGUCACUCCUCGAGCUACCCCCGAGACGCGGACAUGGGACCUAGGACCACAAGUGAUCCCAAGCUAACCCUGCUGGCAUGAUCAUGAGCAUACUAAAUAUAAUCUGAAUAAUAGAAACUGUGCGGAAGCUAUAAUCAUAAAUAAAAUGAAAAUAUGGGGAAUACCCAUAUACUAUAACUGAGAUAAAUGAUAACUGAUGAGUUUAAUACAAAGAAGAUAUUAACUCAANNNNNNNNNNNNNNNNNNNNNNNNNNNNNNNNNNNNNNNNNNNNNNNNNNNNNNNNNNNNNNNNNNNNNNNNNNNNNNNNNNNNNNNNNNNNNNNNNNNNNNNNNNNNNNNNNNNNNNNNNNNNNNNNNNNNNNNNNNNNNNNNNNNNNNNNNNNNNNNNNNNNNNNNNNNNNNNNNNNNNNNNNNNNNNNNNNNNNNNNNNNNNNNNNNNNNNNNNNNNNNNNNNNNNNNNNNNNNNNNNNNNNNNNNNNNNNNNNNNNNNNNNNNNNNNNNNNNNNNNNNNNNNNNNNNNNNNNNNNNNNNNNNNNNNNNNNNNNNNNNNNNNNNNNNNNNNNNNNNNNNNNNNNNNNNNNNNNNNNNNNNNNNNNNNNNNNNNNNNNNNNNNNNNNNNNNNNNNNNNNNNNNNNNNNNNNNNNNNNNNNNNNNNNNNNNNNNNNNNNNNNNNNNNNNNNNNNNNNNNNNNNNNNNNNNNNNNNNNNNNNNNNNNNNNNNNNNNNNNNNNNNNNNNNNNNNNNNNNNNNNNNNNNNNNNNNNNNNNNNNNNNNNNNNNNNNNNNNNNNNNNNNNNNNNNNNNNNNNNNNNNNNNNNNNNNNNNNNNNNNNNNNNNNNNNNNNNNNNNNNNNNNNNNNNNNNNNNNNNNNNNNNNNNNNNNNNNNNNNNNNNNNNNNNNNNNNNNNNNNNNNNNNNNNNNNNNNNNNNNNNNNNNNNNNNNNNNNNNNNNNNNNNNNNNNNNNNNNNNNNNNNNNNNNNNNNNNNNNNNNNNNNNNNNNNNNNNNNNNNNNNNNNNNNNNNNNNNNNNNNNNNNNNNNNNNNNNNNNNNNNNNNNNNNNNNNNNNNNNNNNNNNNNNNNNNNNNNNNNNNNNNNNNNNNNNNNNNNNNNNNNNNNNNNNNNNNNNNNNNNNNNNNNNNNNNNNNNNNNNNNNNNNNNNNNNNNNNNNNNNNNNNNNNNNNNNNNNNNNNNNNNNNNNNNNNNNNNNNNNNNNNNNNNNNNNNNNNNNNNNNNNNNNNNNNNNNNNNNNNNNNNNNNNNNNNNNNNNNNNNNNNNNNNNNNNNNNNNUAACUAGGGUUUUUGACCUUUUAUCUCCUUUCUUGAUUCUAAUUUUCUAAGUUUUGAUUAAUGAUUUGACUUAGGUAAGUUCUAGUUAUGUUUCUAGGCUUAAACUGAUUAAAACCUCAUGAUUUAGGGUCUAAACGACGUAUCUUAGGGGUUAAAAGAAAUAGGAAAAGACUAAAAUAUCCCUGACUUAAUUGUUGUCGGAGUGACUGACGGAUUGGACCUACGGUCCGUCACUCAAUCUACGGUCCGUCGAUUGGGUCCGUAGGUCGAGUCUACCUGACAUGGCUUCACUAAAACGAGCAUAACUUUUUACUUGGAGGUCGGAUUUUAGCAAACUCGGUGGCGUUAGAAAGAUAAUUAAAUUAGAUAUCAUACCAUAGGUCAGGGGACACACAAUUCCUUUUGUGCUAAAAGUUAUGACCAUCUGAAGUUGACCCAUCAAUAAUUUUCAGCUAUCUGGCUGUUGACCCUAACUUACGGUCAGACCUAUGGAUUGUGGAUCGAUUGACGGUCCAUGCUAGUCGACCGUAUUUUGUCUCGAUCCACGGACACAGACCACGGACCGUGGUCUGACCUACGGACCGUGAGUCUAUCCGUGGGUCGACACUUAGCCGAUUUUUCUGAGCUUGGCUGGGGAGGGGUUGCAGUGGUGAACCACGGACCACCAACACGGGCCGUGGUCUGACCUACGGUCUGUGGAUGGCAACCGUGGGUUGCACCUGCAACUUUUCAAAAUCUGCAUUUUGGUCUGUUUCGAAUAUGGGGCGUUACAGGUAUUGAGCAUGCAGGAUAGAGUUAACCCGAAAUAACAUAUAAUUGAACAAAGCAAUAAAGCAGUGAAAUAAUCUGAACAUGAUAUAGAUACUGAAAAUACUGAAUACUGAGCUAACUGAUGCAAUGACCAAAUUUAUAAAAUGCUGAGACUGAAUACUGACUGUACUGAAAUAUGGUCAAUGCAAUAGAGUCUGACUGAACUGUGGGAGCCACUAAUAACCGACAUAAAACCACAUGAGCUAAAUGUGGAGUCCGGUGUAUAUGCCCCAACGAGAGGACCCACUCUAGUCCAACUCGGUAUUAUGCUACUUCCAAUGAAUUAAGUGGUUAACUGGUUAUGACUGAAUUUCUGUAAAAUACUGGAUAGCUCAAAACUGAACAUGCAAACUGAGAAUGCAACAAUUAAUCUGAUAAUGAUGCAUUAAUAACUGAGGCAUGUAUAACUGAAUACUGAAAUAUCUGACCUAGCAUGUGUAAUUCAAGAACUAAAGAAAUACAUAGCUAGGGUUCUGAAAUUCAUGCAAUAAACUGAGAAAUAACAUGAUAAUCUGAUUUGGAACAUUUAAAUAACUAAUUCAUGAUGAUCUGUUGAAAUUCUAGAAACCUAGGUCUGUUCAUAAUCAUGGAAUCAAGAAUCUGACUCAAAACUAGGGACCUAAUGGGCAAAAGAAACCCACUAGUGAGAUCCCACAUACCUGGUGACGAAUUCCACGGAAAAACCUUUCGAUUUCGGGGCUGGAACUGAAGGAAACUUGCUGCGUUCUUGAACUAGGGUUCUUGACCUUUUCCUCUUUCUCUUGCUUCUAAUUUUCUAAGUUUUUGAUUAAUGAUUUUGACUAAGGUAAAUUCUAGUUAUGUUUCUAGGCUAAAACUGACUAAAACCUCAUGAUUUAGGGUCUAAACGCCAUAUCUUAAGGGUCCAAUGAAAUAGGAAAAGACCAAAAGACUCCUAACUUAAUUGCUGUCAGAGUGACCAACGGACUGGACCUACGGGCCGUAGGUCAAUCGACGGUCCGUCGAUUGGAGUCGUCGGUCGAGUCUGCCCGACAGGGCUUCACUAAAACGAGAAUAACGUUUUACUCGGAGGUCGGAUUUUAGCAAACUCGGUGGCGUUGGAAAGAGGAUUCAAUUAUCUAUUAUAUCGUAGGUCAUGGGACACACAAAUACUUUUGUGCUAAGAGUUAUGACCAUCUGAAGUUGACCCAUCAACAAUUUUCAGCUAACUGGCUGCUGACCCUCAUCUACGGUCAGACCUACGGACCGUGGAUCGAAUGACGGUCCAUGAAGGCCGACCGUAGUUUGUGUCAGAGGAUGGGUAAAUGAGGUCUCGAUCUACGGACACAGACCAUGGACCGUGGUCUGAUCUACGGACCUUGGGUCUGUCCGUGAGUCGGGACUUAGCCGACUUUUCUGAGCUGGUUUGGGAGGGGUUUCAGUGGUAAACCACGGACCACCAGCACGGGCCGUGGUCUGACCUACGGUCCGUGGAUGGUGACUGUAAGUUGCACCAGUAACUUCUCAAAAUCUGCAUUUUUUGGUCUGUUUCAGAUACGGGGUGUUACACAUAAUGUGCAAUAGGAUAUUCGAUUUCCUUUGGAUUAUUAGUGGAGUAUCUUACUGGUGCUUUUCCUUGAUUGGUCCGCAAAGGUAACUGAUAUCUACUCAUGUUAUCAUCACUAGAAACCACUGGUGUAGUGUCAUCUAUUAAAUUAUUAGUAUUAGUUUCCUCAUAAAUAACACAAACCUCAAGAACAUCAUCAGAAGGAGCAUUAUUGGUGGGUACUAAAGGUACUGGAGAUCGGGAUUCUUCAUUUUCUUGUUGUAGUGUUUGAUUGAGAAUCCCUUGGUCUGGAGUUGUUUAGCUAAGCCAUGUAUUAUCUUAAUUUGUACCACUAUUAUCAGGUAUUAACACCAUCCAAUUUUGCUCUUUCACUUAAUUUCCCCCUGUUGACACCUAAUUUUGACCCUCCAUGAAAAAAAUUAAUUUGCGAGCUUCCUUAAUUCCAAACAAUUUGAACUAACUAAUUUUCUAAGAAUUCAAAAUAUGUUUCAAGAUAUUUUAAGAAUUUUAUUCACUUUUAUAAUAUUUUAAAAUAAUAAAUAUGUUUUAUAGUGUGACGUAUGUAAUUAAUAUAUUUUUAUAAAUACUUGAAAACUAUCUUAGAAAAAAGAUUUCAUUAUUAUUAUUAUUAUUAUUUUAACAUUAAACGCUUUAUUAAUCUAAUUUAGUUUGAAUUAUAACUAUGUUGUUGAAUUAGUUAUUUUUAUUAAGUUAAUUAUUUUAUUCUGUUAAGAUUAAGAAGCUCGUUAAUUAGUUUUUAAUAAUUCAUCUUAUUUAGGUUUUAGUUGAGGUCGCAAAUUAAAUUCAAUGUGGCUACACCUUAUUAACGAUUUUAGCCAUCUUUUUUUUUUAACCUUUAAAGUACCAAAUAUUGGGCCAUUUUUUCAGCCUAAAUCCAUUCAUUCAGCAAACCCCUUCUUUUCCAAUUCCUAUCUCCCGUAAUUCCCAGCCCAAAUCCACCUAUUUUCCAGCCCACCAAUUCCCAACAAUACUAUAUUCAUCCAUUAAUAAUCCAACACAAUCCACCAAAUGAUUCCCCAACCCGGCCCACUUCACUUUCCCAACCUUUAAACCCAUCACUGCCAUCAAUGAUGUUAAUAGAAGCAGUAGUGUUAACAUCGUUCCAGCAGCAUGAACUUUUCCUCAAAUACGACAUCAACAAUAUGCAUCAAACGACAACAUCAGCUUAAGCGGCGUCUUCACGGAGUCAAAACAUGGAAGAGCAGACGUGUUUCUCUUUUCCGUGUCGUCUUCCUCCUCGGCCAGAACAAUGGUACAAAAACACUGUUCCAGCAACUAAAAGCACCUGUGCUUUUGUCCUGGCAACAGUGUUUGUUGUCCUUUGCUUGCGCGGGAUGAUGCCACGUCGUCGCUCAAGGACGAAGUAGUCGAUCCCAAGCGUCGAUUCGCCCUUUCCUCUUUUGGAAUGGGUCGAAAUUGCAGGGAAAGGUUGCCUCCCCUUAUUUGUGAAAGUUUUUUUAAAUUUUUGAAUUCGGAAUUGGCCCUGUUUUGCCCGAAUUUUGGUCCAUUUUCGAACCCAUUUUUUUCCCUUCUAUAUAAUCGUUGGUUAUUCACUGUUGAGGGAGGGGGGGGGGGAAUGAGUCGGCUUUAAAGAGAGAAACACAAGAAAAGAUAGAAAUUUAUAGAGCAUAAGUAAGCAAAAGAGUUUUGGGUGAUAGUUGUUCGUAUUGCUGAAAUUCUUAGGUUAUUCGUUUACAAUUCAAGGUUUCUAUUAAAGUCUUUCGCUGGUGGUGUAGGAAAAAGCUCUGUCACUAGCUCGCCGUUCCGGUUUGCUGCUCGGCAAAAAGUAAUCAUUUCUUCUUCUCUUAAGAUUUUCAUUUUGUUGUGUGUUCAUCGCUAGAUUAAGUUAGUGUAUUCAUUAUUUGCUAGCAAUUUUUAGUUUUGCUUUCUAUUCUAGUAUCUUAGUAGUAUUAGUUAGUUUAUUUAUUUAUUUUUAUUUUAGUUAUAUCUUAGUAGUAUUAGUUAGUUUUAUUUAUUUAUUUUUAUUCUAGUUAUAUAUAGUGUUUUUCUAAGCUGUCUAAGCUCAUAUCUCCUCUAUAUCUUUCUUGAGUUUCAAUCUGUCUAGUUCUUUGUUUAUGUCCUCUGUUUAUCAUUAAAAAUUUUAUCUGUUGAAUAAAAAGUGUUUGCUAGCAUCACUCUGGUUCUUGUAUAUGAAAAAAUAGCCAUGUGUUUAUCUUUACUUGUUCUUGUUUUGAUCAAUAGCUUUUUUUUCAUUUCCCUCUUUAGACGCAUAAGGAGAUGUGAUAUGGAAUUGUUGUGUUUAGUUAUAUCGAUUCAAAAGGUUCCUUCUGGUGUUUUGAAUGUCUGUCGUUGUUGCCUAAAUGUCUUUUGUGUCUGCUUAUUUUGCAAAAAUCUGUUAGUGUGAGUUGUAUAUACUGGAUUCCCACUCCAACCGGGACCUGUUUAAGUGAGAAAUAUUUUAUUUUUGGGGCUGCUCUUUAGCAUUUCCCAAAGAGUUAUUCUUGAAUGAAUGAAAACCCUCGAAUCUUAUGCAUUUGACUCUUUAACUCAUUAACUUUAGAUCCAUGCUUGAAUUGGUUGAGAUAGGACUAUUGUUUUAACUUGUCGAAUGUGGCUGCCUGCUUGACUAAACAGUGAUAUGGUUUUAUUCGUGUUUGUUUCUAAAAUUUGAGCACUUUUGUUCCCAUUUUUAAAGUUAUCAUUUGGUUAGUUUCUUUUUCCCUGUGUUGAUUUUAGGGCAUGCAUGUACUUCUCUAUUAUUGUUUUUAUAAUACUUAAUAUUAUGAGCAUUGACAUAUGUGUUUAUAGCAUUAUUUUUCUAUAUUAAAGUCAAUGAGUUGUUACUAAUGUAUUCUAUUUAUGUUGCAUGUAAUUUGUCCGAGUUCGCCACGAAUUCAUUUCAUUCCUCUUGCAUUUCGGGAGAUCCAUAAAGACUCAAAUUCCUCUUUCCGAGUCAGCCAACCGUAAAAAUUGACGAACAAGUUUCAAAGUUGAAAGAAAACUGAAGCAGACCAGAGAAUUGAAAAGAGUGGGCUCAAGAGGCCCGCUCUUUAUUUUAUUUUUAAAAUUGUAUUUUGUUUGGGCCUAAGCCUUUUUUUCUUCCAUUAUCAUUAUGUGUUAGUUAUUAGGACAGGUACCAAGUGCAAAAAGUGGGCCUAAAGUCCAACGAAAAAUUAGCUUAUAUUAUGACAGGUGCACAUGGGCCUAUGGCCCAAAGCUGAAAUCAUGCCCAAGUACUGACCCAGGCGGACAGGAGAACCAGACUUGGGUCCAAGUCUCUCGCUCUUUAUUUAUUAUGUUUGUGUAUAUGUUAUCGAUUUUAAGGUUUCGAACAUUCAAACCCCAGAAGACACUCAUUUUGAAUUAAUCACUUAAACUAAAUUAUCCGUCUCUUACUUGACUUAAAAAUAAAUAAAUAAGUUUACCAAAUACUUCUUUUAAAUAAUAUUGCAAUAUUUUUCUAUUUCUCCCUUAAAAUUGUCCUAACUAUAAGAUAGUUCAGUUUUGCAAUUCAAGCUAAGUUAAAAAAUUAAUUUAGCCAAAUAGUUAAUUACCGGAUAACCGUAUAUUAGCGGCCAUUUCGGGUGCGUUCAAACCCUUCCCGAAAUGCUAAUAAGAACCCUGAACCCCUUUUAAGUUUUCAAUAGAUUUACUAUUUUAAUCUUUUGAAAAAUCGGUUUUCUUAAUUUUCAUUCAUUCAAAAAUUAAGUGGCGACUCUUAAACCAGUCUUAAAAUAUAUUUUUCUUAACUAAACAGAAUGACAACUCUGCUGGGGAAUUGAAUGGUUCUAACCUUAAGAUUAAUUUGUUUGGCUACAUGUUUUAACUGUCUACUUGUUUUAUUUAUCGUAUAUAUUGAAUUGUGGCAUUCAUGGCACCCGAUUCCGCCAAACGGAAAGUAGAUUGCAUUAGGAAAAAGGCGGUUACAUGGCUUACCACGGCUGUCCUUCAGAAAAAACACAAGUUGAAUUCUUUGGAAGUGAUAAACGAAUAGUUGGCUUGUGGUUAUCCAACAUCGUUUAUUAGACUUCACCCCGUUGUUUGUCUGACUCGGGUAACCGUCAUUUCUACACCAAUUCUAGUCAACCUAGAAUAGAGCGAAACCAAAUCCAAAUCUAAGCAUUAGCCUAAGACGGCUUAAUACCCAAGGCGUAUUAAGUCCAUUAGUAAAACCGCCAAAAUUAUGUCCAAGGUCCACGACCUAACGACAUACCAUAUUAUUUGACAUUUGAAAGAUGUAUGUGUGGAAACCUGAUUGUUGCCUAUUUGGGGGAGAGAAUCUUAACCGUGCUUUGUUUUGUAGGUAUGGAUCGAUUCCCCAAAUUCGACAUGGUAAUAGAACCCCAAUUUUGCUCAAAUUAUGGUACAACGACCUCACUGUGGUUCACAAAAGAGCCCUCAACAAAUAUAUAGGAGCCCUAAUAGAACUCAUCAAUAUGGUUGGGUGGCCCGAGCUGAUUGAAGUCCUCACAGGCUAUUGGGACAACGAGAAAAUGGUGUUCCGAUUUGGGACCAUGGAGAUCACCCCAACAAUCGAGGAAAUUCGGGACGGAAUAGACACAGUCGGUACAGGGCUUGAAAGAAGAGUGAGAAAACAGGAACACAUCUUAAUCCCUAACAAGCCUACUCUCGAGGAUAUAACAAAUUGGUUCGGAUUAAGAAAGGAUUACGCUUUCUGGGCCGAAGGUUCUAGCGUUUCUUUUAUGAAUCUCUAUGUUAGAUUUGGGAACGCAAGCUUUUAUGCAAAUUACGACCAAGAGUUCAGGGUUACAUUCAGAGGAUGGGACGGGAUCAGAUCUUUAGCAUUCACUAUCGCGCUAUUAGGCACUAUGGUUUUUCCCCAAGGCCCGAGCCUCAGCAUCAACAACCGGUUAAUAAUGCUUGUACACACUCUCUUCCACGAGCAUCUGAACCAAGGGCAAGUGAAGUAUUAUCCUAUCGCGCCUGUCAUCCUGUCCGACAUGUACCGUGCUUUGGGAAAAUAUAAGGAAGGACAUCUCUACUUUCAGGGCUGCAAUCUCCUCCUCCAAUGGUGGAGAAUGAGUCACUUGGUGAAGAGACACGGAACUCAAAGACUCCAUACCCUCGAUGAGCAUAAUGCUCUUAAGGGUUUGAAUGAUAUGUUGUUUUGGACGGAUUUAGAAAAUAGGAAAACUAGAGGAAGAUGGGCUCAGAUCUUCUCCGAGCUGAGAGAAGAAGAUAUUCAGUGGAUGUUCGAUCGCUUCAUCUCAAAGGAUGUCAUAGUACGGGGCCACAGACAACUCGUGCUUCCUCUACCAGGUAUUCGGGGUAUCCGCCCGUAUGCGCUCAUCCGGGUCUUGAGGCAGUUUGGGAGAAGACAAACUACACCCCCAAAUGCAUACUACCGUAUUUAUGUGUUCGACAUUGGGGACGAUAGAGUGCAUGAGGCUUGAGAGAUGCUGAGAGAAUGGAAAAAAACAGUACGAAUGGAUGACAAAACCAUUGCUGUGGACCGGUUUAAUGCCGGGUACGAUGAAACCUACAAAGUUUGGUUGAAAAAUGAUAUACAAGGUACCUCCUUCCCAGUUCCAAACAUUUAUCGUAGUGUGGAGGACAAAGAGUCCAAAGCUUUGAUAGAAUUAAGAGAGAUAAAAAGAGAAGCUCAGGAAAUGUACAAUGAAUUCCUUCGAAAGCAAGAGGAGGAUAAAUAUGCCUUCGAGAGUGUAACUCAAGAAUUAGAAAGCUUGAGAGGCGAUUUAGGAGAGCUCAACUUAUGGAUUGGAGAUAAGAGGAGUGCCAGAAUCCAUCAUUACUGAUAAUAGAGUGAAUCUCAACAGUCACUUGAUGAGAGAGAUAUUUAUGGAUUGGAGAUAAGAAAAGCGGAAUGUGUCUCGAGGACUGGGAAGAGAAAGGCCGCCGGAGC